CAUAAAUAGUGAAGCUAGUAACUAGUGUGUGUAUAUAUAUAUAUAGAGUUGGACUGGACUACUAUUAGUAGCAAAAUUCUAUUAUUACUAUCAGUUUUUUAACCUUUGGAUAAACUCUUUUUAUUAUUUCUAACCAUUAGAUUAAAUACUAUAACCCAGUGGGGACCACUCAACCCUAGGGGACCACUCAACUCUAACCGACUAAUAUCAUCCUGACCCUACAAUUUUUUAUCCAAGGGUUAAAAACUUGAUAGCAAAAAGAGCGUUUUACUAUUAAUAGUAUUCCAGUCUAAUUCUAUAUAUAUACAUAUAUAGAGUCCGACUGGGGUACUAUCGAUAGCAUAAAGGAUUUGGUGCUAUCGAGUUUUCCACCGUUAGAUUUAACCUUUUGAUUAUUUUUACUCGUUAGAUUAUACUAUUCAACCAACCACUCAAUCAACCUAGGGGGCCCACAUCAUCUUAACCAUCCAUUUUUCAAUCCAAGGGCUAAAAAAUCAAUAACACCAGUAGGUUUGUGCUAUUGACGGUAUUCCAGCCUAGUUCUAUAUAUAUAUAUAGGCUAGGGCUACUAUACUCUUAUGAGUAUAGACCCUCUUGUAAUCAUAAAUUUUUAACCGUUGAUUGAUGGGAUGUGUGGUUAGGAUGAUGGUGGUCCUCACUUAGAAUGAUAGCGGUCCCCUAGGGUUGAGUAGGUAGUUGGUUGAAUAGUAUGAUCUAACGGAUGAAAAUGAUGAAUAGAAUAAAUUUAAGGGCCGAAAACUUAUAAGUAUAUAGGAGCCAAUACUCAUAAAAGUAUAGUAGCCGGACUCUCUCUCUCUCUUCUCUCUCUCUCUCUCUCUCUCUCUCUCUCUCUCUCUCUCUCUCUCUCUCUCUCNAAAAUUUAGAAAAAAACUACAAAUACAAUCCAUAUAGUUUUGAAUUUUUUCAUUUUAGUAUUCUGUGGUUUAAAGUGUAUCAAUUUAGUAUUCUGUGGUUUCGCACUUUCUCACUUUAGUACCUUGUGGUUUAAAGUGCAUUAAUUUAGUACUCUGUAGUUUUUUUUUUUUUUUUCGUUGGCUCCUCUUGUUAAUAUUUCGUUAAAUUAUAUACAAAACUUCGGAUACCCUACCUAAAUUUAUCGAAUAUUUAUUUUAGUACCCUUUAGUUUUAACUUUGUCACUGAUUUUUUUCUGUUAAUAUUUCGUUAAAUUAUAUACAAAAAACUUCAAAUACCCUAUCUAGAUUUAUCGAAUAUUUACUUUAGUACCCUUUAGUUUUAACUUUGUUACUGAUUUAACGAAAAAAAUUAAUGAAAUGGAUAAUAAAAAGAGAAAAAUAAAUCUACAGGGUACUAACUUGAUACAUUUUAAACCACAGAAUAUUAAAGUGAGAAAAUGUGAAACCACAUGGAGGUAUUUGAAGUUUACCAUAGAAUUUACUAUUUAUUUCUAAAAGGUUAAGCUUUUAAAUUGUAUACCCCUUGAUUUUCUUUUGAUUUGUUAAAAAGUGCAUAAAAGUUACUAUACUUUGUUGAAUUUAUUGGUGAAUUAAUUUAAUAAAAUUUCUCAUUUGAUUGGCCAGAAUUACUCAAUUUAUAAAAUUUAAAGGUUGAGGAUCUGACUAUUGAAAAACAUUGAGGAGCUUCCAAGACAAUUUUCUCCUUUUUUUUUUUUUUUUGCCGAAAUGGUUACUAGUACUAGUCUAGAAGUCAGGAACUAGAAACUUUUUUAUCUAAAAAUACAUGCAAGUCAGUCUUGAAAUCUUUUGCCAUCUAGGGUAUAUUUUGGUAUUGAGAGCCACCUAACAUUAUAAUUAGGCGAAAUAAAGUUGAGAUAAAAAUAUAUAAAAACAUAUAUGCUUCUUUGUUUUUGACUGCAAUCGAUCACAAAAAUGAUACCCCUAUCAACACAUUGCAGCAUACUCAAUGUAAUACGAAAACGAAUAGAAUAUUUUCUUACCAUCUUUUUUUAUGGCACUAAAUUUAUUCUCUUUCUGCAAUCCCAAGCGUAGUCUUGGAUAGCACCCGAGAUGACGACGGCCCGCUACAAAAAAAAAAAUAAAAAUAAAAAAUAAAAAAUAAAAAACUUUCACUCUCUCAUAACUUUAUCCCUCUUCUGGGGCUUUACUUAUGUCAUGCUAGUGAUGCAAUUCAAUUAAUGUGGGUCACCUCUUUAGUGGGGAGUCUAGGUAGAGGGUGCAGGCCUGGAAUUUGAGAAUGAAAAGAACCUUUUGUUUUGUAGUUGUGAGAAAUAUAAUCCCAACAUGCAUGAACCUACUAGAACAGCAUCCAAAUUAUUAUAUAUUAGAGAUGAAUCUUGGUGAAAAUUACACCAUUGGCCCUUCAACACCAAUGUACUUCAAUUUAUUCUGUGAGAAAUGAUUCGGUACUUUUAUUUUAUAAAAAAAUAAAAAUGAUUUUAACUGUUAAUCAAUAGAGGGUAAAAAUAUAAUUUUAACAUUUAGCAGGUAAAAGGAUUACUUCAUUCGAGAUUGUUUUUGUAAUUAAACUAUACAAUAUUUAAAGAAAGUUUUAAUUGAUAUCCAGAAUUUAGGCAUUAAUUUGUACUAAUUUGAAAAAUUGAUUGAAUACCUAAAUUUAGACAUUAAUAUAGGCAUUAAUUUAGGCAUUUAUUUUAGAAGUUUUAGUGUUUCUCAAAUUUAGGCAUUAAUUUAAAUUAUAGAAAUUUUAGAAAUAGUUCUAUUUCUAAAUACGCUGAAUUUAAAUAUUUAAUAUUUAAUAUUUAAAAUUAAAAAUUUAAAUUUAAGUUAGAGUAAUUUAAUUUGUAUUACUAUUUAAAAAUUAUGUAAUGUUGGUAAAUAUUUUAAUCCAACAUAUUUAAUAUGCUUAAGAAACUUUUAAAUUUCUAUAGUUUAGACAUUAAUUUUGUAUCACUUAUUUUAAAAAAUUUGAAUGUAGGUAAAAAAAAUUAUCAAUUAAAUGUAUUUAAUAUGUUAAAAAAAAUAGAAUUGUUUUAUUUUAGACAUUAAUUUUGCAUCACUAUUUAAAAAGGAUUGUAAUGUUGGAAAAUAUUUAAAUUUAACAUAUUUAAUAUGUUUAACAAAAUUGUGAAUUCAUCUUGUUUAGACAUUAAUUUUGUACUACUAAUUUUAAAAAAUUGAACGUGGGCAAAUAUUUAAAUUCCAAAAAUUUAUUAUAUUUAAAAAAAUUUAACAAUUUUUCUAAUUUAGAUAUUAAUUCUUUAUCACUAUUUAAAAAUUUUAAUGUGGAUAAUUGAUUAGAAAUAUAGGGUAUAGCUCAAAUUUAUUCUUAGGAUAGAAUUGUAUGGGCAAAAUUAAUUCAAAUUUUAAUAGUAAAAAUUGAUCUUUUAAAAUAAUAAGAUCAUGUAUUGUAAUUUAAAAUAUAAGAUGAAAUCAAAGUAAAUUAAUUUGAAGUUUAGAACCUAAAAAAUAUACAGAAACGUACCUCCAAUAAAUCUAAAUAGUAUAGUACAAUUUAAACUUACUAAUAAAUAAAUUUGGGCUAUAUAAUUUAAAUUUUAAGUUUAUAAUAAAUCUCCACCAUAGAGUGUUACUAGAGUAAACAAAAUUAGAAAUAUAGAUAAAUUAAAUAAAUUUAUGUUGAACAAAUCUAAGCUAUUUGUAUAUUUUAUCAAUUUGAUCAGUCGAAUUAAUUUGAUUUAUUAAAUUGAUUUUGAUCUUACCUUUAAAAUUUUUCAGAUUUUAGUCAAUUUUUUAAAUUUUAGUUCCUUACAAAUUGAAUUUGUAAGGAAAUAAAGAGAGAGAAAAAGGAAACAAAGAGAAAAUAACGAUUUUGAUAAUGUAGUAGAGGUAAAAUUAUUAAAUUACCCAUGUAUUAAAAGACAAAAAUAUCCUUCUUUGAGAUACUUGUUAACCGGUACGUCUCCCAAAGUGACCUGUUAUUGUAGGUUAUAAUUUAAAAAAAAUUAAAUUUGAGCUGCUAAAGAGGAGUGAAUGAAUGGUACCGAAAAAUAACAAGUAUAAAAGUACUACUACUCCUAUUUCUGUAACUAAGGUGUUAAACUUUUGUUCAAUCGCCAAAUUUUAGUUAGUUAAAAACCCAGUUUUGAUUUAUUUCAAGUGCAUGAGGUCACGAUAAACAUUAAGCUAAUUGAAAGAAGUACAAUACCUAAUUGACACUAAUUGUAUUUUGAUGGCUUAAUUAAGUCUAACUUUACUAGAAAUUCAGCGAUAACCAACUAAUGGUUAAUUUAAUUUAUCCUUUAAUCAUGUUAUUCGUAUAUAGUAUGUUAGAGCUAAACCAUAAGAUCCCAUUUGAUUCGGGAUAAAGUAGGAAUAACGAAAGUUAUCCCCGCUAUCCCACCAAAUUGUAUGUUUUUAGGCCGGGAUAUUUAUUCCGGUCAAAUAUUGUUAUUCCCGGCUAUUCCGAAAUAGCUUGGGAUUUACUAUUAUACCAUUUUGACGGAAUAGUGCUAUCAUAUGAUUUAAUUUCAAGUUUUAUUAAGAUUGAAAAUUGAAUUAAAACUGAAUUAUAUAGACAUAAUAUGUUAUAUAUUAUAAUAUAUUAUUUUUAUUAUGAACUUAUUAAUUGUACUACUUAAUUUAUUACGCUAAAUAUUUAAUUAGCCAUUUGAGUAAUUAAUUUAUUAUUUUAAUUAAUUUUCUAAUUAAAUAAUUAAUUAUUUAUUACUAUACUAAUUUAUAUUGAUUAAUUAAUUAUUUGACAUGACCAAUUUAUAUUGAUUAAUUAAUUAUUAAUUUACACCCUUAAAUAAUUAAUUAUUUGACAAAACCAAUAUUUGUAUUGAUUAAUUAAUUAAUAUUUUGACUAAUUUAAUUAUCUUACUGUUAUUAACUAAUUUAUUAAUUAAUUUAUUAAAUUACUUCUGGUUAAUUAAAUUAUUAAUUACUAAUUGAUCUAUUAAUUAAAUUUAGCGUUAUUUAGCAAUAUUCAUGAUUAAUUAGUAAAUUAAGCAAGUUGAAUUAUUAUUUAAUUAAUAUUUUUAUUAAUUAAUUAGAUAAAAUAUUAUUAUAUUAAAAUUAUAAUUAUUCUUAUCCUUACUAUUCUAAUCUAACCAUCCAUACGCCAUUUUGCUUAUUUCCAAGAAAAACUUAGUUUUUAUCCAAACGCAAAAUUGAUUUUAUUCUUACUUAUCCCAAGAAUUGUACUGUACCUGUCCAAAAGAUAGCCUAAAAUAACUUAUUCCCGAACCAAAUGAUACCUAAAACACCGAACUUAGUGAAAUUGUAUAAAAUUGGAUCCAUUACAUAUGUAGAUCGUGCUGGCUAAACAAAUCCAUUUUGAUCCAUUAUUUAGAAGAUCUAGAAAAGUUAAAAUUGUUUCGGCCUUUUCACUCUGUUACUUAAAAUUGGAGUUGUUAAUUUUUUGGCCCUCUAAAGCAUCAAAUAACAACAUAUUCCUAAACUAGCUAGGCUAGGCUAAAACAGCCAAAUGUGGCAGCAAAUAUUUUGAUAUACAACACUAUUUCCGCGAUAAGUAAUUAAAUCCACGCCAGAGUUUUCACUUCCCAUGAAACCAACUCAAUGGAUGAUGAUAUAUUAAUUAUGACGGUGAUGAGAGAGUAAAGGAUCACAGGAGGGAGAGAUUCUACUAUAUAUAUAUAUAUCAGUCACACUAUAUUAUUUAUAAACAAUCAAUCAUAUUAUUCCUCGAGUUAAAAGUAAAGUAAAAAUAUUUUUUUAAUAAUUAGAUUGGUUUGUGUUGCUAUAUCAGUAAUGUAACUGAUAUAUAUGUUCUAAAAAAUCUUCCAUAGGAGGACCCUUGGGCCAGCUCCAAUUAAAACACACACACAUACACAGCGACUUGAUUCGAAGUGAAGUGACCUCUCAUGAGACCCCUUAGGUGGUACAAUGAGAAAGUAUACUCGAGUCCAAGAGCCAAUCCAUUCUCUUCCCUAUACAAAAGCACGGUCACUUGUUGGAGAAAAGGACUUUCAUAUACACCUCUUAAAACGCACUCUAAUAAGUACACACACGCAAAAUGAUACAUUCCAAAAGUUUUUACACUAUAACGGGACUCCCCUUUAUGGUGAGAGAACUCCACAAGCAACAACUCUCUUUAGAUUCCACCCCACUCGUUAAGCUUUCUACCAUGCCACAACUCAUCCGCACAGCUCCAGAAGCUGCUAUCGCCAACACUAUCGAGACAACUAUUACUACUCGCCACACUCACACCACAAUUGGUGCUCGCAUAGCCGAGAAGCGAAGACGACGAUAGUGACGCUAGGUCCAACCCAUCUAGCUCUUGGUGGUAGUACCCGUGACUGCUGUGCCCGCCGAGAAGAGCGUCGAAAGCGACGCCGUUGAGCUCGUCGGUCGGGCUCGACGGGAAUUCGGGGAAUUGCGGGACUUGCGGGAGCGCGGUCGACCCCGAGGAAGUGCUCGGGCUAUAAUUCUCCGACCCGGAGAUGUCGUACGAGCGCGAGCACUCGAGAGGGUGCGGUACGAUCGGAUCGAGGAAAGGCGGAUGAUGAACGUGGUGGCGGUCUUGGCUGAGCGAUGAGGCGUUGGCGUUGGCGGCGGCAGUGGCAGCGGCGGCGGCGGUCGGGGUGGUCGAAAAGGGAUCGUGAAGGGAUCGAGAGGUUUGAGAGCCGAUCUUCUCGAGGAGCCUCGGCAUCCAGUAGCACCGGAGCGCAUCGCGGAACAUGGUGCUGUUGGCGUCGAUCUUGAGCUGCCUCGCCUGCUUCUGCACCCUCGUCCUCCAAUAAUUCUUGAUCUCGUUGUCUGUCCUCCCCGGAAGGUGCUGCGCGAUCCUAGACCACCUACAUCAGUAUAAUAAAAACUCCGUAAAUAAUCGAUCGUCACUUGAUUGUAACUAACUAAUUAACACGCAUAUAUCGAUCGAUCGAGCUUACCGAUUUCCCCACUUGGAAUGGAGCUCGAGGAUGAGGAACUGCUCCUCGGGGUUAAAUUUCCGCGCUUGAUAUCGGGCUUCAAUAAUUCAGCCACCGCAUCUGCAGCUCUUCCCGGUCCUCUUCAAUCCUACAGCAGCCGGGUAAAGGAAAGGAAAUCGACAUCACCAAGUACGUACUACAACAUAGCUAGUGACUAAACAACAAGCAUGGCUUAUUAGGAUUGAACUAAAUAUAUAUAUUUAUAUGUAUAUGUAUACCGGAGCACCAGCAAGGAGAUUCCAACGGCCCUCGCCGUGGUACGCAAUGUAGCGCAUGAGGAGCUCGUCCUCUUCGAGCGUCCACGGCCCUCGCCGUAGCUCCGUUAUCUCCUCCUCUCCACGUUGUUUAUUGUUGGCCCCUUCUUUUCCGACAUAUCUUGCCCCUGGCCUCCUUAAAAUAAAUUUUUUUUAAAAAAAAAAGAAAAAUAAAGGAGAAAAGGCUCUUCUUGGUUGAGAACUGAUUAGCUAGGGAGAGUUUGUGAGGAGGCUACAGCUACAAGGUAAGGAAUGAGAGGAGGGUAAGUGAACAUGCUUAUAGACCAUUUCCAACAAAAGUCCAAAGCCUACAUCUACUACUACCAAUAAUGGGUUGUUUUGAAAAAGUGGCAACCUUAUUGCAUGGUAAAAAAAAAAAACUUAAUAAAUGAACUGCUGCGGCUCACAUCAACUUGGGCUUUAGUGGACACAAGCAAACAAAAAAAAGGAGGAGAAAAUAUAUAUCAUUGGACUCAAAUUUCCUUGUGGCGGGGGGGUGGGGGGGGGGGUUGGUAAUUAAUUCAAGUGUAUAUCCUUUUUGAGGAGAGGCUUCAAUUGUGGAAGUGUACAUGUCCUCUUUAGAUUCUUUUUCUACAUGAAACGUGUUUGACCGAACAAUUUGCACUAUUAGGCUCAUGUUUUGAUUGCUAUAGAGAGAGAAAGAGAAAGAAAGAGAGGGAGAGAGAGGGGGGAGGGGGUCUAAUCAGAGUUUGCCUAAUCCGGCGGCAAUUUAGGUAGCUCCUGGAAUUUGUAGUGCAAUUGUAGGAACAUGCUCCUUUUAGAGUUCACAUUUCAAAACUGUGUCCACUAAAAAAAGCAAGCAACAACAACAAAAGCUGCAAAAACAAGGAGAACAUUAAUUAAUUAAUUAAGAUCAUGUUAAGUCCCGUAAACACUUUACCCCUCCACGUACAACCCACUAAGCCUUCCAUUUUAGGGACAGCACCCUAAGUUGUAAGCACAAAGUAGGCAUUUAUAGCUCUUCCUCCCUCCCUCCCUCUCACUCUCUCUCUAGAGUACAAACUUUUAGGUAGCUUGAUACCACUUUAUUUCCAAUGAUUCUCAAACUGCAAUUGUCUCAGAUGAUAUCAAAGCAAAGAAAAAAUUUAGAAUGCACUGGUUAUAUAACUAAUAUAGCGUCUUCAACCAAUCAGAUUGUUUUUCUUGGAUUCACCUAUUUGCACGAUCAUGAUUAUUAAAAAAUUUUUUUAUUGUGCAUACUAGAUUUUUUUUUUUUCCUAACUGAGAGCGUGGUUUGUGUACAUGUGGAUUGCUCUAAAAACUAGCGAAAUCAAUUUUCGAUGUGAAAAUUACGUACUUUUCAAGCUAUUUUGUUAACCAUAAAAGUAAAAGUGAAUCAUAAAAGUAUGUUUCUUUUACUGACCAUCCCUAGAGCAAGUAGCAAAGGGCCUUGUGGUUGGUACCCGAGACUGAAGUUUGAAUCCUAAUUGAUUCAUAUUUCCAGCUAAGUUUAUUUCUAAAUGAAAAAAAAACGAAGCAGAUAGCGUACUACCUAUCUCUCAAAAAAAAGAAAGUGUGUUUCUUUUAAAUUUAAUACUUUUACAGAUUUGAGAAAAAUUAGAUCUUUUCAUUUUCUGUUGAAACUAGCUGAAAAUUAAACCUCAGGCCACCAAAAAUCAUGGCAUAUUCGUGACGGCAAAAAAUUUAGCGCAGUCCACACAUAGUAACAGAGGUUAUUGCAUAGACUAGAUGUAUUCAUAUAUUUAUGUACACCACAUUUUCAUCCACCAUUUUUUUUUCUUUUUUAAUCUUAAUCUGUAUAUACCAUUUUGUAUACAGCAGUUUCUUUUAAUUUAAAAUUUGGAUAGUUAAGUUAAUUAAAAGUAUGAAUGAAUUGGCAGUUUUUUGAAGCACGGUGUGUGGGUUCGUGGGUGCACUGAGUGCACAAAUAAAUUUUUUUCUCAAUGGAUCUCCACUAACAUUGUUUUUAUAAUAAUAUGUAUAGUAUAUAAAAAUAUAAUUUUACAUGAAUUUAAUUUAAAAAUAUAAAUUAUAAUAAUAUUAUAUGUAGUAUUGUAACUAUUAUAUAUAAAUAAAUAAUAUAUAAUAUAUGUAAUAAAAUAAAAUAUAUAGCAUAAAAUAAUUUUUUAUUAUCUUUUUCUUUCAAUACAAGCAUGGUAAGAAAACUAAUUUUUAUUUUUUUUCCCAUAAAUCAAACACUAUGGACGCAUUUGGUUCGCGUUAUGUAACAUUACAGAUUAUUUCGACAUAUUUGUGUAUCUUAGAUUUCUGAAUGAGAUUAUUACUGAUAUUGUAUUAGCACAUUUGAUUUAAAACAGUAAUAUAAUACUAGAUUACAGUAUAUAUAGUAUUACUAUAUUUGAUUCAGUUGAUAAAAUUAAGUAAUUCUGACACCAAAGUGUAAUCUAUUCCAAAAUUACUCUCAUAUCGGCAAAAUUCUUUUACUAUUUACAAAUAAUAAUUUUUUAAAUAAAUUUUAUUUUAAAUAAUUUAAAAUUAGAAUUUACAUUUUAUUUUUUAAUUUUAAAUAUUAAAUUUAAAAUUUNAAUUAAGUAAUUCUGACACCAAAGUGUAAUCUAUUCCAAAAUUACUCUCAUAUUGGCAAAAUUCUUUUACUAUUUACAAAUAAUAAUUUUUUAAAUAAAUUUUAUUUUAAAUAAUUUAAAAUUAGAAUUUACAUUUUAUUUUUUAAUUUUAAAUAUUAAAUUUAAAAUUUAAAAUCUGAAUAAAAAUAUAAAAUUUAAUAUUUUAAUUUAAAAUAUAAAUAUAAAAUUUGAAAUUUGAAAUUUAAAAUAUAAAUAUAAAUUUAAAAUUUUAAAUAUAAAUUUAGAAUUUAGAAUUUAAAAUCUAUAUUUGAAGUUUAAAAUUUAAAAUUUAAAAUUUAAAACUUGAAACUUGAAACAUGAAACAUGAAACUUUAAAUUUAAAAUUUUGAAAUUUAAAAUUUAAAAUUUGAAAUUAAAAUUUGAAAUUUGAAAAUUAAAUUUUAAAAUAUAAACCUUAAUAUUUUAAUUUAAAAUUUAAAAUUUAAAAUAUUUAAUUUAAAAUUUUAAAAAUGAUGUAUUGAGAGGGUUUGAGGUUCGGAGGGAUAAACUUGUAAUUUUACAUACAUGCAAUAUAACACUCAUCAGUAAUACGAGAUACCCAGCCCUCGCUCGGUAAUAAUUUCAGUGUAAUUCCGUACAAUUUGUAAUGUUAUAUUACUGACCAGAUUAUAUUCUGGAUGAACCAAAUGCAGUAAUCUUGGCAGAAUUGUCUGUAAUCCUGUCAGGAUAACCCGAACCAAACGCACUCUAAGAGAUUUUGUGUUUGAAUCCCAACAAACUUGUUUGCCUUUCAAGUGAUCGAGAAUCAUAAUCUCCAUCCAUUUUAUUAAAAAGUUCAUCUUGAACCUACUAAAAUCGCAAGUCGAUCAUAAAUUCUUUGUGCUAAAACAUAAAAUACCAGAACAUUUUUCUUUAUUAGGUAAAUAUUGUUCUUUGCAGGCCGUGACUUGAAUAAUCCUUUUUUUUUUGGAAAAUUUAAUUGUUCUAAGUUCACACCAUAGCAGAAGAUAAAAUCUUUCAAUUCUCUUGUCUAAUCAUAGCGCACAUUUAAGCAGAAGAUCUAGAGUUAGAAUCCACUUUGGGCAUGUAUACUAUUUCAUUACAUGACCUCUACAUAAUUGAAUUGCAAUCUAUGUUAAUUUGGCUUGUUAAAAGUGUUACAACAAAAGAUGGAAACACCCAUUUAGUUUUUCGGGUAUGAAACACUAGGGGGAAUCGACAAAUAGAGAAAAAAAAUAAAGUACACAAACAGUUUACGUGGUUCAACCAUAAGUCUAUGCCCACAGGUAAAGAUAGUGCAUGACGUUUUACUAUAAUCUGUAAGAGUAAUACAAAAGAUGCCUUCUCUUAGAAACUUCUAGGUUUUAAAUACAGCCAACACUUUCUUUCUCACAUGAGAACCCAUGAAAAAAGUACUAGGUUAAAUCACAAGAGGAUUGGUAACAAUCUCACUUAAAUUAGCUCAUCAAAGGAGAAUAGAAUUAAGAAAACUUUGAUCCUAGUGUUACAUUUUGGUCUUCGCUCCAAAAAAUUUCUGAUCACGUCAUGAAGUGAGCCGAGCCUGAGAAAUAUUCAAGACAUAUCUAUCAACUCCUCAACAUGGGUUGAAUUCUCUAUCUUCUAUAUAAAACCCUCAAGGACUUUCUGGUGUGUUGCUAAGUAGAUCAAUCGUCACUAGAACAAAAACGGUCUAUAGCGACAUUUUUAAAUGUCGGUAUAGGUCAAAAAAAGUGCUGCUGGCUAAAUUACCGACACUUUUAAAAAGUGUUACUAUAUGUGGGGUCGCUAGGUAUAUAGUGACAGAUAAAGAGUGUCGCUAUAACCUAAAAGAGUGCUGCUAAUUUACCAACACUUAUUUAAGCAUUUAGCAACCGUCGGAACUCUAUUUCGUUGGCUGCAGUGACGAAGGAGGACGAAAGGAAGGGAUUUUCGUCUAGAAUUUCAGUAGAUUCAGUGAGAAGAGAAGGGGAGAUGGUAAUCGAUUUUUCUUUUUUUUUUUCUGUUUGUAAUCGAGCCGAAUAGACUGGGUGGGGUGGGUUGAGUAGAGUAACCUUUUAUUUUUGGUUGAAUUGGGCUUUAUAUUUAGGCAUUAGUAGAUUUUUUGUAAGUUUUGGUAUAAAUGGGACACUUACACAAAAAUGUCCCAAACAUGUGUCCCUAUAACCUAAUUCUGUUGUAGUAAUCAAGUCCAUGUAAUACUUGAACUUGGUCACUGAAAUAGAUUUACUUAGUGUAUUUGCCCAACCUUCUCGCCAGUGAUAUCAUCUUAUGCUACCACAUCACGAACGAAAUAUUAUGUACCUAACACUAAUAUUCUUUGUCCUCCUUUGAAACAUUUGAUCCGUGCAAAGAUUUAAAUGUGGUAUUCUGGCUGUGGCAAUGGACAAUUAAUAUUUAUCUUCUGGUUAUAAAUGGACUACAAGUACAAGCCUUUCAACCAAAUAUAACAUCUUUGAUAGCCUCCAUCACCAAUGUACAAUGCCUCUCAGUAGUGGAUAAUAUAAGCAAUAAUUAAUAGACAGCCAAAUAUAAAUGCAUGAUUACAUAACCCCCGCUUAUCUAAUUUGACUACGAACAUACGAAUAUUAGCUUAAAAGGGCUAGCAUCCCGUGUGAUGGGAGGUCAAGUUGGGUUGUGUUACUUUCGAAAUGGCGGGUAGUCAAGUUGAGCCAAGUCAUGUUCAAAUAAAUUAGCAGAAGACUGGUUUAGGAAAGUCACAAUCGAGAUCUGUGGAUACUGUAUCUGUAUGCUUUAAGUAAAUUGGUUGCAUUUUUCUAACAGUUCGACCUUUUAGAAUUAAUGGUUAGUGCUAAUGAUCGAACAAUGAGAUCUAAAUUAACAAAAGCAACAACAAAGUCAUCAAAAUUUUCAAACUCUAGACAUACAUCGAAACUCAAUAGAAGUGUGAAUCAAAUACAAUCUCUCUAACUUUCUAUCUCUAUGAAUCUCCAUGCUGAGAAUCUUCGUUGCUCAAUUGUGCACGGGAUUUUACUCUGCCAAUGUCAAGCUUGUUCUUAGACGCAGUAUGCGAUUAUCCAUAUAAAGGAACACAUAAACAGAAGUUUAUAUCAUUCAAUCCUUAGAUAUACAAAACUAUUGUACUUGCUUAAAUUUAUUAGGAUAAAAAUAUAUUUACAGGUCCAAUAGUCCAUAAAAAGAUAGCUCUACUUUUACCAUAACUUUGAAGGGCUUAACAACAUCAAAACUUAUUAAAUCCUCCUAGUAAUUAUCCGCAUAGAAAUGGCCAGUAAAUCCGUAGAACCCAGUAGAAUUCGUCCACUUUAGAUGCGUAAAGAAAUUAAGAUCACUUCAAUUGAAAUUCAAAUGAGCGAAGAUAUGGUUUUCGAAACUUCGAAUUGAUUUACUUUGUUUCGGUCGAUGUUAAUAAGUUUCUCUUACAAAUUGGUUGAGACUUAUUACUGCCUACCAUUAAUUGACUUAUAAGAGCCAACAUUCUAUGACAUCCCACUUCCCAAGGAGUCAUCCAUCCUAGGACUACUCUAACCAUAAUAUUCUUCACUCUUUUGACCUCUUGAGCCUAACUAUGUACCGUCCAUAAUGCCACAGCCGGUUUAAGAAAUUUCGUCAUAUUAUACCUUAUAUAUAUGACUAUUCCAAUUCCUGAGGUUUCACAUAUUCUGCCUCAUGAUGAAGGCUAGGUUGGGCCAACUCAUGUUCAAAAUAUCAGGAUGUUGGGUUGGGCCGAGUCAUGUUCGAAGUAGCGUGAGGCUGAUUAAACCGAAUCACAAUCAAGAUCCGUGGGCAACUGUGUUUAUAUGUUCUAAGUAAUUUGUUUGUGUAUUUCUACUAGCACGAGCAUUUGGGGUUAAUGGUUAGCACCAACGAUCCAGCACCAUUGAAGUCAUUACUUGAAACUUAUCUAGGUCAGAUCUUCUUGGACUACCCAUUAAGAUCUAGUUUAGAUGCUCUUUGAUCACUUAAUUGUUCAUUUCAAUGCAUUGGUUCAUGGAUUAGUGGCUCACAAAUUUUAGCAAUGCAUGAGUCCAAGAAUUUGAAGCUGGGGGUUGCCGUCGCAUAUGAAUUUGGAACUUGGCCAAGGGCGUGCGACACAAAUAACACGAGCUUCUUGGGGAUUUGAUUGACGAAUCUGUAGAUCCAACAUAACUCAAGUAUAGUGGUGUUGGAGGUUCCCUGAAGUGUGGUUAUUUUUUCAUUAUUUGUUCUGAUGUAACCAUACAUGCUGAAAUUAAAUUUAAGUAUUCUUUUUUUAUUUUGGUGUAACUUAAUACUAAUGUAACUAGUUUUUUGAAUUCUAUUAGUUCUUUAGAUGUAAUAAAAUAAAUCCAGUUAUCUCCUAAUAUAGCGGUAACUUACCUCCACAAAAUCCAACAUAUAAAUUAUUAAAUGCUCCAUUAUUAUUUAAAGGUAAUUCUAAUCCAUUGUAAAGUAGAGUUUGGAGUUUUAAUAUUUAAUUAAUUUUUAAAGAAGGUUGAGUGUGGUGGAAUUGAGUUCAGUAUUUAAGAGGUGGAAGUCAAGAGUAGAUGAAAGGAGGUUUAACAUAACUUGAGUUACAUUAUUUUUUAACUUAUACCAAACAAACGCCGAAAGUGAUAGAAUUUGAGUUCCGCUCCUCCACUUACAAACCAAACGGGCCGUAAGUCUUCACAGAUGUCCUAACCACUUUGUUCUCCUAACUAUUUCGGUUAAAUUCUGUUUUUUUCCUUGAUAUUUUUGUGCAGCUUUGGGUCUCCUGACUUUUUCUUCCAAGGGGUUUCCACGUGAUUUUGGAUUGUUGUUCACUUUCCGCAUUUUACUUUUACGGCAUUGUCCUCAAUUUAGUGUGCUGCAAAAUUGAAAUGUUUAGUUGAUCAACAUAUGUAGGGUCUCCGAUGAGCCGAAUACGAGCAAGCUGUGAUUGAUGAAAAAGUUGGAAAAAAAAAAAUAAAAUCUUAAUGUAAUAAUUAAAAUUCACAAAUUAUUGGUCUCUUUAUGCUUGGAAUUGACCUAAAAUCUAAAAUAAGGUAAAUGAUAUAUAUAUAUAUAUAUUAUUAUAUAUAUAUAUAUAUAUAUAUAUAUAUAGAGAGAGAGAGAGAGAGAGAGAGAGAGAGAGUGGGGCUACAAUACUAUUAUGAGUAUUGAGUCAUUCAUAUUUAUAAAUUAUUUUUGAUGAUGAAGUUUCUGAAUUGAUGAACGAUACCAUUAAAAAUGAUAUAGAGCAUUUGAAACUUCAAAAAAAAAUUUUGUAAUUUUUUAAAAUCAUAGUAAAUCCACCAAGCGGGCAUAAAAUGAAUAGUUAAAAUUAAAUGACUUUCUAAAAAUCAAGGAUAGGAUACUUCAAUUUAAUAUCAGAGUUAACGUUAUUGAUCUUAUCUAGAUAGUGAAUAGAAUUUUCUAUCAAAAAUUUAACCUCGAUUUUUUACACUGUUAAACUAGCAAGUAUCUCAUACUGAUCAUUAAAAAUUAUUAAUUUUGAGAUAUUUUUAUCGUAAGGUAAAUGAUGUCAAAAAGUUGUGAAAUUUGAUUUCUAAAAGUUUCGAAUGCUCUAAAUAAUAUUUAACAGUAUUAAUCAUCGAUUGAGAAGCUUUAUUAUCGAAAAUGACUUAUGAGUACUGUUGGCACCAUAAAAAUAAUGCCACGUGGUAGAAUAGUCCGAGCCACGUGAAUGAAUGAAUAGAAGCAAAACAUAAAGCGACACAUGAUACACAAGGAGCUGGAAGCCGCACGCCUAAAACGGAAAAGCGGUUUGGGCGGAAUGUGGUUGAAGACGUGGAUGAAGGAGUUCAUGGCCAAUAAGAAAUAAGCUGAAGCAUGACCUGAGAAAAUAAGGAUGUGGCCGAAUAAACCUCCACGAUGGAAUUAACUCAAAUAACAGCAAGUGGGAUUAUAAAUAAGUGCACCUGAAAGAGGGGUCCUUCACACGAGUAAGAGACUACAACAAAUUUCAAUUUCUUUCUUUUUGGCAUUUACAGCUUUUCUCGGAGUUAGUUUCAAUAGAUUGCCAAUUAGUUGUAGUAGAAUUUUUUUUUGUUAAUUCCCUAUAGCUAAGAGCGUGGUAGAGUAGGGAUAGGGUUAGAGUUUAUCUCCGUAACAACUCUUGUAACCCCACUUUAUCCAUUUUUCGAUAAAUACAAGCCACUCGGCUCAUUCAGCGGAGUUUAUGAAUAGUUGUAGAAGAGCCUGACUGAGCUGAUCCCUCAUCGACCGAAUCGCUCGACUCGUCAGUGGUGCACUCGAGGUCGUCUCAGGAGCUGUCUAACUAUCCGAGCUCGGUCAACGUUUUAAUCUGGUUCGUCUCGCUCCGCAUUCAGUUCCUAAUACAAUAAUUUUUGGCACGCUCGGUGGAACACGCUCAGGUACAUCCCAACCUUUCUCUCAUAGUUGAUGAUAAUACAAUGAACCUCUGAAAUAGGAUCAUUCCUAGGCUCUCAGGGAAUAACUAGGCCAGUAGCGCCGAAAAUGCGAAUGAUCAUCAGGCGAUGUUGCAGGCUGGGGGUGAAAAUAGCAGGCACUCAGGUCAUCAGGAGCCAGCUUGACUCAGGCAUUAGGGCAAAUGACCUGAGUCCAGCAGACAUUGGAUCAAAACAGUCAUCGAAGUAUCGCUUGAUUACACGGUACUGGCCACCAUCAUAGCCUUUGAUGAGAAUAUAGCUCGUAUCAGACAGUUAUUAACCCUGAACGAGCAACUUAUGGGGGUCCAUAAGGGCCUCUAAUCGCGCCAGUGCAGUAGAACCCAUUUGCAUUGACGGUCCCGCAGACACAACCCUAAGUAGCACCUUUUCAGACUGCCUAUAGGCCUGUGACUGUAAACGCCGGCUCUCAGCCGGAAAUUGCAUAGGGUUUACCUCCUCCACCUCAUUUGCCUAUUUAUCAACCCCAAAAUGUGGGCGUAAGGGCCGAGGGCAGGGCCCCAAUGUAGUAUAGGGACUUAAUCCUGCAGUACAAAACUACAUGCUCCCUCUAGGACCAAACAGAAUUUCGGCCCCGAUCCCCGAUCCUCGGAGUAGGGAAUAACUGUACGCUCAAAUAGAAGAGACGAUCUGGAACACAUUCGAUAUAGGAGAAGACCGGCAAUGCGGCCUGUAUUUAGAUCCCCAUAUCCAGCUAAUAUUGUGGAACAUCCGUAUCUGACAAAUAGGAAGAUGUGGAAGUUCGAUAAGUUCUAUGGCGAAAAGACCGAAAGUACUGUAGAACAUGUUGCUCGGUUCAUGGCCCAGUGUAGAGAAGCGGCCGUUGACCCAUUCUUGAAACUUCGCUUGUUUAUCAUGUCGUUUACUAAGAUAGUGUUUACAUGGUACACAAGCUUAUCCGACAACGCCAUCCGAGAUUAGGACGAGUUGGAGCGAAAGUUUUAUGAGCAAUUUAAUAGAUCGGAACCUAAAUUAUCAGUGGAUGUGUAGUAUCCUAGGUGGAAAUUGAGUUGGUAAAAGGGCCUUUUGGUCUUUUGCCAAUCCUUAUCAUUUCCACCGCCUUAUACAGAGGUGACAUGCAUUGGAGGAGCUUUGGGUUGCUUAAUUAAUUCCUCUCUCUCUCUCUCUAGAUUGAAGUGGAGAGCACGGUGAAGACCUCGAGUACGUGGAGUUCGGAUUGACGUUGAUUUCGCGCCGGACAGCCGUUUGAGCCUACGUGCGUCGUGGUAGCGCCGUUGGAGGCCGGGCGAGCGCGGGAUUUCUUCUCCUAUCGACUUCUCGCCGGAAUUGAAUUAGCUUUUGAGGUGGGUUAAUGAUAUACUUACCGAAAUUUUCUGAAUUAUCUCCUAAGCCUAUAUAUGUUGACAGCAUGUAUUUUUAGUUUCGUUUAGCAUACUUAGUAGCUCGAUUCUUUGAUUUGUAUGGUUUUUUAAAUAUGAAUUGGAGCUUAGAAUGUUAGAUAAAUUAUACAUGUUGGAUUUGGAAUUGACUUAGGAGAAAACUAUAGGUUCUACACUGUCAUUUUCUGAAAACUACAAGAUUUAGUUUUAAGAGCUGUAGUUUGUUUGUAUCGCCGCAGUUUGUAGGCGGUGGAUACCCAGAAUAGUGUAAAAUGAAAUUACGCUCAUGCUGGGAUACCGAGUUUAUUUUUACAGUAAUGUAUAGACUGUUUCGGACUGUCGGGUGCUGUUGUGAUUGACGGUGGACCCAGUUUGCUGUUUUUGCAUCGGAUUGUACCGAGGACACUUCAGUUUUGGUUGUUAGACCAGUUAGACCCUUCUGCUUUGACAAUAGCCUGUGAGAGCCUGAUUGAGCUUGGCAGAGAUACGCUUGCAUACUCGGUUGGGUAGCGCCCACGAGUACCACUCCGGAGUCGGGCUUUGUGCUUUUGCAUUGUUGUCGGUUUGUCCUGGUUGGACACGCUCUCCACUGACGAUCCAGCGUGGUGGUAGUUAGUGUUGCUUCAACAGGCGGGAAGGGUGUGUUCACAGUCCCUAGUGUGUUUUGGGUUAUACAGUGCAUUAUCAUAUCUACAGAUUGUCGAAUAGGGAUAGUAUAGUAGCAUAUAGCUGUGGAGUUUUUCAGCUUUCUUACUAUCUUUGAGCAUACAUCUGUAGACUUAGUGGAUGAGCCGUUGAGGUCGGUAGUGGUACCCACUGAGGACUACUUCUUUUUGCAACAGUUCUAACACACAGUUGUGGAUUCUUUUUGCAUAGCCUUCUUCUUUUGCUGCUGCUUUCGCGUAUACUGAUCGUGGAAAGGGAGUCGCAAGCUAGAUCCCUUCCCGGUUGCGGCUGAUCUAGAGCUAUAUACCAGCUACAGGUAGUUGUAGUUUUUGGUUUUUAUACAUACUGAUGUUAGUUCCUCGCUGGAGCGAGCGAUUUUUUUAUCAGGAUACUAUGUAUGUAUGUUAAACCGAUGUUGUUUAUAUUUGUAUUUCUUUUAGCAGCUCUAUACUACUAGUUGUAGUAUUGUAUGAUUAUAAGUACAGCUAUAGCUAUCGCUUCAUAUACAGGAAAAAUUCCUUUAUAUACGACGGGUUUGUCGGCGUGCCCGGGAAAACAUAUAAUCCGGGGCGUGGUAGGCUGAUUUAGCUUUAUACAGACAGAAGUCGGGUGAAACGGUCAAAGAAUACUUGAACCGUUUCAAAACGGCUAGAAACCGAUGUUUCGUGAGGAUGACGAAAUCAGAGUUCGCCAAAAUAGCGUUCAAUGGUUUAUAUUUUUAAAUAAGGGACCAUCUCGAAGAUAAGCAUUUCGCUAACCUGUUUGAUCUGGGCAUUCAGGUUGCCCAAUAUAAGCAAUUUCGAAAAGAAAAUGAGGAUGAUCGGCUGUGAUGGAGCUGAAACUAAGAGGGAUCGAGGACUUAGUUGGUGAAGACGAUGCGACGGAGAUGGUAUAGAACUGCCAGCCUUAUAAGUGUGCGGUACUUAAGCCAGCUAGGGCUAGCGAAUCUAAAGCACAAAUGGCGGCAUACACUUAUUUGAUUGAUAUUGCCAAAACUAACUAAAUAUUUGACCAGUUGCAUAAAAACGGCAGUAUAAAGCUCUAGGAGUGUCAAACAUUGUCCUCUAGAGAGGAGUUAAAGAGAAGAAAGUAUUGCAAGUGACACCACUCAUGGAGUCACAAGACUAAUGAUUGCACAACCUUUAAGAGGGAGAUAACGGCUAGUUUUUGUCGACCAAGAAAAUAAGAAAAUGAAAGUUAACCAAAACCCCUUUCCUACGCAGGUUAAAAUCGAACGACAUCCUAAAAAUAGGUGAUCGGAUCUUUCAAUUUAAGAUCGAAGUUAUUGAUCUUUAUUUAGGUAGUGAAUAGAAUUUUCUAUCAAAAAUUCAACCAAUUCUGAUUCUUUUUCACCGUUAAACUUGCAAAUAUCUCAUACCGGCCGUUAAAAAUUGUCAAUUUUGUGACUUUUCAAUCAUAAGGUAAAUGAUAUCGAAAAAUUAUAAAAUUUGAUUUCUAGAAGUUUUAAAUGCUCUAGAUAAUGUUUAACGGUAUGGAUCGUCGAUUCGGAAGCUCUGUCAUCGAAAACAACUUAUGAGUACGAAGGUGAUCAUACUCAUAAGAGUAUAGUAGCCGGACUUUAUAUAUAUAACUAGGCUGGAAUACUAUCAAUAGCAUCAAGCUAUUGGUGCUACUAGUUUUUUAGCCCUUGGAUUGAGAAAUGCGCGUUUAGGAUGAUGAGGGCCCCCUAGGGUUGAGUAGGGUUGGUUGAAUAGUAUAAUCUAACGGGUAAAAAUAAUCAAAGCGGUUAAUCUGACGGCAGAAAACUUGAUAGCACCAAAUACUUGGUGCUAUCGAUAGCAUAGCAGCUGGACUAUAUAUAUAUAUAUAUAUAUAUAUAUAUAUAUAUAUAUAUAUAGUCCGGCUACUAUACUCUUAUGAGUAUAAUCCCCUUUAUACUCACAAGUUUUUUGCCGUUAGAUCUAUUUCUUUGAUCAUUUCCACCCGUUAGAUCAUACUAUUCAACCAACUACCUACUCAACCCUAGGGGACCACUAUUAACCUAACCCGGGACCACUAUCAUCCUAACCACACAUCUCUUCAUCUAAUGAUUAGAAACUUAUGAGUACAAAGGGGGCUACACUCAUAAGAGUAUAAUAGCCCUAGCAUAUAUAUAUAUAUAUAUGAGAGAGAGAGAGAGAGUUUGACUAGAUUACUAUCGGUAGUAAACGGCUCGGUUUACUACUAAUUUAUUUUUGAUGAUAGAGUUUCGAAAUCGACGAUCGGCACCGUUGAGCUUUUACACACUUUAAACUAAAGGUCUAUCAAAUUAAUCAAAUCUAGUACAANNNNNNNNNNNNNNNNNNNNNNNNNNNNNNNNNNNNNNNNNNNNNNNNNNNNNNNNNNNNNNNNNNNNNNNNNNNNNNNNNNNNNNNNNNNNNNNNNNNNNNNNNNNNNNNNNNNNNNNNNNNNNNNNNNNNNNNNNNNNNNNNNNNNNNNNNNNNNNNNNNNNNNNNNNNNNNNNNNNNNNNNNNNNNNNNNNNNNNNNNNNNNNNNNNNNNNNNNNNNNNNNNNNNNNNNNNNNNNNNNNNNNNNNNNNNNNNNNNNNNNNNNNNNNNNNNNNNNNNNNNNNNNNNNNNNNNNNNNNNNNNNNNNNNNNNNNNNNNNNNNNNNNNNNNNNNNNNNNNNNNNNNNNNNNNNNNNNNNNNNNNNNNNNNNNNNNNNNNNNNNNNNNNNNNNNNNNNNNNNNNNNNNNNNNNNNNNNNNNNNNNNNNNNNNNNNNNNNNNNNNNNNNNNNNNNNNNNNNNNNNNNNNNNNNNNNNNNNNNNNNNNNNNNNNNNNNNNNNNNNNNNNNNNNNNNNNNNNNNNNNNNNNNNNNNNNNNNNNNNNNNNNNNNNNNNNNNNNNNNNNNNNNNNNNNNNNNNNNNNNNNNNNNNNNNNNNNNNNNNNNNNNNNNNNNNNNNNNNNNNNNNNNNNNNNNNNNNNNNNNNNNNNNNNNNNNNNNNNNNNNNNNNNNNNNNNNNNNNNNNNNNNNNNNNNNNNNNNNNNNNNNNNNNNNNNNNNNNNNNNNNNNNNNNNNNNNNNNNNNNNNNNNNNNNNNNNNNNNNNNNNNNNNNNNNNNNNNNNNNNNNNNNNNNNNNNNNNNNNNNNNNNNNNNNNNNNNNNNNNNNNNNNNNNNNNNNNNNNNNNNNNNNNNNNNNNNNNNNNNNNNNNNNNNNNNNNNNNNNNNNNNNNNNNNNNNNNNNNNNNNNNNNNNNNNNNNNNNNNNNNNNNNNNNNNNNNNNNNNNNNNNNNNNNNNNNNNNNNNNNNNNNNNNNNNNNNNNNNNNNNNNNNNNNNNNNNNNNNNNNNNNNNNNNNNNNNNNNNNNNNNNNNNNNNNNNNNNNNNNNNNNNNNNNNNNNNNNNNNNNNNNNNNNNNNNNNNNNNNNNNNNNNNNNNNNNNNNNNNNNNNNNNNNNNNNNNNNNNNNNNNNNNNNNNNNNNNNNNNNNNNNNNNNNNNNNNNNNNNNNNNNNNNNNNNNNNNNNNNNNNNNNNNNNNNNNNNNNNNNNNNNNNNNNNNNNNNNNNNNNNNNNNNNNNNNNNNNNNNNNNNNNNNNNNNNNNNNNNNNNNNNNNNNNNNNNNNNNNNNNNNNNNNNNNNNNNNNNNNNNNNNNNNNNNNNNNNNNNNNNNNNNNNNNNNNNNNNNNNNNNNNNNNNNNNNNNNNNNNNNNNNNNNNNNNNNNNNNNNNNNNNNNNNNNNNNNNNNNNNNNNNNNNNNNNNNNNNNNNNNNUAUGUAUACAUACAUAUAUGUAUGUAUACAUACAUAUAUGUAUGUAUACAUACAUAUAUGUAUGUAUACAUAUAUAUAUAUACAUAUAUAUACAUAUAUAUAUAUAGAGUCCGGCUAUGGUGCUUGUAAAAGUACCAAGCACUUGGUGCUUAUAAAUUUUUUAUCAUUAAAUCUCUGCCUUUGAUCAGUUUUACCCGUUAGAUUAUACUAUUCAACCAACCACCCACUCAACCCUACGGGGCCGACAUCAUCCUAACCGCACAUCCUUUAAUCCAAAGGCCGAAAACUUACAAGCACCAAUAACUUGGUACUUUUAAAAGCAUAGGAGCUCAAUUAUAUAUAUAUAUAGGGUUAAUUUCAUACAGGUCCCUACAAACAUAUUGAAUAGCAGAUAUAUCCCUGCAAAGUUCAACUUUCGUAAGUUAUCCCUGCAAAAGCCCUAAUGUAUUCAGAUAUGUCCCUACCGUUAAUCUCCGUUAGAAAAAUCUAGUUAACCACAGUUAAAAUACUUAACCAUGGUUAGUUAAUAAGGUAAAAUAACAUUUUUACCCUUCUUCUUCUUCCCCUUUCUUUUCUUCUUCCUCUGCUUCUUCUUCCUCUUCCUCUUCCUCUCCUGCUUCUUUUUCUUCCUCUUCUUCUUCGUAUCCUCAUUUUCCUCCUCCUUUUCUCCUCCUCCUUCUUCUUCUUCUUCGUCGUCGUCGAUGAUCCGAUCGUCGUCGCCGUCAUGGUGCCUGCGUGGGCCGUCGUCACGGGCACCUCCGACGGCAUCGGCGUGCCUUCGCCUUCCUCCUCUUCCUUGUCCUCGUUGGCCACAACCUCGACAAGCUCCGCAAAGUCGCUGUCGUCGUCGCUGUCGCCGCCGCCCACAACAUGAAAAGAAAAAGGAAGAUGAAGGGGCAAGGGCAAAAUAGUCAUUUCACAACUUUACUGUUAAAAAAUUAACAGUUCUCUAACAAAUCCAAACCAGAGGGACAUAUCUGAAUACAUUAGGGCUUUAUAUAUAUAUAUAUAUAUAUAUAUAUAUAUACAUCUUAACUCGAGGAUACGAAAAUUUUCGUGGUUUUAAAACCACGAACAUCUAAAAAUCGGUAACUUAAUUCUCUAUACGCCAAUCCUACUACACCCCGGAAUCCCAACUCAUCCACCACGUACCAACUUAUCAUAUUAGAUUACCAACUUUUACUAGGCUCUUCAUCUAGAUUGCCAUUUUUUGAAUGUUCAUGGUUUACGAAACAUGAAAAUGUUCGUGGUAUCGACCUGAGAGAGAGAGAGAGAGAGAGAGAGAGAGAGAGAUAUAUAUAUAUAUAUCUCUCUCUCUCUCUCUCUCUCUCUCUCUUGAUCCGAGGAUACGAUAAUUAUCGUGGUUCAGUAACCACGAUGGUUCAAAAACCGGUAACCUAAUUCUCUACACGCCAAUCCUACUACACCCGGGAAAUCCCAACUCACCCACCAACCAACUUAUCAUACUAGAUUACCCACUUUUACUAGUGUUCCCAUCUAGAUUGCCGUCUUUUGAACCAUCGUGGUUCACGAAGCACGAUAAUUAUCGUAUCAUCGGUCUGAGAUAUAUAUGUAUAUAUAUACCCAAUUAAAGUAUGUACAGGGACGUUUGUAUAACUUAUCGUCUAUAUAGGGACGUUUCAAAUUGAAAAUAUUCAAUAGGAAUGUNACGAUCGGCUCCGUUAGACUUGAUCUACACUAUUAAAAGUAUUUGAAAAUUAAAUUUUAUGAUUUUUCGACAUCAUUUGGCUAGUGAUUAAAAGGUCUCAAAAUUAACAAUUUUAAUGGUAGAUGUGAUGCGUUUGUGAAUUUAACGGUGUAAAACAAUCCAAAUCAGAUGAAAUUUUUAUAGAAAUUUUUUUUUUUACUAUUUAGAAUAAGAUCAGUACCUCUGAUCUUAAAUUCAAGUCUUCUAUCAUCAUUUUUUAUGAAAUUUUUAUUUUUAGCCGUUCAUUUUUAGACUACUCAUUUGAUAGGUAAAUGAUAUCGAAAAAUUAUGAAAUUUAGUUUCCAAAUACUUUCAAUAAUGUAGAUCAAGUCUAAUGGAGCCGAUCGUCGAUUUGGAAGCAGCAUCAUUGAAAACAACUUGGUAGCAUGGAGGCCUCCGUGCUACCGAUAGUAUACCAGCCUAGCUCUAUAUAUUUAUUUGAGCUAUAUCGAGCGAGCUGAUGUAUUCAGCUUGUUUUUAUUAAACUAACGAUCGAUCUCGAGCUUAUUUCAAGUCGAACACGGGCUGGCUGGUGAACAGCAAGCUAGAUUACCACCCGUACACCUAUUCAUUCCUCUCUAGGUCCGUUAGUGUUAAAACUUCUAAAAACUCUUAAUCCAGGGGUUGACAGUCUAAAACUUAUCGCGCGUUUAAUUUGCAAACUUUCUUGGCUUUCAUGUCUCAGAUCUACAAGGGUAAAACGUCAAUAACUCCCACGUUCUAGAUUAAGCAAAGAUGAUCGAGUUCUCUCGUUGCCGUCGAUACGUAAUCCGUCAUUGAAUGAAUGUACAACAAAUUGCUCUACUGGAGUUUUCAAAGUUGCUUUAAUAAAGGCGCUAAACUUCAACUUCUUGGUCAAUUUGAUCACUUAUGGUACUAUUUAGUUGUCGAAUUACCUAGUUAAUUCACAUUAUUGUCGGAUUAUUGACGCUAACUAUUAAUUUCAAAAGCUCGAGCUGUUAGAAAUACGCAACCAAUUCACUUAAAGCGUACAGAUACAGCGCCCACGGGUCUCGAUUGUGACUCGGCCUAACCAGCUUAAUUCACGCCACUUCGAACAUUACUCGGCCCACCCAGCCUUGCACCAUUUUGAACAUGACUCAGCCCAACAUGGCCUCACGCCACAGGGUAGGAUGCUGGCACAUUUAAGCCAACAAUUAUCACUUCAUCAACAAAGAAAAAAAAAAGAUAAUAAUAAUCCGAGUUCAAUCAUUCAUGUCAUUGAAGAAAAUCAAAGUUUAAGACCUAUUAAUUAAUUUGAUUGAAACAGAUCACAUUCAGCCACUAAACGAAGUUCUCACAUAGUUAGUUCAAAAUGGAGAUUCUAUAUGUCGGGGAGGUACGUCGACGCCGCAAUUUGAGUCCACAAGUUGGCUCGCAUGCGCUCAAUGUGCGAAUAGAAUGUCACAAUUAUAGUUAUUUGGAGGUUACCUCCGUCACCUAUAAAGGAACAAUUGUAGGUGGCCCAAGAAAUUAAAACUAGUUAAUAAUAAUAAUAAUAAUGAUAAUAAUUAAUACAUGCAUGUGGUGAGUACAUGCGUGGACCACAAAAGAAUUUAUUACCAUCCCCUAUAAAGAGAAUGGUGGAAUUCUCAGCACAACAUUCCACAAAGUAAUCAAUCGUAUCCAACGCAAGUGGCAAAAGGCUUAUGGUUUAGUUUUGAGGUUCUAAAUUCCAAAUUUAGUUGUCGCGCGCGGUAUAAUGCAUGCUACCUUUCUCUCUUUUGGAAAAGAAAAAAAAAACAUUCCACAAAGUAACGUUUCCAUUAGAUAAAACUAGAGAUGGCAUCUAGCUAUAAGUAAAAUAAUAUAAAAUUGAGGCAAUUGCUUUUAUACCUUUGAAAAGUUUCCUACUUUCUUAUUUAUUCCGAUUGGAAGACUAAUAUUAAAAAAGUACCCUUUUAAUAUUUCAGGUUCUUUUAAAUAUAUUCCUAGAGUUAGUUUCUGUUAGUGAACUAUUAGGUUCAGCCGUUAUCUCUAUAAAAUUUUUAUUUUACCCUUCCAAAUAUAACCUUCUAUGUCACCAACUUUUUUUAUUUGUCUUAAGUAAGGAGCAAAAUGCGUAUUUUGAUUUUUUUUUUUAAUUCUGAUAUAAAUUUAAUCCGAAUUUAAUCCGAGGUAACUUAACGGGUACUAAUAGCACGAUUAUUUUUGAAUAACAGAGAAAUAUAUAAGGAAAUAGUUGAAACAAAAAUAAAUAAAUAAAUAAGAUAUUUCAAAAAUAUAUAUUAAGGGGUAUACAGGCAAUUAUUCCUAUAACUUUCACCUAUGUUAAAGCCAUACCUAUGGGAAAGUCAAGUUGGUUCAUGCAAUCUAGACCCGUACACAUUCAAUUUCAUGUUUAAAUUUGAAAAUCACAAUUACAAAUAAAUUUCAAAAAAAAAUUACAAAUAAAUCCCUUUACCUAAAACAUUUAUAAAAAUCUCAUGGAAUGUAACAUUAAAUAUCUAUUAUAGGUUUACUAUAGUGGUCAAUUCUAAGUUGAAAAAUGAUCUUUUCAAAUGUGCAUUUAUGUGUCAUUACAAAUGCUCACUCUUUUGUGAAGUAACUUAGGAAAUAAUAAUUGACAACAUUUAUCAUCAUGACAUAUAUAUAUCGCAGUACUACAUAAAUACAUCACCAAUUGUCUAACUAUCUAAUUUUUCUCGCAAAAUUAAAAAUUGUCUUAGUUAAUUGAUUAUAUAUUUUCCUAGUAUAUGAUGCUAGAUUAGCUGUAAAAAAUCUCUAACGUUGUCGAUUUUUUUCAUCUCAUAUUUCUUUAAAAAACUAUUUUUAACGAUGUUGGUUUUAUGUUCAUUGACUUAUUUUCUUUAUUAUUAUUUUUACCAUACCACAUGUAAUUUAUGCAAAUACAAUAUCAUUUUAUCUUACUACAAACCAAAUUUGAAUAGAAAGUAAAAUCCGAUGUGAAACCAUUUUACGCAAUGAUCACAAAAGACGACUAAUGCAUCAAAAGGACAACACAAGAAACAUGCUGAUCUCUAGUUGAUACAGUUACAACCAAUCAUCAAUUUUUUCCAUUUUGGCAAUUUGUGUUGUAGGCCCCUCAAUUGGAUCUCUCCUACUUUCAAUUGAACGAUUGAGACCUCAGCAUAUUAACUUCCCAAAGACCCAUUAGAAUUUGAAUUAAGUCCUAUAUAUAAAAUAUAAUGGGACUAAAUGAUCUCUUAACUCGGCUAUAGUAUUUUAGGUAGUGAAUAGAUUUAAAAAGUUAAGCAUGUUAGGACUGGACCCAUUCUAGGUUGGGUGAGCCUUUGAGAAGUAGGGCGUCAGAGUUGGUAUCAGAGUUAAUCAUUAAUUAGAAGUGUGAGAUGAGUCAUGAACUGAGCUAAAAUCAUAUAACGAGCAGAGAGCGACUCCCAACUAUGUCGACUAAGACUAACGAGACGAGUCUCAUAUUGUCUGGUACUUGUGAGUGUGCUUGAACCUGACAAGAACAUUAGCGCUUAAAGAGGAGAGGAAUAUGACACCUCUAAAAUUUUGAAUAAUCUUACAUAUAAGCUAUAAUAGGACUAAAUAUUUUUACCCAACUAUAGUAUUGGUGGCGGUGAUUAGGCUCAAAAGUUUAAGAAGGUCAUGCAUAUGGUAGAGUUAGAGUAGUUUUAAAAUGAAUCAUCAUCCUAGGAAGCGGAGCGUCACAUUCACAAAGAUAGUCCUUUGAAGCGACAACUUCUGAUUAAAUUCGUAGGAAAACCAAUCACAAAGAUCAUAAUCUUUUGAAGAGACUUCUACUUAAAUUCAUAGAAAAACCAUACACUCAACGUUUUUGUUGAAAACAAUCACACCGAAUUCAAUACUUAACAAACAACGAGAAAAUUGUGAUCCCUUAAUCAUGUGGCUUCACCACCUUCUCCUUUUAUACAGAAUAUAUAAGAGCUAGCUAGGAACGCAGAUAAAAACAUAUAGGCUUCGGCCAUUCGACUUGUCAUAGAGUGGACCCCAAGUAGUAAUAUAUAUCGAUAUGCAUCUAGAGGAGAGGGACAAAAGGUACUCCCCAGGUGAGGACAUGCAUCAUGAUCCCUAUCCAAUAGCAUCAAAUUGCCACCCAAUAAUUUCGAUUGUUCUCUGCCCAUUCAUAGCUCAGGAUUUUGGAGCCCUAGUGUAGCUACAGCUAUAUAUAUAUAUAUAUAUAUAUAUAUAUAUAUAUAUAACAUGUCCCACCUCACCAUGUCAUCCACAUACUGUUUAUGAAUAGUUCUCUCAUAAAGGAUAACACAAACUGGGUGGGAGCUACUUAUUUGUUUUGUAGUUGCUCUCAACACCCAUUUGAUGCUGUAUCUUCCAAUUUCUUGGUAGUAGCAUAGCUAUGGAUCUUUAACUGAUUGGAGGGUGCAUGGAGCUUCCUUUUGGACCAUAUGAGGGGCAGGACUAGGUUGAUUUAUGUAUAUAUAUAUAUUAACAACAAUUUGGUGGUUGAGUUGGGUCCAUUUCUAAAAGGGCUUAGGUAAUGGAUUGAUUAUUGAUCAUGGUUAGUUUUGAUCUUAAUUAAUUGGGAGCGCCACUUGGUAGGUGGCUCGCGACGACACAUGGUAGGUUUCCUAUUUGGGGGGCUUGCUUCCUCCCAUCAAUCCGAUAGUGAUCGAAAACGACCGUUGCGAUCGUUCACCCUUUUUGAACUUUCUUUCUUUUGUUUUCCCUUACAUUCACAUAUCUUUUUUCACUUAGUGGAGAUACAUAGUCUAAACCUAUGGUUAGGGUGGAUGUAUGCUAGGAGAUGAGGAGGACGAUGAUGACGACGACGAUGUUGUUAAUUCUUCUGUGAAUUCUUUUGAUGACGACGACAGUGAUGAUGGUGGGCAUCACUAAUUGGAAGAAGUUUGCGUGACCAAACAGCCUCUUCUGCGGAUGACAGAUGUUCACCGUAAUUGAUGCGCAACCUAUGAAUCAAUCGAUUAACCAUUAAAAGUGAGAUAUAUAUAUAUGCUUUAUGUACCCAAAGGUAAAGCUAAACUUACUUUUAUUUUAGAAUUGUGAAACUUUUGAAAUGAUUGAUCAGGUCAAGUCAAGAAUAAUCCAAGUCAAAAAGAUGGAUAAAAUUAAUAAAGCAAAAGGUAUAGCAAACUUGCUCAAAAACGGAACUAAAAGAGCUAGAAUAUAUCAACUUUAGAUCAUGGAGAACAUUAGUUUAUGCGAAGUUGCGAGAAAAAGAAUAGAGCAAAAGAAUAUUAAUGCAUACCACGUAGAAUAAAUUCCGCUAGCCCAAGCCUAGUGUAGUAUAUGCACAACAGGUUUGCAUGAGUAGGAUUCAAAACCAUCUUUUGAUCAUCACUAGCUUUAUAAUAAUCACCAAAUGAUAUCUUACUUAUGAGUGGAUCAUAGUACAACGGAUCGCUUAGUUUAGGUAAUCCUUGUGACCAAUUGACCGGAUUAAUGCGACCACCGCCCACAAGAAAAGGAUGGAUUAACAUGUUGCGUUUCGACGAUGGAGCUUCGUCAUCGCUUAGCAGCUGAGAGAUGUUGAUGUUUAAUGUAAAAUAAUCGCUAAUGAACAGUGGAUUUUCGCAGCAAAAGCUCAUUAUUAUUCUUGUGCUGGCUGCCAGUCAUUUGUCGGGCUUGGAACAGACUGCUUCUGAUCAGGGUGCAAUUUCAAAUACAAAUAAGAAGAUAGAGAUAUAUAAGAGUUCAUGCAUUUGACAUUUACCAUUGCUUUCUAGCUAUAAAGCUAUCUAUGGAUAUAUUUUUUUUUGUAGAAAGAUUUGGUAGUGGGAAUUUUAGGGCAUCAGAAGCUAAAUAAAUCAAACAGCAAUAGAAUCUGCAUAUAUAUAUUCAAAUCAAACAGUAAUAAAAUUUGUAUAUAUUCAAAGCAUAUUGCAAAUUAAUGGCCUAAUUUUUCAGAUUACAAAUUUAAUUAUGCUAUUAGCAUCUUUAAAGUGAUGAAAUAAUAUUAUUCAGAUUAUUGAGUUGUGAUUUUGAUUUCUGCUUGGUAUUUUAAAUAUUACGGGAAAAAUUAAUUGAUCUGAAAAGGAAAAGGUGACAAAGUACUUUUGGUUAUCCAAAAGAUCGGUUUAAUAGAAAACGAGGCCAUAAAUAUAUAUUAAUAUUCUCACUCACGCGCCUGUAAAUAUAUAUUAACAAUCCCACUCACGUGAGUGUAUGAUGAAUAUGAAAUGCACGUAGAAUUGAUAGAAAAGAUGGAACAUGAGAAUUUAACCCAUUAUAUAAUUACUAAAAUUUAAACCCAUUAAAUGUCAAAGGUUGGGAUUGAGCUCACGACCUCACAGAAUAAAAAGAUUUGGAAUUGGCGCUUAUAUAUAUAUCAUGUUACCCAAAAGAUGAAUCUAGUAGAAAACAGGCCACUCAUACGUAUAGUGAGGAUCAGGUAAACUCUGUCACUUAUAUUGGCAGAAAAAAUAAGAAAGAGAUUUUACCCAUUAAAUGAUGAAUGUGGAAAACUAAGUCCUCGAUUUUUUAAAAUAUGUUAGGCUCGAUCUAAUAAGAAACUGUCAAACAUUAGUCCCUAGGCUGCCAAUGUCUGCUCUGUUUAAUAUGAAAACCUCAAUUUGGUUACUUGUGAUUUAAUGCAUUUUUAUUAUUUUGCCACCCUAUGGUUUACAUUUUUUUUCACUUUGCGAGCUCUUAUUUUUCCUCUUUGUAUUUGUGCAAUUGCUGAUGAAAAUAAAAUAAUAUAGGAACCAUGCAAUAUGGUAGUGAAAUACAUUAUUUUAAGUUGCAUAUAUAUAUAUAUAUAUAUAUAUAUAUUCGUCAGAUGAUUUGUAAAUCCUUAUAAUCAAACCAAUAUGGCAUAACUGGAAAAGUGAAACUUUACAAACCACAUGACCUUAAGAAUAAAAAAGCGUUAAACCACAUGAUAAUUAAAUAAAGUUUAUUCUUGUUCAACCUAUGUCAUCAGCAUCGACCGCGCGUCCCUAAAGCAUAUGGCAAAGGACUUGAUAGUUGGUAUCCGAGAUCCCAAGUUCGAAUCCUAAUUUAUUCACAUUUUCAGCUAAGUUUAUUUCUAACUGAAAUAAACGAAACGAAUAGCGUGCUACCUAUCUGUCAAGUCUCGGAUUACCACGUUUUCCCUGGCACGCCAACAGACCCGUCGUAUACAAAAGAAUUUUCUCUGUAUACAACAGACCCGUCGUAUACAACUAGUAGUAUAGAGCUGCUAAACUGAACUGUAUAUAAAUAAACAACAGGUUCACCAUACAUACAAAGUCUCCCUGAUACAACAUCUCUCGCUCCAGCGAGUAACAACAUAAGUAUGUACAUGAACCAAAAACCAUAACUAUCUGCAGCUGGUACUCCUCUAGUGCUGCAACCAGGGAAGGGAUCUAGUUCGCAACCCCCCUUCCACGAUCAGUAUCGGUGACAGCAGCAGCCACAAAAAAAGGCUCUGCGAAAAGGGAUAAACAACUGGGUGUGAGAACUACUACAUGAAGAACUAGUCCUCAAUGGGUACCGCUACCGACCUCAACGGCUCACCCACUAAGUCUAUAGAAAGUAUGCGAAGGAUAAUAAAGGAAGCUGGUAAAACUCUACAGCUAUAUGCCACUAUACUAUCACUAAUCAACUCUAACUAUCUGUAGAUAUGCAUCCCCUGCAAUAACGACUAUACUGUCAAGGGACUGCCAACAGGCCCAUCCCGCCUGCUUCCGAGCUAUACCGCACACCACCACUGAGGUGGCCGGUCCUAAAGCACCGAGCUAUACCGCACACUACCACUGAAGUGGCCGGUCCUAAAGCACCAUCCAAACAGGACUGCUUCAACAACAAAGCAAAAGCACAAAGCCCAACUCCGGAGUGGCACUUGUGGGCGCUACCAAACCGAGUAUGCAAGUAUGUCUCUAUUGAGCUCGAUCAGGCUCUCACAGGCUAUAAUCAAAGCAAAUGGGUCUAAUAACUAAAACUUACGUACCCUUGGCACAAUCUAAUGCAAAUACAGAAAUCUGGGUCCAUCGUCAACCGCGACGACACCCGACAGUACGAAACAGUCUACACACUACUGUAAAAUAAACUCGGUAUCCCAGUACGAGCGUAAACCCCUCCUACACUAAUCUGAGUAUCUACCGCAUACAAACUGCGGCAAUACAAACAAACCACAGCAUCUAACGCUAAAUCUGGUAGUUUUCAGAAAAUGACAGUGUAGGAUUUACAGUUUUCUCCUAAGUCAAUUCCAAGUCCAGCAUGUAAAAUUAUACUACUACUACUUAACUCCAAAUUCAUAUUUUAAGCCUAAUCCAUGAAUUCGAGUACAAGCAAGAAAAUAAACACAUGAUACAUGUUGACGAUAUAAAAACUUAGGAGGUAUUUCGGCGAUUUCGGUAAACUUCAACCCACCUCGAAAAGUUUGUCCAACAACAGCGAGAAGUCGAGAGAAGGGAAAACACACGCUCGCCCGGCCUCCAACGGUGCAACCGCGACAUCCUCGCGCUCGAACGGCUCCCCGACGCAACGUCGACGUCGAUCCGAGCUCAAGCCGUAGCCUCCACCAAGCACACAAUUAAAACUAGAGAGAUGAACAUGAGAUAAUUAAUCUCUCUCAAGUGGAUAAAUAUAAGGGAGUAGGUGGCGUGGAUAACUAUCACCACAAAUGACCACCAUACCCCUUUACCAACUCAAAAAACAGCUAGAGUACCGGUACCCGAUUUGGUUACCGGUACUCGGCCUCUUAGCCCACAAGCUCACACACAGGGUACCAGUACCAGCCCGAUACCGUACCGGUACUCAACACUGAAAUCUUGCACUUUGCGGAUUUCAGCGUCAGAACUCCACUCUCGCCUCGCGUUGACUCCGUUUUGUAUCCAUUUCAUGCCAAAACUUCUCCGACUGGUCCCGAUACUCUCCAGAUGUGUCGACAAGCCUCAGAUGCUGAAAUCACACAGGCUACAGAACACCAGGGAUACUACAUCUUCCUCCACUAUAAAAACUUUGGUCCUCGAAACUUAGAAGCAUACCUCAAACCUGAGUCUCGAACAAGUAGGGAUAGGACUCCUGCAUCACCGUCUCUGGCUCCCACGUCGCCUCACGCUCCUCGUGAUUGCUCCACUGCACUUUUACAUAAGAAAUGACCCGGUUGCGUAAUUCUUUCAUCUCACGAGACCGAAUUCGCACCGGUCGCUCCCCAUAUCUCAAGUCCUCCAGUGGAGUGAAGUCAAUCACGUGGGAGGGGUCGAACACGUAUCUUCUCAAAACUGAGACGUGAAAUAUAUCAUGAAUGCCGGCCAAUCUUGGGGGUAGAGCAAUCCUGUAUGCUACUGAUCCGACUCGCUCCAAUACCUCAAAAGGGCCUACAAAGCGCGGACUGAGCUUUCCACGUACUCUGAAUCUGUGUAUCCCUCGGGACGGCGAGACUUUUAAAAACACACGAUCUCCAACCUGAAACUCUAAGUCUCGUCUCCUGGUAUCGGCGUAGCUCCUCUGUCGACUCUAGGCUGUCAAAAUGUAUCGUUGCGCAACCUUGACCUUCUCCUCUGCCUCUAUCAGAAUCUCAGGUCCCAGAGUGUUCCUUUCACCCACAUAACUCUAAUGCAAAGGGGAUCAACACCUGCGUCCAUACAACACUUUAAACGGAGUCAUCUGAAUGCUCGUUUGAUAGCGGUUGUUGUAUGCAAACUCAACCAGUCUCAAAUGUCGAUGCCACCCUCCUCCAAAGUUCAGGACACAUGGUCUCAGUAUGUCCUCCAGAGUCUGAAUUUUCCACUAUAAUGGACCAUCUGUCUGUGGGUGAAAUGUUAUGCUGAAAUGUAGCUGUGUACCCAAGGCCAUCUUAAGACUCUUCCAGAAAUGCGAGACAAAUCUCGGGUCUCGAUCCGAUACUAUCGAGGUAGGCACACCAUGCAAUCUAACAAUCUUAUCUAAGUAUAGCUAAGCGAGUCUCUCUCUGGAUCAGGUGGUCUGUACUGGUAGGAAGUGAGCAGACUUGGUCAGCCCACUAUCACCCAAAUAGCAUCGAAACCACCCUAUGCUCUAGGUAAUCCCAAGACAAAGUCCAUCGUAAUCUGCUCCCAUUUCCACUCGGGCACUGGCAGGUUCUAAAGCUUGCCAGCAGGCACCUGAUGCUCUGCAUUUACUUGUUGGCAAGUCAGACACUGAGCCACAUAUCUGCGAAUGUCCCGCUUCAUUCCAUUCCACCAAAAGUGUGCCUUCAAGUCCUUAUACAUCUUGGUUCCACCGGGGUGAACCGUAUAAAGUGAGUAAUGAGCCUCUCUCAAAAUCUCCUCUCGGAUCUCUGAAUCCAUAGGAGUCCCUGUACUGGAGUACUCCCGAACUGUCUACUGAAAAGGCCUCCGCCUGUCCCCUCUCUAACUGCUCUCGAAUCCUCAACAAGUGAGAGUCUCUACUCUAUUUCUCCAUGAUCCUGUCCAACAAAGUGGGCUGCAAGACCAUAGACAUCAGUCUCGUAGUAGACCCAGGGGACACUAUCUCAAGCCUCAACCGCUGUAGCUCCUCAAGUAACGGUCUCUGCUAAGUAAUCAACAUGCUGAAGCUCUGCACUGACUUCCUGCUCAACGCAUCUGCCACCACAUUCGCUUUGCUAGGAUGAUACUGAAUGCUAACAUCAUUAUUUUUCAAUAACUCCAACCACCGGCGCUGCCUCAGAUUCAACUCCUUCUGGGUAAAUAGAUACUUGAGACUUUUAUAAUCAGUGAAAACCUCACUGUGCUCGCCAUACAAAUACUGCCGCCACAACUUCAAGGCAAAAAUCACUGUAGCAAGCUCCAAGUCAUGCGUAGAGUAAUUCUUCUCGUAAUCCUUCAAUUAUCGGGAAGCAUAAGCAAUUACCCUACCAUGCUGCAUCAGAACACAACCCAACCCACUAUGUGAUGCAUCACUGUAGAUCACAAAUCCUUCCCCCAUAACUGGAAGGGCAAGGAUAGGAGCUGACAUUAGCCUCAGUCUCAACUCGUCGAAGCUCCUCUAACAAUCCUCACUCCGAAUAAACUUAAUUCCCUUUCGAGUCAAUCGAGUGAGGGAUGUGGAAAGCUUCGCAAAGCUUUCCACAAACCUAAGAUAAAAUCCAGCUAGUCCAAGAAAACUCCUCACCUCAGUCACCGUCGUCGGUCUGAGCCAAUCCCAAAUAGCAUCAAUCUUCUUCGGGUCCACUGCUACUCCAACUGCAGAAAUCACAUGGCCUAAGAAAGAAACCUCCUGCAGCCAAAACUUGCAUUUCUUCAAUUUAGCAUACAACUUCUUCUCCCUCAGAAGCUGUAAUACUAUCCUCAAGUGCUCCUAAUGCUCAACAUCACUCUAGGAGUAUAUCAAAAUAUCAUCAAUGAAUACAACAACGAAUCUAUCCAAGUACGGCUUGAACACUCUAUUCAUCAAAUCCAUAAAUGCGGCAGGGGCAUUCGUCAAUCCAAAAGGCAUCACAGUGAACUCAUAAUACAAAAAGUCGUCUUGAAAACAUCUUCGGCCCUCACCCUCAACUGGUGAUGACCUGACUGGAGAUCAAUCUUCGAAAAGAUACAAGAUCCUUGCAGCUGAUCAAACAGAUCAUCAAUACGCGGCAAAGGAUACUUAUUCUUGAUAGUCACUUUAUUCAGCUCCCGAUAAUCCACACAUAAUCUAAGUGAACCAUCCUUCUUCUUCACGAAUAAUACCGGCACUCUCCAAGGCUAUACACUGGGUCUCACAUACAUAUCCCUUAUCUAUCAGAUCCUGAAGCUGCGCCUUCAGCUCUCUCAGCUCUGUCGGUGCCAUUCAGUAGGGUGCCUUCGAGAUUGGCGCAAUUCUAGGAACUACGUCAAUCACAAACUCGAUCUCUCUAUCCGGCGGUAAAGUCGUCAACUCCGAGGAGAAAACAUCCGAAAACUCACGAACUAUAGGGAUACCCUCGAGUCCUAGCGCCGCCGUAGGCACCUCUACAACCAUCGCCAGAAAAGCAGUGCAUCCUCUACUCAUCAACUGUCGAGCCCUCGCCGAUGAAAUCCAAGUGGCAAACAACAUACUCCUGCAGCCUCUGUACGUGAACUCCUCAUGGCCUGGCUCGCGGAACGUCACUAUCCUCAUUCCACAGUCGAUCGUAGCAUAGUAUCGCACCAGUAAAUCCAUGCCAAGCACAACAUCAAAGUACUACAGCUGCUCUAAGACCAACAAGUCUGCGGGCAUAAUCCAGGAGCCCAACUGCACCAGACACGACCAACAACACUCUGCUACCUGCAAAAUAUGGUCGAAAAUCUGCACCUCUCGUGCAUGCAAAAACGACCCUACCUCUAGACCAUGCAAUGAUGUAAAUGCUCGGCUAACAAAAGAAUAUGAUAUGCCGGUAUCAAAUAAGGUACGAGCUCUAAUACCAGAAAUCAAAAUGAUACCUGCCACCACCUGGCCGGCUGCUGUAGAGUCCAUCAUUCUCCUCCACCAAGAAUGCGCAUCGCGAGCCAAACAAUGCACUCCCAGAUGUACUUGCUCCCGCUCCGGUAUAAACAAAUUCUCAAAUAAUUUCUCCAUCACGCUCACCCAGCCCUCUACAACCCAGAGCUCCGUACAGCUGCCGUCAAAGCACAGCGGAUCAAACCGACGAAAACAAGUAAGCCUCUCAAUCAUUCGCUCCUGCUCAGCCUCAGACAUUUGCGACGCCUCUCCAAAGAAUGCAACUGGCGCCGAAGGAACUGUCACUUGUGGGGGUACAGCUGUGGCUGGUGCGGCCAUGGGAAUAGUCAGUGCUGCUGCUGACUGCUCUAGUGCUCUAAGCGCUGCGCUUGGCGGUGGAGUAAAUGUCUCACACAUCCUCUAUAACAGUGCCCCCUACUACCUCGUUGCCUCAGUCAAGGCAGCCAACUGUCUCUCAGAUCAGGGGGUACACUCAGCCCUGCCUACUCAGGCACCUCUGAUGGUGUGGCACGAUCCCGCGUCGGCGGUCGGCCUCGGCGUCGAUACAUGGCUACCUGAAAUCAAAACAAAGGUCAGAUACAAAACACAAUCAACUCUCGACCCAAUCAAGCGAAAGUCUAGAAGGCCGCCCCUGUUUCUCUUCAAAAUUAUGUCGUCUGCAGCCGACAUAAUUUCCUUGGCCGAAACAGACACUCCUUAAGUGACUCACUCCACUUUAGGAUAAGUUAAAACAAUUCAAUCGCUGACUUUCGUGAUAAAUCACGCCUCUCGCGUCUUGCCUUCCUAUGGUUUGCCAAGCAUAAAGUUUUCUAGGUCCCAACGACCUAAUACUAAACUCUGAUACUAACUUAAUCUGUCACGCCCUGGAUUACCACGUUUUUCCAGGCACGCCAACAGACCCACCGUAUAUAAAAGAAUUUCCUCUGUAUACGAAGUAAUAGCUGUACCUGUAUCUGUAAUCAUACAAAACUACAAUUAGUAGUAUAGAGCUACUAAACUGAACUGUAUAUAAAUAAACAUCAGAUUCACCAUACAUACAAAGUCUCCCUGAUACAACAUCUCUCGCUCCAGCGAGUAACAGCAUAAAUACGUACAUGAGCUACUAAACUGAACUGUAUAUAAAUAAACAUCAGAUUCACCAUACGUACAAAGUCUCCCUGAUACAACAUCUCUCGCUCCAGCGAGUAACAGCAUAAAUAUGUACAUGAACCAGAGAAGGGAUCUAGCUCGCAACUGGUACUCCUCUAGUACUGCAACCAGGGAAGAGAUCUAGCUCGCAACUUCCUUUCCACGAUCAGUAUCGGCGACAGCAGCAGCCACAGAAGAAGGCUCUGCAAAAAGGGGUCAACAACUGAGUGUGAGAACUACUGCAAGAAGAAGUAGUCCUCAGUGGAUACCGCUACCGACCUUAACGGCUCACCAACUAAGUCUACAGCAAGUAUGUAGAAGGAUAGUAAAGGAAGCUGGUAAAACUCUACAACUAUAUGCCACUAUACUAUCACUAACCAACUCUAAUUAUCUGUAAAUAUGCAUCCCCUGCAACAACGGCUAUGCUGUCAAAGGACUGCCAACAGGCCCAUCCCACCUGUGUCCGAGCUAUACCGCACACCACCACUGAGGUGGCCGGUCCUAAAGCACCGUCCGAACAGUACUGUUGUGACAACAAAACAAAAGUGUAAAGCCAGACUCCGGAGUCGCACUCGUGGGCGCUACCCAACCGAGUUUACAAGCGUGUCUCUACUGAGCUCAAUCAGGCUCUCACAGGCUAUAAUCAAAGCAAAUGGGUCUAACAACCAAAACUCACGUGCUCUUGGCACAAUCUGAUGCAAAUACAGAAAUCUGGGUCCACUGUCAACCGCGACGACACCCGACAGUCCGAAACAGUUUACACACUACUGUAAAAUAAAUUCGGUAUCCCAGCAUGAGCGUAAACCCCUCCUACACUAAUCUGAGCAUCUACCGCAUACAAACUGCGACAAUACAAACAAAGCACAGCACCUAACGCUAAAUCUGAUAGUUUUCAGAAAAUGACAGUGUAGAAUUUGCAGUUUUCUCCUAAGUCAAUUCUAAGUUCAACAUGUAAAAGUAUACUACUACUAUUUAACUCCAAAUUCAUAUUUUAAACCUAAUCCAUGAAUUCGAGUACUAGCAAGAAAAUAAACACAUGAUACAUAUUGACAAUAUAAAAACUUAGGAGAUAUUCCAGCAAUUUCGGUAAACUUCAACCCGCCUCGAAAAACUAGUCCAACAACGGCGAGAAGUCGAAAGAAGUGAAAACACGCGCUUGCCCGGGCUCCAACGGCACAACCACGACGUCCACGCGCUCGAACGGCUCCCCAGCGCAACGUCGACGUCGAUCCGAGCUCAAGCGUAGCCUCCACCAAGCACACAAUUAAAACUAGAGAAAUGAACAUGAGAUAAUUAAUCUCUCUCAGGUGAAGGAGUAGGUGGCGUAGAUAACCACCACCACAAAUGACCACCAUAUCCCACUACCAACUCAAAAGACAGCUGAAGUACCGAUACCCGAUUUGGUUACCGGUACUCGGCCUUUCAGCCCAUAAGCUCACACGUAGGGUACCGGUACCAGCCCGAUACCGUUUCGAUACUCAAUAAUGAAAUCCUACACUUUGCGGAUUUCAGCGUCAAAACUUCACUCUCAUCUCGCGUCGAGUCCGUUUUGCAUCUAUUUCGGCCCAAAACGACUCCGACUGGUUCCGACACUCUUUAGAUGUGUCGACAAACCUCAGAUGCUAAAAUCACAUAGGCUGCAGAAUAUUAGGGAUACUACACUAUCUCUCAAAAAAACCUAUGUGCUCAGCAUGCUUUAUAGAACAGCAAAUGUACGUACAUGCUAGCUGUGAAAAAGUAGAUACAGAGAGAUAAGAUUACUUAAAGAAUAUAGAAUAGUUUAAGUUGUUUCUCAUUGCAUUAAAGUCUAAUUAUUUUAUUCCUCUUGGAGAUGUGACUCUAGCAAACAGGGAAAUGUACUUAGCAGCUUCAAUUAUUAAGAAGCUAUAAAUAGGCCAGAUUAGCCUAUUUAAUUAUGGGGUUAAUUUAUUCAAUACCCUCCAACUGAAAGAUUGCAAUUUAAAAAAAAAAAUCUUUCAAAUUGUGAAAUAUCAUUUGAAGUAAUAAAUAUUUUUAUUUUUUUACUGACCUUUCCUAGAGUGACACUACAACAAAAACGGGCUAUAGCGACACUUUUAAAUAUAGGUACAGGUCAAAAAAAGUGCUGUUGGCUAAAUUACCGACACUUUUAAAAAGUGUUGCUAUAUGUGGGGUCGCUAGGUAUAUAGUGACAGUUAAAGAGUGUCGCUAUAAUCUAAAAAAGUGCUUCUAAUUUACCAAUAUUUAUUUAAUCAUUUAACAGCCGUCAGAACUCUACUUCGUUGGCUGCGGUAGCGGAGGAGGACGAGAGGAAGGGAUUUUCGUCUUGGAUUUCAGUCGAUUAAGUGAGGGGAGAAGGGGAAAUGGUAAUCGAUUUUUCUUUUCUUUUUCUUUUUUGUUUGUAAUCGGACCGAAUGGGCUGGGUGCGGUGGGUUGAGUAGAGUAACCUUUUAUUUUUGGUUAGAUUGGACUUUAUAUUUAAGCAUUAGUAGAUUUUUUUUUUAAGUUUUGGCAUAAAUUAGACACUUACACAUAAGUGUCCCAAACAUGUGUCCCUAUAAUCUAAUUCCGUUGUAGUGGAGUGGCAAAGGCUUGGUGGUUAGUACUUGAGGUUUCAAGUUCGAAUCCUACUUGAUUCACAUUUCUAGCUAAAUUUAUUUUCUAAAUGAAAUAAACAAAGCGGGUAGCGUGCUACCUAUAUCUCUCAAACAAAAAUUAUUUUUAUUUUUGAAAUAAACUAGUAUUAUAGAUACAGAGUAACGAAAAAAAAAUUGUGUUUUGGUUUAAUAUUUUUUUAUUCCCUAGAAUAAGCAAAAAUUUUUUUUUAGUAAUUUUAUUAAGAAUAAUGAAGAAUUGUACAAAAAAUAUAUAAAUUUUUAAAAUAUUAAGAUUGCGGUUAUUAUUAUCUAGAUUUGUUUCUGGUCAUAUAGUAGACUAUUUACUGGAUAUAUAUCAUAUAUUAUCUAAAUACUUCAAUAUUUUGAUUGAACAUACUUCAUGAAUAAUAUAUAAAAAAUAUUUCAGAAGGAUAAGUAUUUUAGGAUAGACAUAUAAUAUAUAAGAUAAAUUUAUAAAAGGAAUAAAGUAUAUAUAAUACCAGCUACUGAGUAGUGUGUUGUAUACUACGUAAACGUACUACAUACUGAAGAGAUAGGUAUAGAUGGAAGAUAAUAAAUAUUAUUGAUUAUUAUGUAUUUUAUUAGUUAUAAGAUAUUUAUAUAUAUAAAAUAAUAUAUAUAAUUAUAUAUAAUAUAUAUAUAUAUAUAUAUAUAUAUAUAUAUAUAUAGUAUAUAUAUAUAUAUAAUAUAUAUAUAGUCACUUAGGUGCUUGUAAAAGCACGCAAGGACUUGUGCUUGUAAGUUUUUUACACGUUAGAGUCUAUUUCUCGAUCAUUUUCAUACCAACCACUACUCAACCACUAGGGGGGCCCACAUCUCAUAACCGCAUAUCUCUUUUAUGGCUAAAACCUACAACAUCCAAUAACUUGGUACUUUUAAAAGCAUAGAGCUCAAUUAUAUAUAUAUAUAUAUAUAUAUAGUACCACUACUAUUAUACCAUAUAUAUAGUAUAUAACCCCAUAUUGUAUAUUACGUUUUAGGGUGCGUUUGGUGUCAAGUUAUUUCCGGCAGAGGAUUACAGUAAUUCUAUCAGGAUACGUGUUUGUUCAUCCGCUAUAAUAAUACUAAUCGUUAAUAAGCAGCAUUACAAUAUGAGUAGCUCAUUACACGAAAAUUAUACAACACGAGCGGGGUCGUCUAGUAUUUGCAUUAACUGAAAACCGAUAAAAUCAUACUUAUUAAUGUAAAAUGAUCAAUUUUAACGCUCUAACUCUCGAACCAACUUUCACUACACGAUUUUUUAAUUUUUAAUUAAAUUAAUUUAAAAUUUGAGAUGUCAACUUUUAAUUUAUUAAUUUUUAAUUUUCAAUUUAAUUUUAAAUUUUAAAUUUAAAUUUUUAAAUUAUUUAAUUUUAAUUUUUAAACUUCAAAUUAUAAUUAAUUUAAAUUUUAAAUUUCAAAUUUCAAAUUUGAAGUUGAAAUUUUGAAUUUUAAAAUUUUAAAUUUAAAAUACAAAUUUGUUUUUAAAUUUGAAUUUAAUUUAUAUUUUAAUUUUUUAUUUUAUAUAUAUUUAUAUUUACAUUUUAGAUUCUAAAUUUAGAAAUUUCAUAUUUAUAUUUUAAAUUAAAAUAUUAAAUUUAUAUGUUUGUUAAAAUUUAAAAUUUAAAAAUUAAAUUAUUUAAAAUAAAAUUUGGUAAAAAAAUAUUAUUUGUAAACAAUAAAAAAAAAAGUUUACGAAAUAUAACUAAGGGCUAUUUUGGAAUAGACUAUACUUUAUUGUCUAAAUUACUAAAUUUUAUAGACAAAACCAAAUAUAGUAACGCUAUAAACACAGCAAUCCGGUAUUACAUUAUUGUAUUAAACCAAACAUACUAAUGGUAAUCUCAUUUAGAAAUUUUAUAUCGAAAUACUCUAUAAUAUAAUAUAACUCGAACCAAACGUGCCCUUGUUAUCUUUAAUAAGCUAAGUUGUUCUUGGAAUAUUUAGAAAUUAUCUAAAUAAUCUGGUUUAACUGAAAUAAUUAUUCUUUUUUUUUGUAUAUUGUUUAGCAGAAUAGCUGGGAUAACUUUUGUUCACCCAGGUUUAUUCCUAAAUCAAAUGGAGCCUAAAAAGUUUUGGAUUUAGGCUUUGGGUUUGGGGUUAGAGGGGUAUUUGGGACAGCUUUAUAUGUCUAGAGGAGUACCAGUGAUAGAUUUACAAAUUUAGAGAGAGUAUGAAUGAUAUUUUAGAUUUUGAAGGAACCUAUAUGAUAUUUUUAAGUUUUAGGGGGUUAUAUUUGAAAUUGCCCCUUAAUUAUAUGUUGGUACUCUCGUUUUUCUGGAAAGGCCCAUUUAGAGUGGAGGAGAAGAGUCGCUGCAGCAGCCCAACAAGAGCCCAAAUUCUAACAUUACGUUCCAAACCCCAAACUAGAGCUAAAAACUAAAUUAAAAAUAAUAAUAAUGUAUCUUAUUUUGAAAUGUAUCUACAGUUAUAUAGUUAGUGAUUCUAAAAAAUUUGAUUCAAUUGAAAAUGCAUGUUUUUUUUUAAUGAAGAACAUACUGUUGAAACUCGAAUUUCUAUAUAUCACGAAUGCGACAACUUCUGGAGUAGACCUAACAGAGUAUCUGUUUGGCCCGACUUUUGCUGGGCCUAAACAGGCUUUCCCUACUUUGGGGGUGUUAGGUGGAUUUAUAUUUUUCUCAAGUCUCCACAUAUAUUUAUAUUAUAGUUUAAAAUCAACAAAUAGCAGCACGUGCGACUUAAGAAAGACAAUAUCGGUCUAAUCGCAAAAAGGCUCCAAAUUUCAAUCAAAACAUACUUGAACAUUAAUAUUUUCACAUGGAACAUGGGAAUCGGCUCUGAUACCAAUAUUAGAAUUACCGGUAUAAAAGAAAAACGCAACAGAAAAUAAUAUUAUAUUUUUUAAAUUUUUCGAAAAUCAAAACUCAUAUCACAUAAACAUCACGUUCCAUCUGAAUUACUUUAAAAUAUAUAUAUAUAUAUAUAUAUAUAUAUAUAUAGGCUAGUAUACUUAUGNNNNACAAGAUCAAUAACUUUGAUCUAAAAUUUUAAUAUCAUAUCAUCACAUUUUGUAAGAUUUUUAUUUUCAGCCGUUGAUUUUGAGACACUUCGAUCACUACGCAAAUGAUAUCGAAAAAUCGCAAAAUUUAUUUUCUAGAUACUUCCAAUACUCUAGAUCAAGUCUAAUAGAGCCGAUCAUCGAUUCGAAAGUCCAAACAUCGAAAACAAAGUGGAAGCACGGAGCGCUUCGUUCUUCCAUAAGCAUACCAGACGCACUCUAUAUAUAUAUAUAAUUGAGCUAUAAUACUUUUAAAAUUAUUACCCCAUUGAUGCUUUUAGAUUUCUGGCCCUUGAAUCUACUCCUUUAUUACUAAUAGCCCUUGGAUCAAACACUAUUCCAUCUACCACCACCUACCACCANCCCAUUGAUGCUUUUAGAUUUCUGGCCCUUGAAUCUACUCCUUUAUUACUAAUAGCCCUUGGAUCAAACACUAUUCCAUCUACCACCACCUACCACCACCUACUAUCAUCAUCACAACCUUACAUUCCUCCAUCCAAUGAUUAAAAACUCAAAAGCACCACCUCAUUGGUGCUUUUGAAUGUAUUCUAGGUCAUCUCUCUCUCUCUCUCUCUCUCUCUCUCUCUCUCUCUAUAUAUAUAUAUAGGGUCCGGCUACUAUACUAUUAUGAGUACAAUCACCCUCGUACUUAUAAGUUGUUUUUGAUGAUAGAGCUUCCGAAUCGACGAUCCACACCGUUAAACGUUAUUUACAGCAUUUAAAACUUCUAUAAAUCAAAUUUUAUAACUUUUCGACAACAUUUACCUUACGAUCAAGAGGUCACAAAUUUGAUAAUUUUUAACGGCCGGUAUGAGAUACUUGCUAGUUUAACGGUGUAAAAUAAUCAGAAUUUGUUAAAUUUUUUAUAGAAAAUUCUAUUCACUACAUAGAUAAAGAUCGAUAACUCUGAUCUUGAAUUGAAGGAUCCGAUUAUUCCUUUUUAGGACGUCGUUCAAUUUUGACCUUUCAUUUUUUGCCCACUUGAUGAACUUUACUAUGAUUUUGAAAAUUUACGAAAUUUAUUUUCUAAAAGUUUCAAAUACUCUAGAUCAUAUUUAACGGAAUGGAUCGCCAACUCCGAAGCUCCAUUAUUGAAAACAACUUAUGAGUACAAGGGCUCCAAUACUCAUAAUAGUACAGUAGUCAUGGCCUAUAUAUAUAUAUAGAGUCCGGCUACUAUACUCUUGUGAGUACGAUCGCCUUCAUACUCAUAAGUUGUUUUCGAUGAUAAAGCUUCCGAAUUGACGAUCCAUACCGUUAAACAUUUUCUAGAGCAUUUAAAACUUCUACAAAUCAAAUUUUAUAAUUUUUUGAUAUCAUUUACCUUACGAUCAAAAGGUCACAAAAUUGAUAAUUUUUUACGGCCGAUAUAGAAUACUUACUAGUUUAACGGUGCAAAAAAAUCAGAAUAGGCUGAAUUUUUGAUAGAAAAUUCUAUUCACUGUCUAGAUAAAGAUCAAUAACUCCGAUCUUAGCUUGAAGAAUCCGAUCAUUCAUUUUUAGUACGUCGUUCGAUUUUGACCAUUCAUUUUAUGCCCGCUUGAUGGCCUUUAUUAUGAUUUCAAAAAAUUACAAAAUUUAUUUUCUAGAAGUUUCAAAUACUCUAUAUCAUAUUUAACGGAGUGGAUCGUCGAUUCGAAAGCUCCAUCAUCAAAAACAACUUAUGAGUACGAAAAGUCCAAUACUCUUAAGAGUAUAGUAGCCCUACUCUAAUAUAUAAAUAAAUAUAUAUAUAUAUAUAUAUAUAUAUAUAUAUAUAUAUUAUUUUUUAAAAUUAUUUUACGUGCACUAAUGUACACUUUGCUAGUAUAUAUAGAUAUAUCAGAUUGUUUCAUUACACAUUCCGAUCGAUCUACAUGAAAGAUCUCGGCACACUUAUGAUGCCGCACGAAUCUUCACACGGCACGCUAAUGAAGCCGCACGAUGACGUGUAGGAUAAGAAAAUAAAUAAAUAGACUUAUCCAUAAUAUUUUAUGAUGAAUAUUUAAGUAUUUUAUCUUUACCUCUCUCUAAUGAAUUUUGAUUGGAACCUAUCUUUUAUAUUAUAAUUAAAUAUUUAUAUUUAAAUCUAAUUUAGUUAAAAUAUUAUUUCAUAAUAAUUUAUGAAUAUUUAAUUACUUUUUAAUUUAACUAAAAAUUAAAAGAUUUAUAAAUAAUUUUCAAAUUAGUACAAUUCCUUGUUGCUUUUACUAAACUGUUUAAUAUACUAGACUCAUCCUUUCAUUUGGAAUGCACACUAUUCGGCAGCGGAAUCCAAUACCAAAAUCUUUACUAUUGCAUUAGAAAGCUUCUAAUAGAAAAAUAAAAUAAUUUGAUUUAAAUUAUUUUUUAUUUUUCUCCUUGUCCACGAGUGACACCUUUCAAUAUAUCGUAGUCAUCCAAAAUGGCAAUGAAGAAUUGACACUUCCGCUUACAAUUAUCGUGUGAUUAAUUUUUUUCAUUAUACACUGUCCCGAUUGAAUCAAAGUUAUGGUUACUCGCCGAACUUUAUUAUUUGAUUAGAUGACUAGAAUUUUUAAAAUCGACUCAACAUGUUAAUACAGCGUGAAACUCUUUUCACGCAUCACGUACUUUGGCAAGUAGGGGUGGAAACAAGCCGAGCUCGAGCGAGCUUACAUCGGCUCAAAUUCAACUUGAAAUUAAUUUUUAAUUUCAAGCCUAAAUUUAGGCUCAAGCUCGGCUUGAAAUUAAUUCGAGCUGAGCUUGAGCGAGCCUAAUUUUGAGUCGAGCGAGCUUGAGCUCUAAACGAGCCGCUUGAAAUUCUCAACAUCGAUCGAUCAAUAGUUUAAUUUGUAUAAAACAUUAUUUACAAUUUGAUACAAAAAUAUAUCUAAUAGUUCAAAAUACAAAAUAAUUAUAUAAAAUACGGUAUUAUAAUAUGAAGAAAAAUAAUUUAUGAGUUGAAUAUCUAAUCUUUUCAGUCUCGUAUGUUUUCUCUUCCGCCUCUAAUCUCCAUAUUAUUCCUUUUCAUUUAUACGGUUAAAAAAUGAAUAAAUUCUAUAGGCAAAUAUUGGAUUUAACUAUCCAAUCAUAUAUAACUAAAAUCAAAAUUUUGUAUAAACAAUAAUUUUUUACCUUAAAAAUAUUCUGUAUAUUUUUUCAAGCACACAACUAAUGAUAAGGUAGGCAACGGCGGGCGCGCGCUGUUACUUGGUAACUUGGGGGCCUUCAUGUUAAAACUUUAUUAGAAAUUAAUAUCGUACCUUCUGCCAUGAUUUCGAUUUCUAUAUCCGGAUUGCAGACGAUGAUUCUUGCUUGUGGUUCGUCCUCGUUCACAAUCUGCAAAAGAGCAGAACGUUUCGAGUCUAAUUCCCUUAUCCUCAGAAAUGGAGCCGUCAUAAGAAUUAAAAUUAGAGUUAGAUCCUAUAUAUUACAUAUUUAUAUAUAACUUGAUGUAAGGACAUUAAAUCACGCACAUCCAUCAAGGACAUGUCCAGAUGCAUCCUAACCGUUAGAUCUACCAUAUCUUUAUACAUCGACUUGAAUAGACCGAUUGUAUCUUUAUAGAUCGCCUUGAAUAAAUUACAUGAGCCACAUCAAAUAAAUCUUCUUCAGGCCAAACCAAGGAAUCAGUUAGAUAUGAUGCAAAAUGAAAGGCUUGGCCACUUAGGGUGAGAGACAGACAGACAGAGAAAAGAGAGAGAGAAAGAGAGUAAGGAUUUAGAGAUAUAUGAAAGAAAGAGAGAGGGAGAGUGUAAAUUUAGUAGAAUUUUGCAUUUUUAUUUGUCUAUUGGGUUUGUUUUGUGGGCCAGCAACAUUAGCCCAUUUUUAUCUAAACUCAAAUUACUCAUUCAACCUACAUAUAAUUAAAAUAUAUUAUAUUUAUAUAUUAUUUUAAUAUAUAUAUAUAUAGAGAGAGAGAGAGAGAGAGUUAGGCUGGUAUACUAUACAUAGCACGGAGGCUUCCGUGCUACCAAGUUGUUUUCAAUGAUGCGGCUUCCAAAUCGACGAUCGGCUCCAUUAGACUUGAUAUACACUAUUAAAAGUAUUGGUAAAUUAAAUUUCAUAAUUUUUUAACAUCAUUUGGGUAGUUAUCAAAAGGUCUCAAAAUUGACAAUUUUAAUAGCAGAUGUGACGCGUUUGUGAAUUUAACAGUGUAAAACAAUCCAAAUAUGAUGAAAUUUUUAUAGAAAAUUUUUUUCACUACUUAGAGUAAGAUCAUUACCUCUAAUCUUAAAGUCAAAUCUUUUAUCAUAAUUUUUUAUGAGAUUUUUAUUUUCAAUCGUUCAUAUAUUUUUAGACUACUAGUUUGAUAGGUACAUAAUGCCGAAAAAUUAUGAAAUUUAGUUUCAAAUACUUUCAAUAAUAUAGAUCAAGUCUAACGGCGCCGAUCGUUGAUUUGGAAGCCGCAUCAUUGAAAACAACUUGGUAGUACGGAGGCCUCUGUGCUACCGAUAGUAUACCAGCCUAGCGCUCUCUCUCUCUCUCUCUCUCUCUCUCUCUCUCUCUCUCUCUCUCUCUCUCUCUCUCUCUCUCUCUCUAUAUAUAUAUAUAUAUAUAUAUAUUCAAGCUUUUCGAGCCUAAUUCGAGCGAGCCAAGUAAUACUCAAGCUUGGCUUGAAAUAAAUUUCGAGUUGAGCUAGAGUGAGCUGAAUAUCGAGCCGAACGCGAGCCGACUCACUCAUUUGCCAGCCUACUAGCAAGGAAUUUUUCGGUAUCAAGUCUGAUAGUCUACAUAAGACCUUCUCUCUCAAUAUUGAAAGUGUUGUAUUCCUUAUUUUACACUCACAUGCCUUAUCGUAUAAACUACUAUAGUCAAUUAAUACUAGACAUAAACUAAUGAUUAAAGGCUAAGUAUUAUUAAAAUCAAACGGUAGCAAUUUAUAUGUGAAUCAACCAUAAUGUCUCAGGUCCUUCACAACACUAUAGCAAAGACUAGCCAGUAGUAAGUAUUGAACCAUAUGACUGUUUAGCCAGUAGUAAGUAAUCAAACGGUAGCAAUCUAUAUGUGAAUCAACCAUAAUGUCUCAGGUCCAAAGAGUACUUCACAACACUAUAGCAAAGAACUAGUCAGUAGUAAGUAUCGAACCAUAUGACUGUUCAACUAAAUGGUCGCGUUCAAUUUACUUCUUCGAUCGCUAACAAGCACUUGUUGGCUAUUUAUUAUUAGGUUAAAAUUAGUUCAACUUUCUGCCCCAUGAUAAUCGACCCAGGAAACUAAUAAGUUGAGUUAGGUGAGCCUAAUAAGUUGAGUGGGACUGCGGUCCACAAAUAACUUAACGGCAAAAGACCCUACAAUAUACCUAACGUUCAAGUGGGUUGAGUCAGGUCGAAACCCGUGAGCGUUGAAGUUAAGCGUUUAAGUGCGAUGGGUGUGCCCUUCCUAUCAACACAUGCUUUUGGGAUAGUUGGUUAAUGCUUACGAUCCACAGCACUUGUAUGCUUGUUUCGGUGUACACUAGUGACUCAAAAUUUUUCAUCUCAACUUAGAAACAUAACAUAUAAUGGCCUAUCCAGAAUUUCACCGUCCUUAUGAUAUUUCUGUGGUAAUUAAGAAGCGUUUAAGAAUCUUAUACAAAGAAAUAUAUAUCUCAAUUUUUUUAUUUUUAGAAAUAUAUUUUCUCAAUAAAUAUUCAACUGAUGAUUUCAUCUAAAUAUAUUGUACUGCUAAUAAUAAAUAUGAAUAAACUUACAAUUUAUUAAUUAAUAAAAGAAUAUGUUCACAAGUCUACGUUGCAAAUUAACUUUAGAAUAUAUCACCAACAGAUGCAACUCACAAUAAGUUGAAUAGUAUGUAUAUAAACACUUCAAUUUGAGCAGCAUAUAUACAUUUAGUAGUCUCUUGAAGAGAGUUUUGUCGUUAAAUUCUCUAAAUUGUAUGCCUAAAUUUUUCAUUGCCUCUGUGAUUUUCCAAAUAUAUAUGUUAGUCAGAGAGAUAAAAAAAAAAGUAGGUCCAGAUAACAAGGAUGAAUUUUCCCGUCGAAGUGUGUAAGCAUACAAGAAAAUUAAAAAAAAAAAGAAAAAAGAAAAAAAAUCUUACAUCAAUAAUUAAAUUACCCUUAUGAGAUAUAGAUAGAAAAGACGACACUAGGUAAAAAGGGAAAGAACUUGAGUGGGGAGGUCCCUUACGACGCCUCAUUAGGGAGCUCAAAUUCAUCACCAUAUGUGUUACUUUUAUUUCUAAUCAAGGGUUAUAAUCUUUUUUUUUUAGGUUUGUAAACUCUUUUCAAGUUUAAUAUUAAAAAAUUUUCAAUGAACCAUUGGAUAGAGGCAAAAUUAAUACGUAACAGGAAACCAAGGGCUUCCCAACAAAGUAUCGUUGGAAAACUUCUCAGUAAAGUUUUAUCCGGUGAGAAUGGUAGGAGAGCUAAUGCACUAAAACUAUAUUAUUGGACUCUUAGCAGGAAACUAGGUUCUUUAACCUAAUCUUUAGGAAGUACUUUUAUUUUUCUUUGGUAGUUUCGUUCCCAAAGAAAUGCAAUAAGUCUUCUUGAUAUCAUGCACUGCAACUCCUUUGCUUUCUGCACUACAACAAAAUGCUUAUUAGUGCGACUUUUGUUGGCGACAAGUAACUGUCGCCACAAGUAUAAAUAUGGUGGCCGACAUUUACUUGUCCGCCAACAUUCAAGAGAAAUGGCGGGCGACAUGUAAGAGUCGCCACCUAUAUGCGACUCUUCUGUGCGGCGACAUAUAGGAGUCGCCACUGAUGCUAAAUCUUCUGCGGCACCAUAUAAGGUCGCCACUUGAUACUGGAAAUUGGCGGCGACAUAUAAAGAGUCGCCGCCGGAAAAAAUGAGUAUUAGUGCGAUAUUUGUACGCCACGAUGAUUCCUAUUUACCGGCACAAAUUCCCUCCUUUUUUUCGGCACUCCCACCCUCACUCUAUGCAAAAGACCAUUACCCCCACUUACUCUAUAUACCAUUGUAUUAAUUGUGGGGGCUUAUGUCUUUUUCAUUUAAAAAUAGUAAAAAAAUGUUAACCUGACUCUAACCCAUCCUCAAAUCCCAUGGUGUUAGCAUGGUCCGAUCACCUUUUCUCUCUCUCGCUCUAUCUUUUCGCCUAGCUCUUCGUCCCUCCGCCGCUCAUUCCACUGCGGCUCAGGGCAAGCAAGCCCCGCGCCUCCCUAAGCCCCACGCCUCCGCCAAGUCGUCGCCGCCUCUGGCCAAGCCCUGCGCCACCUCUGUUUACAUCGAAAGCGACCCCGGUCCUCCGCCCCUGCCGCUCUACAGCACCCCGCGACGGGGCUUUCGCUGCGGGCCACCGCAGCACCUCACGGCGGGCUUCGCCUGGCAUGGCCAGCCGCACCUGCGCGUCACCUUUCGUCGAGCCGCACCUGCGCGUCGCCUCGUCGAGCUCAGGUUCAAACUGCAUCACUUCGCUGGCAUGCGGCCGCCAGGUUCAAGCCGUCACCUGGCGUCGCCAUCGUCGAGCCGCAGGCUCAUCUAACAGAUCCACCCAACUCUCCACCAUGUAACCUCCUUCCUCCCUCACGCUCUCUCACCUCCUCCUCUCCUGUGCCUAAUUUUCUAUCUAUUUCCCUUUUUUUUCUUUUUUUUUCUCUUUAAAAUUAACUGGGGAUUCAUCCCACUAUCAGAUCUAGUGAGGUGUCAAUCGUCGUGGUGGAAAUCGUUGAGAAAUCGCUGAAGAAUCGUAGUGCUGAAUUGGGGUAUAAAAAUUACUAAAUCACUCUACUGCUGCUUUAAUAUUUUGCCUUCAGUUUUUAUUUUUUUUCUAAAUAUUUAAAGCGUUAAUAAAUGUAGGUCGGGUGUGGCACGAAAGGGGCUUUUUGCCAGCAACGUGAAGAAUUCAAUUACUCGUUUAUUUAUUCUAUUUUAUUUUUUUCUGGGUUUCAUAAUUGCUGAUAGCAAGGCUUUUACUAACUAGUAGAAAUAUAUGGCUAAUAAUAAAUAAUAUUCGACCAUCAAAUUCAAAUUUGUAUAUAUAUAGACUGCUUGAUCAAUUUCACACAUGAAUUCUGAUAGGAGUUAAUAGCUUAUUUUGCAAUCCCAUUUGUUUGCUUAGGUAUUGAGAAACCACCCUCCGAGGUUGACCUGACACCUGGAAACGGGGACCGCCGCUAGGCCCAGCAGCGCACGCUCCUAAAGAAGGCAUAUAUAUUAUAUAUAUAUAUAUAAUAUAUAUAUAUAUAUAUAGCUAAAGUUUUAUUUUAGGUUAUUACACUUCUAUGUGUGCAGAAACAAGUCCUUAACUUUUUGCUAUGUGUUCUUAACUUAGUCCAUUUUUAUCUACUAUUCCUUCUCUAUCAUAAUGAGAUGCAUCAUAAAGUUCAAUUUGUAGCAAAAUUUAUGAGAAUAUAUAUAUAUUUUUUGAAGUAAUAUGAGAAACAGUUUUGAAAUAACAUAAAAGACCCAUGUUUGUCUAAGUGUUGUCUAAGGUUCCAUGCCUCGACCCCGAAAAAAGGAUGCCAAGUAAAAGGGAUAUAUGAGGCUUAGCUUUCACACUAGGAAACAUUUUUAUCCUUCUAAAAGGAGAUACAUGAGGCAUAAAGAUGCAUCUAGAUUACAACCGCUAGGCUGGAACAAAGUAUAUUUGUCUUGAUUUGUUUACUUUUCUUUUNNNNNNNNNNNNNNNNNNNNNNNNNNNNNNNNNNNNNNNNNNNNNNNNNNNNNNNNNNNNNNNNNNNNNNNNNNNNNNNNNNNNNNNNNNNNNNNNNNNNGAUAGAAAAAUACUUCGUUUAUAACGUUCUGCAUAUCGCGAUAAAUCGAUUAUAAUAUAUUUUCUACAAUUUCAACGGAGAACACAGAAACAUAUCCUUAUAUACUUUUAUUUAUUUAUUUUUUUAUCUAAUAGCAUCAAUAUCUCUCAAUACCAAAUUAAGCUCUAAGCACGGUUCUCGGCCGUAGAUGCUCACUUUUUUUUUGUUUGGGUCAUAAUAAUAAUUUUAUUUUUGGCCACAAUUCAAAAUUUUUAAAAUACCGUAAUUGACUUAUGCUCAUUUCAGACUCAAGUCAAUUACGUCUAAAAAUGACCAAAAAAAAAAAAAAAUUGUCCCUCAUCACUUUCUAAACAAAUAGUAAAUUUUCUUUUUUUUUUGGUAUGAAACUAUUGUGGUAUUACAUGGUGCCUCUCAUCGUUUAGACUCUGACGUUCUCGUUAGGUCCAAACUCAGAUUACAGACAUAUAAAUCGGAACUAAUUAUCAACACUGUGGUGCGUGGUUUAGACCUUGACCCUUUUGUUAGGUGGAAAUCUGAAUUACAGACAUAUAAACUAGAAUCAUUUACCAACAGUGUGGUGUAGCCAAACUAUAUAUUAAAUUUACCUAAACUAUAUACUAUUUAAAGCUUGCUAUUUAACUUUUAAAGAAUUUAAAUUUUACUAUUAAUUCAAUCUUUUAAUAAUUUUUAUUUUAAAUAUUUGAUAACUCUUCUGCUAUAAAAUUUUGGUGACUUGUUUAUAUUAAUUGGAAAAUCGUCAUUCGAAUUUUAUAAAAUAUUAUGAUCACGUUCAUUCGAAUUUUAUAAAAUAUUAUAAUCACGUCUGAUAAACUAAAUCGUACACUCAAAUGCUAAAGUGGAAGAACCAUUAGAUAAUUCACAUCAAAUGAACAUAAGAAUUUGUCAGAAAAAUCAAAAAUUUUCAAGGUUAAUUAGAAUGUCGGAUCAAAAUACACAAUAGUUCAUGUAGGAAUAAUAUAUUUUGAGUUUUCAAUAUUUUUUUUAAGGAAAAAGGAAUCUGGUUCAUGGUCUUCUAUAACACUAUUCAGAGUCUCCUCACUUUUCACUUAAAAUAAAAUAACUUCUAAGCCAACCAAGUACCUUACAACCAAUAUAUUAUUGGUGCUUAUUUGAUUCACGAAAUUUUUAAAGAUUAUUUAUUUUUAUCAGAUUUAUUGCUUAAUAAUUAUUGAUUAGACAUAAGAGAUAAGUUUAUAUUUUAUUCAAUUAUUGCUAUUAGAAUUUUUUGAUUUAUGUCUAUAUAUAGACUUUUGUAAAUGUGUGAAAAUUCAUUCACCAUACAAAAUUCGUCCAAAAAUAAUUAAUAAAAUUUUUAGUUUAAUUUGGCGCAAAAUUUCUCUCCUUCCAACAUUAAAUAGGCUUAAGUUUAUGGAUUGGGCUUAAGUUCUUAAAGGCAAUAAAAUUUAGACAAACUAUAAUCUAUGAUCCUCUUCAAAUAAUUAUUAUUAUUAUUUUUUUUUUAUCACAUUGUAAAGAGCUAUUGUUUUUGCUUUUUGAGUAAUGGUACCAAUCAUAAAUAUUAUAAAAUCUAUUGUAUAAGACAAAUUAACUUUAAAGAGCGUCGAUAAAAGUACAUAAUAAUGUACAAAGAGACAUUAUUUGGUUUACAUAUAAUUCUCAAUAUAUAUAUAAUCUUAUGAAUGAUAUAAAAUAUUUUUAAUUAAUUAAAUUCUCGUAGAAUAAUAAUCCAAAUUUAAUUUAAAACUUAGUUAGAGAUUGAGCUUAUCCAAAUUAUAUAUUGAUUAUAUUUAAAAAUUUAUGUAAUUAAUUAGAAUAGGAUUAAUAAUUAUUCAAAAUAAAAGUUGGAUUUGUUAUGAUCAUAAUUAGUUAAUUCAUAUUCGGCAAAAAUUCGGUACGAAUAUAAUGCGCAUAAAAUUCGUAUAUUAAUUUUUAAAUUUGUUGAAAAAUACGGCUUAUAAAAUAGAUUUACCAAUUAUUCAGAUACGCGACUUAUACGAAAAUUAUACGUUCACCAAUUAAAAAUUCGGAAUAAAAAUUUUGGCUAUUAAACUAGGCUUUUUUCUCUAAAUUUAUGCUAUCAGCAUGCAUAGUUAUAAAUUCUUAGGAAUAUAAAAAUGAAGAGCUACAAAAUAAUAUUGAUUAAGGAAAAAAGGUAAUAGAAAAGUUUAUAAAAUUUUUCAAUAAUUUGUGAAUAAUUUGGCAAUAAUUUGUGAAUAAUUUUGAAAGAAAUUUUAUUCCAAAAUUUGCAUAUUUUUUUGACCAAAUAGUUUGGCAUACUCGAAUUAUUCGCAGAUAAUAAAUCUAACCAAAAAAUUGGCAUUUUAUUCUGAUUUUCGGAAAAAAAUCGCAUAUAGAUUGUUUUAUUCGGAUUUUCAAUAAUUCAUGAAUAAUUUUAAUUAACUAAUUAUGAUUAUGAAUUUAUAGCUAUAUAUACAGCUAGGAGUGAGUUUGACAGAUGAAUUAUCCACAGUAGAUACGGUUGCAUAAGGUUGAUGAUGUAGUAUAUGGUGUAAUUAGAUGUCUUUAUUAAUAAAAUAUUAGGCUUCGUUUGGAAUUGUGGGGAGAUUGCGUUACGUGUUGUGAAAAAGUAUAAUGACAAAAUACCAUGUUUGUUUCCAUACAUAAUACUGCGUUCCGCAUAUGAAGGAUAGUCGGUUACGAUAUAUUUUCUGCGGUCCCACUAGGAAAUGCAGAAGCAUAUCCCUCUAUGUUUUUGCCCCAACUUCAUUUUAUUUAAUAGCGUUAGAUAGGCCUCAAUACCAAACUAAGCCUUAGUUUAAUAAUCUUCUUCCUCCAAUAUCUUUUCUCCAUAUUAUUUUAUUUUAUUUUAAAAUUUAAAUUAUAUUAUCGAUAUUGGCACAAAUACUGAUUCCAAUAAAUAAAUUCAAAUAGUAAGUCUCCAAAGUAGAACAAGUAUAUAUAUUGUGCACCAAGUGCCCCUGAUAAUUUUNACUGUUUCUUCUUUUGUUGCACUGUUUAUUCUCUUGUUGCACCAUUUCUGUGUAAAUAAGAGGAGAAAUAGUGCAACAAGAGGAGAAACAGUGCAACAAGAGGAGAAACUGCACUGUUUUAAGAGAUAUAUAUACUGUUUCUCCUNUUGUUGCACCAUUUCUGUGUAAACAAGAGGAGAAAUAGUGCAACAAGAGGAGAAACUGCACUGUUUUAAGAGAUAUAUCUACUGUUUCUUCUCUUGUUGCACUGUUUCUCCUCCUGUUGUACCAUUUCUGUGUAAACAAUAGGAGAAAUAGUACAACAAGAGGAGAAACAAUGCAAUAAGAGGAGAAACUGCACCCUUUUAAGAGAUAUUUAUACUGUUUCUCCUCUUGUUGCAUCAUUUCUGUGUAAACAAGAGGAGAAAUAGUGCAACAAGAGAAGAAACAGUACAACAAGAGGAGAAACAAUAUAAAUAUCACUUAAAAGGAUGCAGUUUAAGAUAAAAAAUAGUAUAAUUUUAGUUCAAAGAGUAUAAUUUUUAUCUUAAAGUGGCAGUUUACAUCUUAAAUAGUGCAACUUAUAAUUUUUUUUGUAAUUAACAAUACAAUUUCAUCUCCAUCCUUCUUUUUAUAUAAUUCUUUAUCUAUUUUUUUUUUCUGUUUUUUCUAUAAUUUUUUUUGUCACCUUCUUUGCCAACAGCUACGGCGUCGGUGACGACGCCGCUAAGGACCCCCCGCUCCGAGGCUGUAGCGCCGCAGUGACCUCUACGGUGUUGACAUCUGCGUCAGCGAAGAUAAAUCGUCGUCGGAGGCGGCAGAAAAUAAGGGAGAGAGAGAGAUGAGAAGGGCGGGGAAGGGCGAGAGGCGUCGUCGUCGGAGACGGUGGAGAAGAGUCAGAGAAGAAAAGAAAAGAAAAAAGCAAAAAAAAAAAGUCGCGGCGCGGCCUUGGCGGGGUCGGAGGCGAGGAAGGUGGGGGGUGCAUGGACGAGGGCAAGGGCGAGGGCGAGAGCAUGAGGGUGAGAGGCUUGACGGACCGUUUCUGUCUCCGCUCUGCCGGCGAGAAAAAAAAAAGAACGAGAGAAACGAAGAAGAGAGAGAAAGAGGAAAGAGAAAAAGUAAUAAGGGUAUUUUGGUCAGUUUGCUGAAAAAGCGGACCGAAUCUGCAAAAACGAAAAAGGUGGCCCAGUUUUUUAAAAGUCGAAAAUAAGUGAAUUUUUUAUGCAAAUUGGCCAAAAAACUUUUUCAUAAUUAAGCUUAUUUUUCUUAGGGAAAACUUCAAAUACCCCCUUGUGGUUUCAUUUUUUCUCACUUUAGUACCCUGUGGUUUAAAGUGUAUAAAGUUAGUACCCUGUGGUUUGCACUUUGUCACUUUAGUACCUUGUGGUUUAAAGUGUAUCAAGUUAGUACACUGUGGUUUCACACUUUCUCACUUUAGUAUCCUGUGGUUUCGCACUUUCUCACUUUAGUACCCUGUGGUUUACAAAACCACAGGGUACUAACUUGACAGAAAAAUAAAACCAUAAGAUACUAACUUGAUACAAAAAUAAAAUCAUAGGGUACUAACUUGAUACACUUUAAACCACAGGAUACUAAAGUGAGAAAGUGCGAAACCACAGGGUACUAACUUGAUACACUUUAAACCACAUAAUACUAAAGUGAGAAUGUGCGAAAUCACAGGGUACUAACUUGAUACACUUUAAACCACAGGAUACUAAAGUGAGAAUGUGCGAAAUCACAGGGUACUANUUGCUUUUUCCAAAGGAAACUUUAGACUUUAGUUCUCUCUAGUGGGAGAAAUUAGGGUGUCGUUGAACGACUAUUUUAAGGGCGCGUUUGAUUCGUGUAAAUAUUCUACAGAUUAGUAAGUAACGGUGGUUAGAGCCUGUUUUGUUUCUCAUAAAAGGAUGCAUUUUUUUUUUUUUUUGAAUAUAUAGUUUUUUUAUGACAUACUUUUUUUCUUUUCAAUUUUCUAUCCGUUUGGUUUGAAGGAGAACCAGUAUUUUGGAAAUAUUUUUUUCAUAUUUAAUGGAAAAAAAAUAGCAUUUUUGUUUUUCUGAAUUUCUUUAGGGAAAAAAACUAGUUUUUCAUAAAAUUUGUAUAAAAAAGUUUUUCAUAAGCUUAUUUUUCUUAGGAAAAACUUUAAAUAACCCUCUUGUGGUUUCACUUUUUUUCACUUUCGUACCCUGUGGUUUAAAGUGUAUAAAGUUAGUACCCGUUUGCACUUUUUCACUUUAGUACCUUGUGGUUUAAAGUGUAUCAAUUUAGUACCAUGUGGUUUCACACUUUCUCACUUUAGUAUCCCGUGGUUUCGCACUUUCUCACUUUAGUACCCUGUGGUUUACAAAACCACAGAGUACUAACUUGAUACAAAAAUAAAACCAUAAGAUACUAACUUGAUACAAAAAUAAAAUCACAGGGUACUAACUUGAUACACUUUAAACCACAGGAUACUAAAGUGAGAAAGUGCGAAACUACAGGAUACUAACUUGAUACACUUUAAACCACAUAAUACUAAAGUGAGAAUGUGCGAAAUCACAGGAUACUAACUUGAUACACCUUAAACCACAGAAUACUAAAGCGAGAAUGUGCGAAAUUACAGGAUACUAACUUGAUACACUUUAAACCAUAGGGUACUAAAAUAAAAAAGUACGAAACCACAUGAGGUUUAAAGUUUUUCCUUUUUCUUAUAAACAGGGGAAAACUAAAAGAUCAUUUUUUACGAAUAAAUUUUUUCUUAAAAUUUUCCUUUCACAUUUUUCCAAGGAAUCAGAUAGCCCCUUUAGUAAUCUGGUAUAAAAUUUUUGAUCGGAAAGGAAUAGAAUUCCGUCCAAAAGAAAGAAUUCGAUUAACGACGUACUCAUAAAUUUGAAUUUCCAUACUACCUUCGAUAUAAAUUUACAUCUAAAUUUAUUUUAAAAUUUAAAUUUCAAAUUAAAUUUUAUACUUUACAUUUAAAAUUGUAAUUGAUUUAAAAUUCAAAUUUUAAUUUUGGAUUCAAAUUUUGAUUUAAAUUUUACUUUUGAGUUCAUAUUUAAAUUAAAUUAUAUGUUUUAGUUUAAAAAUAAAUUUAAAAUCUAAAUUUAAUUUCAAAUUUCAAAUCUAAAUGUAAAUUUGAAAUCAAAUUGUGAAUUCAAAUUCAAAUUCAAAUUUUUAUUUUAAAUAGUAAAUUAUAAACUUUAAAUUUAAAAUAUAAAAUUUAGAUUUAAAUCCAAAUUUUAAAUUCAAAAUGGUAAAUAUGUAGGCAAAUAAAAUUCUUAAGGAUAGACGUGGUAAUCGCGAAAAAUCUUAUAAAUUAUGCAGAAUCUGUAUUACUAAAAUAUUAUUGUUAAACCAAAUGUGGUAAUUGUACGAAAUAAAUACAAUAAUUAUACAGUUUUCACAUUUUCAGCUAAGUUAUUUCUAAAUAAAAUAAAAGAAACGGGUAGCAUGCUACCUUUUUCUCAAAAAAAUAAUUAUACUAUUUUUAAUAAUUUGAUUAUUGCGAAAAUUUUUUUUGUUAAUCUUUUAAUACGUAAAAAUUUUAGAUAACGUGAUUCAAACGACUCAUAAAAGUUUAUUAAGUGUUGAAAAAUCUCCGUCGAAUCGUCCAAAUCGGCUGCUUAAACGUAAAGAAAUAAACCAUUUGAGUCUUUAUGGAACGCACCAGUUGAAUUUUUUUUAUUUUUUUAUUUUUUUAGUUGCUUUUAAUUCUGAGAUUUUUUUAACUAAUGGAGUUGAAUGUAAGUAGUCAAAUAAAAUUACCUUUCUAAUUUUCUAUAAAGAUUUAAUUUAUGUUAUCAUCUUAUUGAUUUUGCAUGAUUAACAUUUUGCAAAAAAAUAAUUUAUGACUAUCAAAAAAGUAUUGGUGCACCUCAAAAAGGAAAUGUAAAUUUUAGAGAUAAUUUUCUAUUUACCACUCAAAAAUUUUGAAAUAUUUGAUAUAAUUUUUGUUUCAAAUAUACCUCUCGUAUAUUUUUUUGUUAUUUAAAAAUACCUCUAUUUUUAAUACCUGUUAAGUCAUUUUGGAUUAAACCCGAGUUAAAUUUCCACCAAAGUUUAAAGAAAACAAAAUUAAAAUGCCUCUUUUGCUGCUGACUUAAGAGCAAAUAAAAAAAAGUUGGUAACAGUAGAAUGGUUUAUUUGAAUGGGAAGAAGUCAAAAUAUUUCAUUUUGUCCCUAAUUUAAGGAAAAAUAAAAAAGAGUUGGCGGCGAUAGAAAAAUAUAUAUUUGAAAGGAUAAAAAUAGUAAUUUUAUAGAGAUAAUAAUUGUUUCUAAUAGUUCACUUAACAGAAUUUAACUUUAGGGCUAUACUUGAAAAACUUGAAACGUUAAAAGAGUAUUUUUUUAAAUAGAGCCACGCUAUAUGUACACUCCAAAAUGAGUGUACAUCUUACACUCACUCCAUUCCAAAAUCAUUAAUACUGAUCUACUUGUCACAUCAAUUUUUUAUUAUUUUUACUUAAAUAAUCUAGAUUUUUAUCAAUGUUAGACUUUGAAGUGUAAGAUCUACACCCCAUUUUAGAUGUACAGGAAGUAUCUGCCAAUCUUAUAUCCUAUUCAUCCAACGCCUAGCUCUUUGUCUUAUCAGUUCUUUUUUCUUUUUUUACAAAUAUUAAAAUCUUAAAAAAUUUUGCGAAUUUUUGGAUGGAGGGAUGUAAGUUAUGUAUGUCUUUUAAGAUAUACAUAUUACCUUUUCCUUGGAAAUAUUAUUAAAUUAUCAUCUAUGGUUAUUAUUUUUAUAAAUACGACCCUCUUUAUAUUUAUAAGUCGUUUUCAACAAUAUAGGCCCUAAUCAAUGAUCCUUACAUUUAAUUAUAGCAUUAAAUGAGCCAGAUCCCUUGUUACCUAGGAGGCUAUUUUAAGCCAUACAAAAAUUUGGGGUGGUUAUCAUGAUGGUGUGCUUUUUGGAUAGAGGAGACUAUUUCAAACCACACAAAAAUUUGGAUUAACUCCAUAUAUAUAUAUAUAUAUAUAUAUAUAUAUAGAGUGAGGCUGCUAUGCUAUCAGAAGUACGGAGCUUUCCGUGCUUCCAGCUCAUUUUCGAUGUUGCGACUUUCAAAUCGUCGAUCGGCUCCGUUAAACUUGAUUUAGAGUAUUUAAAGUACCUAGAAAAUAAAUUUUAUGAUUUUACGAUAUCAUUUGCCUAGUGAACGAAGGGGCUCAAAAUUAACGGCUGAAAAUAAAAAUCUUACAAAAUAUAAUAAUAUGACAUUAAAAUUUUAAAUCAAAGAUAUUGAUCUUGUUUUAUAUAGUAUAAAAAAUUUUCUAUCAAAAUUUCACGUGAUUUGGAUAUUUCUACACCGUUAAACUUGCAAACGGCUCACUACGGCCAUUGAAAUUUGUUAAUUUUGAGCCCAUUCGAUUACUAGGCAAAUGAUAUCGAAAAGUAAUAAAAUUUAUUUUCUAGGUACUCCAAAUACUCUAGAUCAAGUUUAACGGCGAUAACGAUUCGAAAGUCGCAACAUCGAAAACGAGUUGGAAGCACGGAAGACUCCGUGCUUUCGAUAGCAUAUAGUCUCUCUCCUCUCUCUCUCUCUCUCUCUCUCUCUCUCUCUCUAUAUAUAUAAUUAUAAUAUAUAUAUAUAUAUAUAUAUAUAUAUAUAAUAUAAUAAACCCUUCAAUGGUUAAUUACAUAGAAAUCACUCCAAAAUGUCAAUAUAAAAAAUAUUCUUCUAAUUUAGAAAAAUUAUUAUAAUAUUCAAAUUGAAAACAAUACUGGUAAAAAUUUAAUAUAAAUUCAUUUUGUGCAUCACCUAUUAUCUAUAACUUUUUAAUAAACUUAAUGAUAUUUUGCUUGAAAAUGUUAUGGAUACAAUUAAAUGUACGCUAGAUAUAUAUAUAUCUAUACUAUAUAUAAAAGCACGUAUAUUCAAAUUUGGGUCUGUCGACAGAUCCAUUUUUCGGCGGAAAAAUUAGCGCCCAUUUUUCUCUUUCCGUACGAAAAAUUUUAAACAUAAGAAUAAAAAUAGAAAUAGAACAGCAAUGAAUACAUAAGUUAUCUAUAACAGAUUACUGUUGUGAAAAUCCUAAAUAUAAAUUUUUCUAUUUAAUUCAAAAGUAAGUUUUCUAUAACAGAUUACGGUGUGAAAAUCCUAUAAAAGAUAUUUCCAAUUUUAUUUAAAAUAUCUUUUUUAGAUAUUAUCUAUUUAAUUUCAAAAUAUAUUUUCUUUUUAAGAUAACGGAUUUUAUUUUUCUAUUUAAUUUCAAAAAUUUAUUUCCUAACAGAUUUUAUUUUUCUAUUUAAUUUCAAAAGUAAUUUUUGCAUUAGAGAUUAUUGUUAAUUAUUUAUCAUUAAAGCAUAUCUUUCUUAAUUGCGUGAUUUAUUAUUUUAAAUUUUUUAGAUACAUAUUUGGCAAUCAUAUAAAAUAUGGCCUAAAAUUAAAAAUAAUUUAAAAAAAUUAUAACUUUUCUAAUAAUUAUUAUGUGCAUUUGCACGUACAUUUUACUAGUAUAUAUAUAUAUAUAUAUUAUAUAUAUAUAUAUAUAUUAUAAUAUAUAUAUAUAUAUAUAUAUUAUAUAUUAUAUAUAUAAUAAUAUAGAAACUAAUCAAGCAAACAAUUAAAGUAAACUUCUACUAAACAAAAAAAUCAUACGAAAUUAGACAAAGUAGAAAAUCGAUUCACAAAAAUCAUACGAAAUAUAUCUUUAGUUUUAACUAGUUUUUAAUUAAGAUCUUUAUGGGAUCCAUAUACAAUAAUUAGGAAAAAAAAUAAUAGUAAGUGGACCGAAACAUACAUUCAUAAACUACAUAAAAAUAAAUUGAGUUAUUUUUUCGUGAAAAAAAAUUUAUUAGCCCUAUAUAAUAUCACAAAAUAUUUAAAAUUAGGUAUAACUAGGGGCCAAUUAGCCAAAAACCCUUAGCUAUUUAUGAUCUAAUUCAUUAAUUUAUAGUAACAAAAAUAAUAUUGACAAUUUUAAAGAAAUAUACAAAAUAUUUUAUAACUUUGCACAUAUUUGAAAUCGCCCCUAAAAAUUUUUGUAACAAUCAGAUGUGAUCCUACACUCCAUCCAUCCAAAGGUGGCAAAAAAUGCAUGAAGACCCCUGAAUUUUAGCGCUUUUGCAAAUAUGUGCCUAAAACUUAGUUUUGCCAAUUAAAUUUCUUAAACUUUAGCAAAUAGUUUAAUAAGUCCCUCUGAGUUACUCAAUUAUACAAUCAUUUUGAUUGUAUGUCAUGCACAUAAUCUCGUGAGACUUCAAAAUGCUUAUAUUUUUCUCUUUUAAUUCUGAUAAUUAAUCAUGAAAAUCAAAGACACGAUAAACCUAACUGUCGAUUUUUGUUUUUCAUUUUUGGUAUGUUAGAGUAAAAUAUAUAUAAAUAUAUAUUGUAUAUUGAACUGAAUUUUGACUAGAUUAUAAGCAAAACAUUGACCAAUUAAAAUAGCUACAAAAGUUAUAUAUAACUUCAAUUGAAGAAAUGAGCUUAUUGAAUUAUUUGAUAAAAAUUUAAGAUCUCUCUAAUUGUGAAAAUUAAGAGUUCAAAUGCCUGUUCGCUAAAAAGCUAAAAGUUUAAGGAAUCUCUACACAUUUUUUUCCAAAAUAAAUAAGUAAAAAGAAUUUCUCGAAGUGAAAUUUAAUUAAUUAAAUUUUUUUAAUAAGAAAUAAGAAUUUAUUAUAAUGGGCUCUGAACGCUUUUAAUUGGGUCGGGCUAGUCAUAACUCGAUCAUAAGUCCAUUUUGCAUGGAUCCUUGGAGAAGAGAUUGUGCGUACGUAACUUUUGCUCGUAAAUCAUAUACCAUUUUCUUUUUUGUUUAUUUUAUUUGAGGCACAUUUAAAACUAUAUUUUCUAAGUGAAGAGAAAUCAUAAAAAUUAAGUCGCAUUUAUAUAUAUAUAUUUUUUUUGUUUUUCUAGUACCAAGCUUGUACUUAUAUCGAUCCCUAUCAAAUUCAAGCCCUAUAAAUUAAUAGAGAUGUAAAGAAAAUAAAGUUCUUCUCCUCUAAUUAAAGUUGAUCACUCUCUAAUUAGUUGUUAAUUUGGACAACAUCUUGAAUUGGUUUCAUGUUGCCGCAGCAAUUUUGUGUAGAAUUGUUUGGCCUAUGCUGUUGUAAUUUUUACCUAAAUUUAUGGUGCGUUUGGUUCAAAAUAAAGAGCAAAAUAGAAAAUGGGAAUCAAAAUGGACAUGUAUCGAAAACGGAAUUAAUGAUACAACCUCCCAAUUAAUAUAUUUGGUUCAGAAUAACAAUCGAAAUCGGUAUGGUUGAAUCGUGCUCUCAAUAAUUUUAAAAAAUAUUAUAAAAAUAAUUAAAAUUAAAAUACAAAGUAUAAAAAUAAUUCAAAAUUGAGUUUCCACCUCAAAAAAUAAAAUAAAAUUUAUAAUUUAAAUUUAAGCUAAAAGUUAAAUAUUGAAAAUUUACAUCAAUAAAUAUAAUUUUUAAAAAAUUUAAAAUUGAUUGGACAAUUCAAAAUAUAAUAGUAAUUUUUGAUUUGAUUCAAAUUCAAAUUUAUAAUUAAAGUUAAAUCUAAAUUUAUAGAUCACAUUCAAAAUGUUUGAUUGAAUUUCUACUUUAAUUUAAUUUCUAAAUCAAAGUCUAGAAUAAAAUAUUUAAUUUAUAAUUUUAAAUUUAUAUUUUAAUUAAAAAUUAAAGUCAAUAAUUAAAUCUAGUUUAAAUAAAAAAAUAAAACAUAAUUGAGAUAUUUGCGUAGAGUUUAUUUUUUCCGUCAGGAUUCAACUUCCAAUCUAGCCUCCUAUGCCGGAUUCGAAAAAAGGGUGAUUUGAAAACUCUUAUUCAUCCGAAAACCGAAAUCAGAAUGGAACUCCCAUAUAGCAAAUACCCAAAAACGGAUUCAUUUAUUUCGAUUCUGAUUUCUUAGUGAAAAAUCGAUGAACCAAAAACGCCCUUACCGUUUUCUAAAGAGGUUUAAUUGAAGUGGCCACUUAAAAUAGUCAGACAAUGAAUUAAUAAUAUUGUCCAGAUCACAGACUUGAGUUAAACCUAUGAAUUUUGGAAUUCGGAAUACUGCAUAUAAUCAGUCAAAUUAGUGAUUCAUUAAUCGGUUAGUUUUCUCCUGCAGAAUAAAUUUACGUGCUAAAUUAUAAGAAAUCUUAAACUAAUAGAUUAUAAUAGUGUUUUUAUAUUCUUGUAUUUAAAACUCUUCCUCACUUAUGGGUUCGAAACUAUUUGAUGAGCACAUGACGUGAACUUUAAAUUAACAACGAUAUGUUGUUUGAUCUUUAAAGUUUAAACUAGUGGAGAAUGGUCUUUUUUUUUUGCUUUUAUGUUUAAUCAUUGUUUCUCCAAAACAAUUAAGUGAGAGAAGGUUAAUGAUGCUAUGAGCCUGACGAAACUCAAACUCAGGCUGGGUCUUUGACUAUGAUAUCAUGUUAAAUUAUAUAAAAUAAAAAGUUUAAGUUAGCAACGGAAAGGACUGAGUUCUGUGGAGCUAGGUGACAUCCCUAUAUUUUGGGUACUCGAUUUGAUGCUGCAAUUAUUUUUUAAUCUUUUUAUUACUCUUCUCAUACUUUUUUUUUAGACAUUUUUUCUUUUCAUUUUAUCUUCUCUUGAGGCACCUUCUUUCUCACUCUAUAUAGCUAAAUUUAUUGUCUGAAUGAAUGAAAUAGGUAGCGUGCUAUUUUUUUUUUUAAAAAAAAAGUUUAAAUUAGUAGAGAAUAGUACUUCUAUAUUCUUAUAUUUAAGAGUACGUACAUACAUCCUUUAUGUUAAUAUUUAAUAGAAGAGGAAUUGUUAAGCAUAUAUAACUCGAAUCUUCCGUCCUUCAUCCUAUGGUUGAGCCAACCUCUUUAAAUUUUAGUACUAUAUAUAUAUAUAUACUGCUAAUUUUUAGACGACUAAAAUAUAUUAUCAAAAAACACAAAAAAAAUCAGCAGCAGAUCGACAAGCCGACGAUUUACAGAUGAGACGUUGGUGGCGACUAAUAUUUGAUGCCUACCAAGUUGGCAGCCAUCCCAUACCACUCACCCACAAGAAACUGGUGGUCCUCAUAAGUGACGUCAAUAAAGUACACCCAAAUUCAUUAAUCUUAAAACAAUAAUGACCACCACAUGGGUUACGUGAAGUGGAUGAUGAUGAUACACAGAUGCAAUGAGCUUAACUGUGUCUCUCACAUACCCCGCACAGGCACAUGGACGAUGAAUUUAUCUAUCAAUAUCAAUAUCAGCCAGUUGUGCAGAAAGCUAUCCGUCCCCAAAUCAUGGCAUGGAAUCCCCAGCCAACCUCAACUGCCGCCUGCUGCCUGCUGCCUGCUGCCUGCUGCCGACAUCUUUCUUUCGUCCUGACAUACAAUAAUUAGGUAAGACUUGCGUGGAGAUCCCUCACUAAUUCUAUCUCCAGAAAUACAUACUUAAAACACUUUAUUAUUAUUAUUAUUAUUUUCACCGACUAUUAGCUAGGAAUGUCAAUGGGUACCAAUAUCCGAAUCUGAACGCAAUGGGUGUAGUUUCAGAUACAUACAAAUAUAAAUAACAAAAAUCCGACGAAUUUAGAUUCGGGUAUGAAUUUUGUUUGUGCCUGACCUGAAUCCGAAAGCUGAAUUUGUAUUUUAAAAAUUUAGAUUUAACUAAUAUGUUUUGAAAUAUGAUAAAGAUAAAUAAUCAUUUCGAGUUCGGAUUCGAAUUUCAGAUAUGAAUUUUUUAAAUUUGUCGGAUUCGGGUUUAGAUUUCAGAAUUUGGUGAUCGGGUUCAGAUUCAAAUUUUUAAAAAUCAGCUCUGAAUUCGAUCCAUUGACACUCUUUUUGACUAUCGCUCAACUUUUGUACGUUAUAACUGUGAGUUUUUUGAAUAGCCGAAAAGUUGUUAGAGCUGUGAAGUUUACAAUUUAUACUAGUUAAUGAUGCAACCAAUUUAGCAUUAAAGUUUUUUGAAAAAUAUGAUUCAACCAAGCUGGUAUAAAAAUUUGUGAGUUCAAUACAUUUUACAUUCGUCAUGAAAAAUUUUUAAACGGUCAUAAUUUUUCGCUCGAGAUCUCAGAAGUUGAACCCAAAUUCAACUAUUUAUGCCUUUGUUUUUACAUUUUUAGAUUAUUAUUGGAAAGAUUCUGUAUUUUUUUAUUUUCAGUCCGGUUAUUUGAUUAUUUCUAAUUUAUUUAGAUUCAAAUAUAUAUUAAAAUUUUGUACCUUCAAUUAGAGCAUGUUUGGUUCACCUACUUUAAACUAUGGAAUCGGAAUGAAAUUCAUUGAUUCCGAUAGUUGCCGUUUGUUUUAUAGGAAUCAGAUUCCGAUUCCCAUUCCACUCCGGAGUGGAAAUGAUCAAAUCCAUUUAUGAUCCAAUCCGACUUUGAAUUCCAGAUUCGCUCAUUCCAAAAUAAACUAUUCAAAAUCCUUUUUUAUCAACACCUACCUCCUCCCCUUUCAUCACUUUUCUCUCUUUUAAUCAAAACACUUUCUAAAUUUUCAUUCCGAUUUUCAUUCCAAUAAUGAACCAAAUAUAUUUGGAUGAUUCGUCAUUUCAUUUUCCAUUUCAAAACAAUCCAAUUUCAUUUUCCAUUCCUAUUCCAAUCAUGAAACAAACAUGCCCUUAUAGUAGGAAUGAAAUAUAUAUCGUUUAUAUAUAUACAUAUAUUUGUCGUUCAGUUAAUGUAAUUAGUUUCUAGAGUUCGAUUAAUAAAUUUUUAAUUUCUCUUGUCAAACAAUUGAGUUCUUCGCGCAUCCGGCUCUCGCGUCCUUGUGCUUCUUCAUUUUAUCAUGCGGCUUUUAAGUACAUGUGAAGGUUAGCAAAUGUGAAAUAUCUAUAAAUAAAGAGAAAAUCCAAAAUAGAAUGUUAAUUAAACUUAUCUAGUUAUGUUUUGGCCUACUAUUAAUUGUUAUUAUGUCUCCUUAUAUAAAUUGUUUACUUAACUGAUUAUCUGGAUGUGGAAAGUUGUACAUACAUUUGUGAGAUUUUUUUUUUUUUUUUUUCAAUCUCUAUGUGUAUGGCAGAUCUGUCGGCAGAUCCCGUCUAAGAUUCCGGGAGGGGAAAGCGACAUUUAGCUUCUAGGAUUAUUCUUUCAAAAAGAACCUUUUUUGAAACGACCUAUAGUUGAGGGGGUUUCUCAUAAUCUUACCAACCAACAAUAAUUAUAUAUAUAUAUGAUGAGAUAGAGACUAGUGUGGUCCCCUAAUUAGUUAAUUAUUAUUUUUUUUUUCAUGCUCCUACCCCCUAUUUUAGUACCUAUAAGAUUUAGGGAACACAUCAACACACGUAGUCCCAUGUAGUUUUUUUUAUUUUUUAUUUUUAUUUUUUUUAAAAUAGUCUAUAACUAGGGACUGUUGAGAAUUAUAUCCCUACUUUGUUAUUUAUGUCUUUGUUAGAGCUUUAAUUAAGUACCUUCCAUGAUGAAACUCUGUGGAUUAUAUCAUUAGUGCAAAGAUAUGGGACUAAAAUUGAGAUCUUAAUUGAUAGAUAUGAAUUGGUGCAUGUUCUUGCGUGAUUAUGUACGUCUCGUGCGUCUUUUUUUUCUUUUUUUUUUUUCUACACAUGUCGGCAAAAUUUUGAACACAUAUCUUAAAAAAAGAACUUUUUAGAACCAUAAAAGUUUAAGAAAAAAAGUUAUCUAUCAUCAAAGUUUUAAAACGUUAAAAAUUGUCUGUAUCCUACAAAAAAUUUAUUUUCCAUUGGAACGCACGAAAGAACAAACUCGUCAUUUCACUCGAAAUAUGGCUCACAUGUCAUGAAUCACAUGAUUUUAAUGCUUAGAUAAUGAGUUCGAAUAUAUUUUAGGUGGUUCUGAGAUUUUUCUUUUUUCCAAAUUAAUUUGUUUGUUCAAAAAGAUCGAAAUACUGAUUAGUUCGACAAAGGUGUACAUCUUUGGUAUAUGAAGGUGGGCGGCCGAAUUGACCAUGGCGCUGAUAUUUGAAAAAGACAAUGAAAUUUUAUUUUAGUAGUUCCAUGUGUUUCCUUUAUCUUACGUAAAUAGUGUAAAUGUUUGUGUACGGCGUGAACUCGACGUUUUAUACAAAAAAUUAAUGAAUGAUGUCGAAAUUUGCUGUACAGACUCUCUAAAAAGUUGAUGGAUAUCGUGACUUGUGCGUAACGAACACGCCUUGAUUUUAUUUUGUAACUUAAAUAAAAAGCAUCUAAUUUCUCCUCGCGCACAACUACUAACAAAAGCUUCUUAUAGAAUUUUUGUUCAACGUUUUGGGUCGUCGAAGUUUAGGAAUCUCAAAAUACAAAAGAUUUCAAAAUUUUCAAAACAUUAUUUUUUUCUUAUUAAUAUUUAAUUAGUUGACCUUGCAAUAUUUAAUUCCCGGAGACUUUUUACCUACUAAUUUGUUCCUAGAAUCCAAAUUCUAUGAAUACCAAUCAAGCAAAUGCGAGCAAUUUAUUGAUGUGAUUGCAAAGCGACUCUUCCGAUUUUGAGAACUACUUUAUUCCUCAAAUAUUUUCCUCAAAUAUUUUUUAUUAGAAAUUUAAUGUUAUAUAAAGGUCAAAGUAUUUUAUGUAUAUUCUUAUUUUCAUUACUAUUAAAGAAAAAAAUAAUAAUUGUCUACAUCGGAUAAAGUUUUCAUCAGCUUCAUAAUAUAUUAAAAUUUCUUAUUUAUUUAGAGAUUAAAUGAAUAAUUAAAAGUAUGAAAUGGACGAACAACCCUAAAUUGGUGUUCAACGAAUGUACGAAUACAUUAACUUUAGUUGACAAAAUUUUAUGGUACAUAAUUAGUACCAAAAACGCAUUCAAUUUUUAAUAUUUUCAAAUACAUCAUUUAAAAGUUCAAGGAUAAAAAUAAUCUUGAGUAUAGGUUUAAAGAGUAGAUCUAUAAUAAUUUACUGCGGAGUAAAAUAUAGAAAAUUCUCACAUAGAUUUCACCUAUUUUUUUUUUUUUUUUAUAAUAAACACUUCACACUUUCUAUACUAAAAUUGUAGGCAUAAAAUUCUCCUCGAUCUUUGAAUAAAUAUUAAAUCUUAAUAUUUAGAAUGAAUGUUGAAUUUAGAGGCAAAACUUUAUAAACCUUGUAGACGAUAGUGAUAAUGCUUAGUGGAGUUUAAUCACAUAAACUAAAUAUAUUUUCCUCAUAAGUUGCCAACUUUUUUUUAUAGCUUUAGCAAAGAAAAAAAAAAAAGAAAAACUCAAUUCAACCCUCUAUCUCAGUUGUGAAUUCUAAUCGAGACACAGAUAAAAGGCACCUAUGCGCAAUUAAAAUCGAUAUAUAUUUUUACACGACUGGAUAAAUAAGAUAUGGGUUAGAUGAACUGCAAGCAGUGUCGCAAUAUAGAAACUUCAAAUAAUAAAUCAAAAUAAGUUAAAAUUUAAGAACCAAAGUAUAGCGUUAUUCACAGUUUGAGAGCCAAAAGUGUAAUUUAUCCUUACUUAAAACACGUUUUAUAAUUCUUAAUAAGUUUAAGGGAAGCAAUAAUAUUAGUACAUUUUCAAGUGAGAUGUACACUAGGCAUUAUGGACACUGACACGCGAUACGAGACACAACGCAAUUUGGACACGACCACUCGGCAAUUUUCAAAAUAUUAGGUAGUACAUUUCAAAGUGAGAUGUACACUAGGCAUUAUGGACAUUGACACGCGAUACGAGACACAACGCAAUUUGGACACGGCAACUCGGUAGUUUUCAAAACAUUAGGACACGGACACGACAUAAAUGCUGCUUAUAAAAUAUAAUAUUAUUAAUAUAAUAAUAUAUAUUUAUUAUAGAUAAAAUAUUAAUUUUGUAAAAUAUUGUUAUAUUUCUCGUGCGAAUGAAAGUUAGUAAAAUUUUUAUUAAUAAUUUAUAUAUUUUAAAAAAAUUUUCUGCACCAUACAUAAUUUAUUUAUAUUGUUAAAAAAAAUUACAUAUAUUCAUCAAGAAGUUAAAAUAUUUAUUAUCUUAUAUUUAUAAUACAUAAAAAAGUAAAAUAAAAUAAAAUAUAUAUAUAUAUAUAUAUAUAUAUAUAUAUAUAUAUAUAUUUUAAUUAUUUACGUUGUGAAUUGACAUUAAAUGGGCAUUUGAGAAAUAUCCACAUUAGAUAUGUGUUCGGCGCGAUGUCCGUACGUACUACAUAAAAUGGAUAUUUUAAGCUCACUAUAUUUAAAAAUUAUUAAUUUUUUACUUGCCACUGCAAUUCUUAUGGAAUGUACGAGUAAAAUUUCUCUUAAACAAAAGAGAAAAAAACAAAAGAGAGGAAAAUAGACAUAAGCUGGAUCCAGUGAUCCCUCAUACCUAUUUAUUACCAGAAAAAGGCACCAAUGCUCUUUUUCUUUUUUCCAUACCUACUAUAAAAGGAGUGCACAAAUCCAUUGUCAUGUCCCCACACUCACCCCCCCCCUCUAUUAACCCUUCCCGCCAUUAUCUUUCUCUCUGACUCAAACACAGAAGAGAGAGAGAGAGAGAGAGAGAGAUAAAGAGAGAUGAAGCGAAACCGCGCAGAGCCCGCGCCACCCCAAACACCCGCCAAAACCGCGCGCCGCUACGCGGCCCCGAACGCGCACCAGAAACUCCCCCAGAAGCCGCAGGUCCGCGCCGCCGCCGAGGAGAAGCCGCCGGCGCCGGCGCCGGCGCCGUCGCCGGCGGCGGAGGUGGUGGAGCAGGAGAUCGAGUGGGCCCCGCAGCUGGCGGGGUGGGACCCGGCGGGGGAGGUGGCGGGAGCGUGGAGCUCGUGGGGCGUGGCGGAGGAGACGCUCCUGGGGUGGUUCCCCUUCGCCGACGAGCACUUCCACGGCGCGGCGGCGGCGGCGGCGGGGGCGGCGCCGUUCUUGGAGGAGGAGAGCUUCUGCUGCUCCUACUGCUAUUAUUACCACGACGACAUUUGGCAUCUGCAGCACAUCCACGACGUUCCCAAGCAUUAAAUUUAAAUGUGGCCUCCUCACAGGAUCGAGAGUACAAAUUAAUUAAAGAGAGAGACAGAUGAUAGAGAUGAUUAGAUACAGAGCAGAUCUUUAAUUGUAGCUUUUUCUUUUUCUUUUCUUUUUUUUUUUUUUUUUUUNAUUAAGUCUAGUUGAUGUAUAGCUUGUUAUAUUUAGCAAGCAUAUAUGUUUAAUAUUGUAAGAUUAAUUACCAACUUAAUUAUCAUGUACAACAUAAAAUGAGAGUGUGUUGGGUGUAAUAUAGAAUGAUAUGCAUUACGAUAAAGUUUGCAAACUAUGGUGUGUAUUGUAUACGUCAAUUUCAUAUUAACUUAUCUCCCCUUGUUUUGAUGAUAUGUUGUUGCUCUUUUUUUUUUUUUUUUUUUUUUUUUUUUUUUUUUUUUUCUGAACUUGCCUUGAUUUAUUUUUUAUAUAAAAAUUAUUGAGAAGAAUCAGAAAGUAAAGAUAGGAUAAUCGAUAUAUACUUCAGAUUUGGUUACUGUUUGAUCCUCCACUCUUGAUGUUUCAAAUUAGUAUUUGUUUGAUUAAUUUUUGUUUCUAUUUUAAGAAGCCGCUAACACUAAAGAGGAGUUGACUAAAGAGGAGUUGGGCUGGAAUUAAUACUCUUGUAGAUAUUAUUUAAUUUUUAACACUUACAAAAAAAAAAAAAUAGUGGUCACAUUAGGAUUUUAUGAAAAUCAAAAUAGAAAUUUAAUAAUUAAAAAUUAAAUAAUAUUAAGCGUUUGAUACUCUUAAUAAUAUUUUAAAUUAUUUUUUUUUCUUAUGCUAUAUGCAGCAGCAAGACUAAAUAUCCCGUCUUGAAAGAUGAGUGAGUUGGUUUGGGAAAUAUAAAUGCUUUCGUGCCGUGUGGUGAUAAUGAGACGAGAAGGGCCAACUGCCGAAGAGCAGGUUAGAUCAGUACUGUCUGCCUUUUUUUUAAUGGCACCCAGCACCCUUGGCUGUCUCCCGCCGCUGCAAGGCUGUAUUGUAUGUUUCUUUCUUCUUUUGCAUUUAUUUGGUGGCCUCCUGGUGGUUGCAAAGGCUGCGGGCGGAUUGCAAGUUUUAUACGGACCUAACUCAAUUAAGAGUGUGACCCACUACCACGUCCGUUGCGUAUUGAGCUUCUGUUUCGAGUAAUGUGUGAUGUAGAUCUAGUUUGACAAAAAUGCAAUAACUAUAUAUAAAAAAUAUAUAUAUAAUAUAUAUAGUAUAUUAUAAUAUAUGAUAAUUUCAUCAAUACCCCUCUAGAAAUCAUAAUUAUAAACUAUAAAAUAUCAUCAAUACCCUCUAUAAAACUAAAAAUGUCACAAUACCCUUUAGGAAACUUUCUCUCAAGUGUCUAUCCAUAUUAUAAAUACCAAUUACCUCUAGCAACAAUUAAACAUAAUAUUUAAUAUUAAUUAUCUGAUAAUUUUUAACAUGAAUCACAUUUUUAAUUAUAUUUUAAAAAUCAAUUAAUAUAUCUAUAAGUAAACUUAAAUCUAUAUUUUUCGCUUUUAAAUUAUACAAUAUUAUAAUACAAAUUUGUCAUAGUAGAUCAACUAUUAACUAUUUAAAUAAAUAUUAAUUUCGAUUUGUUUUACGAGAUGCAAAACGUCCCCAAGAAACUCAAUAAAAAGAAAAACAUGAUAUUUAAGUAAAAAAUAAAACUUAAAGAGUUAUCAUAAAAUCUAUAGGAAAUUCAUUAUUUUUACGCCCAAUAAUUUAGUAGAAUAUUAUUUUUAAAAUUAGAAGGUAUUUAUGAAAUGGCCCUUAAUUAUUCAUCAAAAUAACACCUAACCCUUUCGGUUAAUUUCAUUUUGUAACUCAACCUUUUAUUUAACAAUUAUUAACCAUGUAUAUAACAGCGUUAGAAGAAGUAUUGUGAAAAUUUUGCAUUGAGCGUAUAAAGAUAUUUCACUUAUGCGGCUAUCUAUGAUAUUACAUAUUAGUAUGUAAAUUCCCCUAAUAAUAUAUAUAUAUAUAGUCCGCGCCAUGGUGUGUACUACAUUAGCCACUAAGGAUUCUAUUAAAUUUCACCUUUAAUUAAUCUCUUGAUUAUUUUUAUCCGACAUUAUACAUCAACCUUAAACCAUUCACUCAACUCCUUUAUCCACACUUCAUCCUAACCAGCCAUUUUACAUCAAGACUAAAAAAUCUACACAAAUAGCUUGUCUCAUUCAUGUAUUCAGCCUUAAUUCAUUAUAUACACGUAAAUAUAAACAACCGAAUAUCUAUUAGCCCUGGUUUCUCAAAAAAGGAUAACCGAAAUUAUCCCGCGACCAAGCUAUUCCGUCAAACGUAUAUUUUAUUCAUCCGGAUUAUUAUUUCUAUCAAUUCAUUUCUACGCUUCCAGAUAUAGCUUGAAUUUACUAUCUAUCAUUUUGAUGAAUGUCUAUUCAAAUUUUAUUCCAAAUUGAUUAAAAUUAAAUUGAAUUAAUAACUAAAUUAUAAUAAAAUAAUAUUUAUAUAUUAAUAUAAUUUUAUUAUAAAAUAUUAAUUACUCUAAUAUAAACAUUUUUUUAUUUAAAUAUAUAAUAAAUUUUAUAAUAUAUAAUUAAUAUUUAAUAAAUUAUUUUAUAAAUUAAUUUAAUAGACAUUUCAAAUAAUUUAAAAAUUAAUUAAUAAUAAAAAAUUUAUAAUUAUUAAAAUUUAUUUUAUCAAUUAUAAAUUUAAUAUAGUAAAUUAUUUUUAUUAAUUGUUCCCACCCCUAUUCUUAUUUUAAAAUUUUAAAAUUUAAAAUUUAUAAUUUAAAUAUUAAAUUUUUAAAAUUUAUAUUUUGUAAUCUCAAAAUGAAAGUUUAUAAUUUUAAAUUCUGAAUUUUGAUAUUUUAAAUUUUUAAAAUUUAAAAUUUGAUAUUUGAUAUUUUUUAAAUUUAAAUUUGAUCCUAAAUUUAAAGUUUGAAAUUUAAAAUUUUAUUUUCAAAUUUUGAAAUUUAAAAGUUAAAAAUUAAAAUUUAAAAAUAUAAUUAUAAAAUUUAAAAAUUCAAAUUCAAAUAUAAUGAGAGGGGUAAUAUCAUUAUUUUUUUAUUUAUAACUAUCCACUAUUCUUCGUAUUCUACCUUAUCUAUCUAAACACUAUUUUUUUAUUCCCGGGAGCAACCAAUUUUCAUACAAACGCAAAAUUAGGCUAAUUCUUGUUUAUACUUGAACUUAUACUAGAAUAGGUUGCUCUUACUUAUAUCCGAACCAAACGAUACCUUAGCAAGCAUUAGGUUGGGAAAUAGAGAGAGGAUAACGGGUUAUAUCCCAUUACCCCCCGACACAAAAAAAACGGAGUGGGAUUGGUAUCCCACCCCUUAACAGGUUAUCCUGGGAUAACCCGUUAAGGGUUGGAAUAGCAAUACCACCCCUUAUGUGGAAUAGGGGCGCUAUUUAAUUUUUUUAAAAAAUUAAUUUAAAUUUUAAAUUUUAAAUUUUAAUUUUUAAAUUUUAAAAAUUUAUAAUUUGUAAUUUUAAAUUUUAAAUUUUAAAUUGAUAUUUUAAAAUUUUAAAAUUUAAAUUUCAUAUUUUAGAUUUUUAAAUUUAGAUUUAAUCUUAAAUUUAAAAUUUAAAAUUUAAAACCUUGAAUUUUAAAAUUUGAGAUUUAAAAAUUUAAAUUUAAAUUUUGAAUUUUUAAAACUUAAACGUUAUAUAUUUAAAUUUAAAAUUUAAAAUUUAAAAUUAAAAAAUUUAAAUUCAAAUAUAAUAGGCCUUUUUGCAUAAAAAAUUCACUUAUUUUGGGCUUUUGCAAAAUCGGAUCACCUUUUUCGUUUUUGCAGAUUUGGUCCGCUUUUUCAGCAAACUGACCAAAAUACUCUUAUUACUUUUUCUCUUUCCUCUUUCUCUCUCCUCUUCGUUUCUGUCGGUUUUUUUUUUCUCGCCGAAAAAAAAAGGCGGACCGGACCGUUGCCUUCUUCUUCACCGUCGCCCCCCUCCUCACCCUCCUUCUUCACCGUCGCCUCCCUCCUCACCCUCCUCUCCACCGCCCGCGACCCCCUCCUCCUCUCCCCCGCCGCCGUCGCCGAGCCCACCCCCACCGUCGUCUCCGUCGCCGUCGUCGAGCCCACAGCCAUGGCGGCGGCGGCGAAGGCGGAGGAGAGCGGGGAGGAGGGGAGGGGGUCGCGCGACUCCAUGGCCACCACCACGCUCUCACGGCACCUCCCUGCCGUCGCCGUCGCCGUCGCUAUUGGCACUGUCGUCGUCGUCGUCUUCCGCCUUCUUCGGCGUCGCGUCGCCGAGUAUGGAGCCCGUGUCGGCGCCGGGGGGCUCAAAGAAGAGGCGGUCGACGUGCGCCGACGACUUAAUGCCGCGUAUCACGCUCUUCGACGACUCGCCGUCGUACUACUCGUCGUCGGACGGCGCCGUCGACAGGCUGGUCAUGUCCCGAUCGCGCCCCUCGUCCGACGAGUUGGUGAAGCGCGACUCCGGCGAGUCCGGCCGGUACACCGAGUUGGCCGUCUUGUACAUGCAGCCCGACGACUGCGAGGCGGAGAAGAAGACGACGGCGAAGAAGAAGGCCUAAACUGGAUGCGGAGGCCGAGGCGGAGAAGAAGACGAUGGCGAAGAAGAAGAAGAGGAGGCCGAGCGGCAGGGCGCAGGAGAGGGAGGCGGAGGCGCAGCCGGCGCCGGCGCCGGCGCCGCGCGUGUUCUUCUCUGUCGGCGCCGCCCCUCCUCCCGCCGCCGCGCAGAAAGUGAAUGGUGUAAUUGUGCAAAUGGUGUAACGGUGUAACGGUGCAAAUAGUAUAAUGGUGUAAUGGUGUAAAAUUGUAAUGGUAUAAUGGUGCAAAUGGUGUAAUGGUGUAAUGGUGCAAAAUGGUGUAAUGGUGUAAUGGUGUAAUGGUGCAAAAUGGUGUAAUGGUGUAAUGGUGUAAUGGUGCAAAUGGUGUAAUGGUGUAAUGGUGCAAAAUUGUAAUGGUGUAAUGGUGUAAUGGUGCAAAUGGUGUAAUGGUGUAAUGGUGUAAUGGUGCAAAAUGGUGCAAAAUGGUGUAAUAGUGUAAUGGUGUAAUGGUCCCCUCUCCUCGCCGGCGCCGGCUGCACCUACGCCUCUCCCUCCUGCGCCCUGCCGCUCGGCCUCCCCUUCUUCUUCUUCGCCGUCGUCUUCUUCUCAGCCUCGGCCUCCGCAUCCAGCACGACCCCGUACGCCGCGGCUGCUGCCGCUGCCGCUGCGGCGACGGGAUCGGGCUGGGGGUCCGCGGCGCCGGCGCCGGCUGUGCUUCCGCCUCCCCCUCCUACGCCUUGCCGCUCGGCCUCCCCUUCUUCUUCUUCGCCGUCGUCUUCUUCUCCGCAUCUAGCCCGACCCCGUUCGUCGCGGCCGCUGCCGCCGCAGCGACGGGAUCGGGCUGGGGGUCCGCGGCGGCGGGGGAGAGGAGGAGGGGGUCGCGGGCGGUGGAGAGGAGGGUGAGGAGGGUGGCGACGGUGAAGAAGAAGGCGACGGUCCGCCUCUUCUUUUUUCGGCGAGAAAAAAAAAAGAACGACAAAAACGAAGAGGAGAGAGAAAGAGGAAAGAGAAAAAGUAAUAAGGGUAUUUUGGUCAGUUUGCUGAAAAAGCGGACCGAAUCUGCAAAAACGAAAAAGGUGACCCGAUUUUGCAAAAGCCCAAAAUAAGUGAAUUUUUUAUGCAAAAAGGCCAAUAUAAUAUAAGGAAAAAUAUCAUUAUUUUUUAUUUAUAAUUAUUCACUAUUCUUAUUUCAUCAUAUCUAUCCUAACGCUAUUUUUUUUAUUUCUGGAAAUAACACAAUUUUCAUUCAAACGCAAAAUUGGCCUAUUUCAUGCUUAUACCUGAACUUAUACCCAUCCCUGUAAUAAACAGUUAUUGCUUACAUCCGAACCAAAUUUAAAUAUUUUUAUAUUUAACACCCCCCUCGCGUGUGGGUUUGAGACUUUUUAUAGACCCCAUGAUGUAUAUUUAAAUUAAAUUAGAGAAAAUAUAAUGUUAGGAGCUUGGAGUAACUCGAACCUUAAAUAUACAAAACAACCGUUAUACUCUAAACACUUAAAAUUGUAGAGAACAGUGUUUAUAUAUAUUUUUAUAUUUAACAGCCCCCCUCAAGUCUGCGUUCGAGACUUCUUGCAAAGCCCAUGACAUGGACUUGAAUUAAUUAAAUAGGAGAAAAUUAGUAAUGCUAGAAGCUUGGUGUGACUCGAACUCAGAACCUUCUACUCUCACACCAUGCGAAACAAUCUUUGUACUCUAAAAGAUUAAGCUGAUAGAUAACGGUGUUUAAAUAUUUUUAUAUUUAAUAAUAUAUAUUUGGUUUUAAUAUGCUAGUGGCGCCAAAGAUAGAAGUACUUCAAGAGCAUGUUUGGUUUGCACUAUCGGUAUACUGGGGCAUCUCGUCGCAAAGCAAUUUGAUCAUUAUGAUUGGAAAUCCAACCGGUUGGAUUUUUCGGGUUUAUGAUUCUUGUAGAACAACUUGAUCGGUUGGAGUGCCAAUCCGAUCAGUUCGAUUAGGUAGAAAUAUUGAAAAUUAAUUUCCGAUCGAUUGCACCUCUCUGAUCGGUCGGUUUUGGAGGUCUGAUUUGUCUGAUUUAAUAGUUUGAGUCUGGUUUGAAUCUGAGGUUUCGAGACUACAUAUAUGACCUCAUGUGUAGCUUAUUUGAUGGACUUUUUGGAGAGCACUACUGAGAAAAAUUAAAAUUUUGGAGAGCCACCAAAAGAGGAAAAAAAAAAAGAAGAGAAAAAAAGAAAGGUUUAGAGAGUGUUUCAAUCAACAGGAGAAGAUUGGAGAACGUAGAUUGGAGGGGUUCGCUCAACCGGGUGUUAAAGUUGUUCUAGCAAAGGUAAAGGUGUCCAAAAUAUCCGAAAUCCCAUACCCGACCCGGACUCUAUCCGGACCCGAACCAGAUCCGAACCGGACCCGAUAAAAAAUGAAUAGUAUACGGAUAAAAAAAAUUACCCAUUAAAGUUUCGGGUAUGGGUCCGGAUAUUUUAUACCCAUACCCGAUUUGGACCCGACCCGAACCUAACUUUUAAAUGGGUAGGGUCUGGAAUAGUUUUCAAAUCCAGACCCAGACCCGGACCCGAUAAAAUAUCCGAUAGUAAAUAAAAAAAAAAAUAAACUUUUGAAGUUGAAGGAUCAAUUUUAAUAUGACUUAUAGAUGAUGAGUCACUACGUAUUUUCAUCCUAAUGAAACCCUAGCCGUCUCUUUUACUCAUUACUUUUUUCUAAUUUUUUUACUCUUUAUUUUCUACUCAUUUUUUUUCAUUUCAUUUCCGCCAACAAUAUUUCAUUGUCAUCAUCAUCAUCAGUGUCAUCAUUAUCAUCAUCAGCGACAAUAUUUCUUUUGAAUGAAUUUUAUUAGACGGUGCAACUUAUUAGAAUGCGAGUUUUUUUAUGAUGGACUUUAUAGUUUGUCUAUUAACUAUUUAACAAAGUUUAUAAAAAAAUAUAUAUUUAUACAGAUAUCCGUAUCCGAUCUAGAUCCGAUCCAUAUCCGGUCUUGAACGGGUAGUAUACGGGUAGUCACUACCCAGACCUGCUCAAAUAGACCCGAUAGGUAUAUUAGUAACUUUAGUACCCAGAUCCGGAUCCGACCCGAAGUUAAAUGGGUAGGGUAUAUAUAUUUUUUUGUAACCAUUUCUUUUUAGGGUAUGGGUACAGUAUAUUAAUUACCCAGACCCGACCCAGUCCACGGACAUCUUUAAGCAAAGGUUCUUUUGUUAGUGAGAUUAUUUCAAUCUUGAGUUCUUUCUUCCCUUAUUGAAAGCGGCAUUUUCGGCAUGGUGUUGAAGAAGAUGUUGUAUUCUUAACUGUUUUAUAGUGAAGCACCUUUUUGCUCUUAUUUGAAUAGACAUAGACUUCAGGUGAACUACGUAAAUAUUCAUAUUCUUGGUUGCGUGAUUUAUGUGUUUUCUAUGUACUUUGUUGUCGUCAUCAAGUGUUGAAGUAAACACUAGCGCAUAGAGGAUUAAUCUUCAACGGAUCUCACGAUUAAAUAAACUUACAUCUACAAAUUACUCGAUUUGGAAGCCUUACAUAGAAUUUUUAUAAUCCAAUCAAAGGAGUUGUUGCUAUGAUUAAGAAGAUGUGAGACGGAGAAUGAGAUAAAUUAAAUCGCAAAACCAUUGGACUCAUUCGACAGUGGAUUGAUGAUAGCGUCUUCCACUAUGUUUCAAUGGAGGUUAAUGCCUAUAGCCCUAGUUGAAAUUGAAAAGUUUAUAUGAAAGAAACAUUGAAUAAGGCAUUCUUGAUCUGUAAAUUGGUAUAUACAAAAUACAAAGAGGGGGUUUCUGUGGCGGAGCAUGCAAUUAAUUUUCAAAAUAUGGUAAACCAGCUAGCCACGAUGAUGAUGACGUUAGAUGCGGAGCGUUAAGCCCUACUAUUGUUAAGUUCAUUGCUUGAUAGUUGGGAAACCCCUGUAAAAGGAGCUGCGAGUUUUGAGUCAUAAUAAGGCCCUCGUAAUUAAAAGAGAAAAAAAUAGCAAGUAUAGAGACAUCGUGAGAGAGGUCCAAGCGCAAAAGUGGUCGGCGUUACAACUAUGACAAAUGGGGCUAGUGUUAAACAACCGUUAUACUCUGUUAUCGAAAUUUUUUUAUAAGGCCCAUGAUGUGGACUUAAAUUAAAUGAAGGAAAUUAAUAAUACUAGGAAUCUGACGUGACUCGAAUUCAGAAUCUCCUAUUUUGAUACCAUGUGAAAUAAUUAUUAUAUUUUAAAAGCUUAUGCUGUUAGAGAACGGUGUUUAUGUAUUUUUAUAUUUAACAGCUAGUUCAAAAAGAUUGUCGAAUCCUGAAGAAGAGAAGGUGAAGAACAAGUGAUCAGAUGAUGACUCCAACUUGGACAAUGAGACGGCAUCCAUUUUUACAGGAGAGGAGGUGAUCAUUCUCCAUGACAUAGUGGACGAUGGUCUAGUAGGCACUACAAGCCAAGACUCCACUUGGGUGAUUGACUCCUCCCCUUCGUAUCAAUGUUAUUGUGAGGUGAAACUUAUUCUCAUCUUAUCAUUAUGGAGAGUUUCGGAUAGUGAAAAUGGGAACUGACGAAGAAUCAAAGAUUGCCUGCAUCGGAGACAUUGUGACGACGCAAGUUUGGGUAGAGGUUGGUGUUGAAAAUGUUUGAUAUGUACUAGACAUUCACUUAAACCUGUUGUUGAUAGGGGUUCUAGAUGAGGAGGGCUACUACAGUGUGUUUGGCGAUCAUCAGUGGUUGUUGACUAGCAAAUCACUAGUAGCAGCUAGAGGUACCAAGCAAGAUAAUCUCUACUUAAUACAGGCUAAACUCGAAAACGGGGAGGUGGAUAUAGCGAGGAAUCUACUAUCUUAGAGUUAUAGCAUCCGUGUAUGGGACACAUGAGCUAGAAAAGUAUGUCAAUUUUAGCUAAAAAUAGUGCUAAAUUGAAAAUGUGCAAAGAGCUGCUUGAUGGAAAUUUAAACUUGACUCUCUCAAAGAAAAUUUUUGCUGCAUUAGAUCUUGCUCACAGUGACAUUUGUUCUAUGGCUGAUAAAACUCUUAGUGGUUGCUCUUAUUUUGUAACUUUCAUUGAUGAACACUCAUAAAAGGUUAGGGCAUAUGCUUCGAAAUCGAAGGAUCUGGUGCUCGAUGUAUUCAAGUAAUUUCACAUCUUUUUUAAAGAGGGAAAGAAACUAGGUGAAAAUUUGAGUGCAUUUAGGCGUGUAAAGGAGAUGGAUAUAAGGAUUUUCGAGAAGUAAUGUUAACAUGGCAUCAAACAUGAAAAGAUAGUUUCUAAUAAAAGUCGCAGCAGAGUGCGGUUGCUAAGAGAAUAAAUGGAACGGCGCCCAGUGAGAAAAUCAGGAGUAUGCUCUCUCAUGCUAAACUACCAAAGGCGUCCUAGGGCAAAUAAUCGAUGAUUGCGAACUACCUUAUUAAUCUUUCUUUUAAUUUCCUAUUCUCUUGAGGUUGAUACACCACAAAAAAUAUAGUUAGUUUGAAAGUGUUUGGAUAUAAGGCGUUCGUGCAUAUUCCUAGGAAUGAGAGGUCUAAGCUAGAUGCUAAGGCGAAAUAUAGUACACAUGGAAAUGAUAGUACACAUGAAGGUCACAAGGGUGAGAAAAGUGUAGGUGAUAUUCUGAUUGAACUAUAUAAUGAGCUACCUGCACAAACGGUUCGAAGAUGUGAAAGCGGGAAAUGUGAAUCAAGUGGGAUUCGAACUUGGAACCUCGGGUAACAACCAUAAAGUCUUUUGCCACUUGCUCUGAAGACAGUCGGUACCAUAUGGUUGUUUGUUAUUGAUGAAUACAGGAGUGUUUGAGUCCUACUUUGAAGUUACAAAGUAUUUUUUUUUUUUUUUUUGGAGAAAGGCAAUGAAGGAGGAAAUGAAUUCCUUCUAGGAAAAUAAUAGUUGCAUGCUUGUGAAGAAAGCCAAGGGAAAUUGAGUAAUAAAAACUUUACUCAAAUUGAGUACCCAAGUGUUCACGUCGAGCCAUAGGAGAAAUAAUAGUUGACAACUAAGAUAUAAGGCAAGAUUGGUUGGACCUACUCAGGUAUAUGCAAUAGAUCUGCCGAAUGGGUAAGGUCCUCCUUUUUCGCACGAAGUAGAAAUAUAAUCAAUCUGUAAAACUCAUACAUGAUAUGGGUACACAAAGCAUCAAAGUGGAUUUUUCUAAAUUUAAAACCAUUAAGAAAAUCUUUUUUUUUUUCUUUUUGCAUUUUUCUCUAACGUUGUACAUUUCAAAGAGUGGGUAAAGGUUGGAAUGUCGGCAGCAGGACCGUUGGACAACGUUCCUUUUACCCACGUCGGGCGCGAGCCUUGCUGUUCCAUUUCGUGCAAGAAACGCAUUCAUGUUCUCCUGGAAAACGAAAUAAAAAAUAACCGAUUUACCCUCCAGCAAGCCGCAACUCGGUAGUUAGUAUUCAAGAUUCGAAGUUCAAAAUCUAGUUACUUUAUAUUUCUAACAAGUUUAUUUUUUAAAAAAUGAAAAAAGCGGGCAUGCUAUCCUUUUCUAAAAAAAUAAAAUAAUAAAUAAUAAAUAAAUAAAUUAAAUUUUGUAAGACACGAAACAAAAUGAAUUUAAGCAACCCCAGUUACAAACUAAGCCGCAGCUUUUAUUUUUGGACAAGGGUACUUAUUCAAUAAUUUAAGGAAUGAUUAAUUUAAGGAAUAAUUUAAGGAAUGAUUAAUUACACAAUUGAACAACUGAAUUCACUGCGUAUUCCUUUUAUUAGGUUAUUAACUUUUAUUUAUUACGAUUGAUUAUUACUUUCGUAUUUUCAACGGAGAAACUGCAGUUAAUUAAAUCUUUAUACUCUUGAGAUGAAGUGGUAGUUAGCUAUACCAUCAAUUAUUAGAGAAACUAGUGUUGAACCGGCGCUUUCGCCGCGGAUAAUUUUAACACUAAUAUUUUGAUGUAAAUUUUAAUAUAUAAUAAUUACGAAAAAUGAGAAAAAGAAUAGAAUUAAAAUAUCAACACAUAUGUAUGUAAGGGUGCGUUUGGUUCGAGUUAUCCUGGCAGGAUUACAGGCAAUCCUGUCACGCCCCGGAUGUCUCGUUCCCCGGGCACGCCGACAAAUCCGCCGUAUACAAAGAAAUUUUUCCUGUAUACUACAAAAAAAUUUUUCCUGUAUACGAAGCGACAGCUGUACCUGUAAACAUACAAUACUACAAACAGUAGUAUAGAGCUGCUCGAGUAAACAAAAGCUAAACAAACUAAGCUUCACAUACAUAGUUCAAAAAUCAAAACACAGAGUUACUCGCACUGGCGAGUUAAGUACUAUGUACAUAAGCUCGAAAUAAAACAACUACCUGCAGUAGGGUGCCUCUAGCUCUGCUCGGCGGGUAGGGCUCUAACUCGCGACGCCCUUGCCUCGAUCCUGAUCCGCGGAAGGCGCAGCAGCCGAAACCUGUGGCUCUGCAAAACAGGGGUAACAAUUGGGCGUGAGAACUACUGUAAAAACAAGUAGUCCUCAGUGGGUACCGCCCAAAACAACAUUGGUCCACCCACUAAGUCUACAGAAUGGAGCAAGAAUAGUCGGAAAAGCAGGAAGUAAACUCUACCGCUAUCAAUCACUACACUAUCAUGCUCUACACUAACCAACUGUAGGAAAUGUCAAAUCUGACCCAAUCCAAUCGGGACUGUAAAUACACCCGUCCCUGCCCAGUUGCGACUAUCCAGCUACCUCCACACUAACUGGUCCGUGGAGAGCAAGUCCAACCGGCAUGAGCGACACCAACGCGAAAGCACAAAGCCCGUCUCCGGAGUGGCACUCGUGGGCGCUACCCAACCGAGUAUGCAGCGUAUCUCUGUCGAGCUCAAUCAGGCUCUGUCAAGCCAAAGUCCAAGUAACCGACUCUAACUGGUCUAACAACAAACAAGUAACGUACCCUCGGCACAAUCUGACGCCAAAGCGGCGAACCGGGCCCACCACCGUCAACCCCAACGGCGCCCAAAAGUCCGAAACAGCCCAAACGGCCCUGUAAAAAUCCACUCGGCGAAUCAGCACGAGCGUAAAUAUAUUCUAAACUACCUGGAGUACUCAUCUCGAGGAUACUGCGACAGUAUAAUUUUAUAACGGCUCCUAGAGCUAAAUCAGGCAGUUUAAAUAAGUGAUAGGUCCAAAUCGCAGGUUUUCUCCUAAUUCAAAUUUCAAGUCCAACAUAUAUAAACUACUCAAUUUAUUAUCACAUACUCCAAAUUCAGAUAUACAAUCAAUCAUAUAAUCCAUGAAUUCGAGUUAGAAUAGAUUAUCCAAAUCGAAAUCUAUACAUGUCGACGAUUAUGAACUUAGGAGUAAAACCGAUGUAAACCCACCUCAAAGCUAAUCCCUGGCAGCGAAGGACUCCCACUGGUGUAGAGCGACCUGCUGGAUCAACCGGAAUCCGCCGAGUCCAGAAUCGAGCUAACUCUACGCUCUACACAACACAAGUCACCAAUUCAGUCUAGAAAUUGCAGCAGUGAGGUACAACAGGGAUUCGACCAAGCUAACCUUCACCAAAUCCAGCAAGUAAGGGCUUCGUGGAUUCCUCUCGCAGUCCUGAAUCCAACGAACUAAGCCUCGCUAAAAUCCGAUGCUCCUACGACAAGUACGAGCUGAAAUACUAACAGUCGACGAUGAAUUUCAGAAAACAACAUCACUCCGAGAUGAAGUAGUAAGAACUUGCCCAAAAACCAUGGAAAUGCUGAAUUACCCACCUCGACAACGCCAAGCACCGGUGCGACAGCAAGAACGGCGAAAACCUACGCUCGCCCCGCCUCCUCGCGCUACCCCGGCGUCAAACACGUGCUCGAACGGCUCCGCGGCGCAACGUCGGCAACGAAUUCUCCAACCGAGCUCUCUUGCCUUCAACCGGAUGAAAGUGAGAGAGAGGUGAAGAAAUGCAGCAAGAGGACCUCUCUCUCUCUCCACACGAAGCUAUAUAGAGAGAGGGAGGGUCGGUGAUACAAAUGAGGGAUAAAAUUACUCAUUUAGCCCUUUACCUACCCCCUUGUACCGGUACACGGGCUCCUAUACCGGUACAAGAGCCAACCCGAGAGCAGCUAAACCAGUGCGCGAUGGUUGUACCGAUACAGCGUGCUAGUUGUACUGGUACAGCAAGCAGAGAAAUCUGCUGUUUUGCAGAAUUCUUCGCGAUAAGCUGCCCUCGCGUCGCACGGAGUCCGUUUUGCGUCUAUUUGACGCCAACGCGACUCGGACUUGUCCCGACACUCUCCAGAGCUGCCGACAAGCCUCCACAACAGAACACCAGGGAUCUCACAAAUCCUUCCAGGAUAACUGUGUUUGGUUAAUCCGCUAUGUAAUCUAGUCGUUAAUGUAGCAUUACAAAUCGAGCAGGAUUACAUCGAAAAUAUUAACGGGAGGGGGUCGUGUAUCUUGCAUUACUGAAACCCGUUAAUACUACAUAUUAUGUAAAAUGACAAUUUUACCCUCCAACAAUCCCAAAUCUAAUUAACAGCAUUAUUUUCAUCUCUCUCGUCUUCCCCCCUCUCUCUCGCACGUCGCUUUCUCCUGCUCUCUCUUUCUCUCUCUCGACGUCUCUCUCUCUCUCUCUCUCUCUCUCUCUCUCUCUCUCUCGCGCGCGCGCGCGCACGAACACCUAUCAUCUUCUAUUGCGUCAUCCUCUCAGGUAAUCAUCAUGAUCUCCUUCCCUCCAUUCGUCAUUUCCGCAAAAAAUAAUAUUCAAAUGACCACAACAAGAGCAAUUUUGAAAAAAACUACACUUUUAUGUCAGGAUUACUAAAUUUUAUAAACUGAACCAAACGUAUUAAUGCUAUAAACACUGUAAUCUAGUAUUACAUUACUGCAUUAAACCAAACGCGCUAAUACAGCAUCAGUAGUAAUCUCACGCCGAAAUCCAAGAUACCUGAAUAUGUUGAGAUACUUUAUAAUAUUACAUAACUCGAACCAAACGGACCCUAAAGGCAAAAGAAUAGAAGCCAAAAAUAAUUUGUCAUGAAAAAAUAAAAUGGAACGAAAACAAAAUAUAUAAUUAUGAACUAUACAAAAUAUAUAUUUAGCUUGAGUGAUUGCUAAUUAUUUUAAUAUAUAUAUAAGUAAUUUGGAUUGACAAUAAAAUAUGUAAUUAUGUAAUAUGCAAAUAUAUAUUUAGUUUGAACAAUUUACUUUUAAAACAAUUCUAAAAGAAAAUAAUUUUUACUUUUGUUUUCGAAAAUUAUAAAGAGAGAUUACGUAGAAAUUAUUACAGAUAAAAGAGGUUUAGAUGAGGCUUGUGAAUCAAGAUGUGAGUAAGCACUAUCCUAGAAGCGAUAUUGCCUCUCCAUGUGUGAGGCUCUAACAAUCACUCCUAGAGAUAUAAUGACCACCAGUUUCCACCCCCUCGGCACGUCUUCAUGGUGGUGCAAUACGUAGCCAAGUAGCUAUCAGAAAUCCAGCAAAAAAUAGAAAAAAAAAUAUAAAGUUUAGUGCACGAGGGAGAAAGGAGGAAGAAGCAAUUAGAAAAAUUCUUCACGAUUCCAACCUCAUGAGUACAUGUUCUUCUAUAUAUACACCCAAAUCAAGAUGAGAAUUUUGUUCCUUCUCGAGAUAAGAAAAUAAGAAAAUUUUUCAAUGUUCCAGCCUCAUGAGUACAUGUACUCCUAUAUACACACGCGAAUCAAGGUGAAAAUUUUGUCACUUCUGAGUACAUGUUCUUCCAUAUACACACGCGAAUCAAGGUGAAGAUUUUGUCCCCUUCUUGAGAUAAGGAAGAUUUGGAUAAAUUUGAUACCUUUUCGAUGUGGAUUUGAAAAUAUUUGGUACCUUCCCAAGGUGUAAUCAUAAAUUCAGAUUUGGUACUUUACCGAAAUAAAGUAAUCAUGAAAUUCAAAAUAAAAAAAAUACUGAAAAAAAAUGGAAGCGCCAAGUGUAUUUAACAAACCACCAAUUUAUAUAUUUGUAUUGAUGAUUGAUAGAUUUGGUACCUUCCCAAAAUUGAUUUGAGAAGAUUUGGUACCUUCACGAGGUACCUUUUUGAGGUAAGAAAGAUUUGGAUAGAUUUGAUACCGUUUCGAUGUCGCGUAAUCAUAAAUCCAGAUUCGAUACUUUACCGAAAUAAAGUAAUUAUGAAAUUCAAAAUAAAAAAUACUGAAAAAAUAUGGAAGCACCACGUGUAUUUAACAAACCGCCAAUUAUAUAUUUGUAUUGAUGAUUGAUAGAUUUGGUACCUUCCCAAGAUUGAUUUGAGAAUAUUUGGUAUCUUUACGAGGUGUAAUUAUAAAUCCAGAUUUGGUACUUUACCGAAAUGAAGUAAUCAUGAAAUUCAAAAUAAAAAAAUACUAAAAAAAACGUGAAAGCGCCACGUGUAUCUAACAAACUGUCAAUUUAUAUAUUUGUAUUGAUUGAUUUGUAUUGAUGAUUGAUAGAUUUGGUACCUUCCCAAGAUGGAUUUGAGAAGAUUUGGUACCUUCGAGGUGUUAUCAUAAAUCCAGAUUUGAUACUUUACAGAAAUAAAGUAAUCAUGAAAUUCAAAGUAAAAAAAUACUGAAAAAACGUGGAAGCGCCACGUGUGUCUAACAAACCGCCAAUUUAUAUAUUUGUAUUGAUAGAUAAUAGAGCUCAUAAGAAUAACCUAAUUGAAGGGAAAAAAGCUAAAAUUACUCAAAUCUAAUACAAAAGAGUUCAAUGACCUAAUUAAGACUGAUAAAUUCAAUUACCAAUUGUAUAAAUUAUUCUUUAAUGGAUGAAAAACUGGUAGAACGGUUCAAAUAACUCAUCCGUGGGAAAUUGAACAAACAAUUCAAACAACAAAGUGUAAAUAUUGAUAUAAAACAUAAAAAAAAUUAUCCAUGGGAGUGCUAGCUAAAACAAUAAUAUUUGCUUAUCUGCAUGCAGGUGCUAGAAAACUACGCAUAUGUAUAUGUUGUUCGACAGACAAUUCAUUCUCAUUAUGAUGCGAACACGAACAAUUAAAGACACAGAAAUGAGAAAGGAACCACUGAACAAGUGCGACCUAAAUGUCGACGUACAAUUUUUUACAGAAACAAAUAAAAUAUUUUUUUUAUUACACUUUCUGACUGCACAUAAGCAUACUCUCUGCAAUCCGAGAUGAAACCUUCGCACAAGGAGGUGAUUGUUAGUGAUAUACCCUAAAGCCAAUCGGUGACACAGGCUUGUGAAUAUAUUAAGUAUUUUUCUUAAUUAAUAAAGGGCAAGUUUUAUUCAUAUUUAUUGUUAGCAGUACAAUACAUAUAUAUGAAUCGUCCAUUGAAUCUUUGUUAAGAAAAUAUAUUCCUAAGAGUUAGGAAUUUGAGAUAUAUAUUUCUUUGUACAAGAUUCUUAAAUGCUCCUAGCCAUAGGAAUAUCAUAAGGACGAUGAUAUUUCCGGAUAGGCCGGUGUAUGCUAUACUUCUAAGUUGAGGUGACGAAUCUCAAGUCAUUAGUGUAAGGACACUAAAGUAAGCAUGCAGGUGCUUGUUAGAGAACAAGUACACUGAGCGUGACCAUUUAGUUGAACAGUCACAUGGUUCCGAAUUCGCCAGUGACUAGUUCUUUGCUACAGUUGUGUGAAGUACUCCUUAGACCUGAGGCAUCAUGGUUGCUUCACAUGUAGAUUGCUACUGUUUAACUGUACUAAUACUUAGACUCUAAUGAUUGGUCUAUGUCUGGUACUGAUUGGCUGUAGUAGUUUAUAUGGGGAGGCAUGUGAAUGCGCAAUAAGGAAUUCAACACUCUCAAUAGUGAGAGAGAACGUCCUAUGUAGACUGUCGAACUUGACUCGGAAAAUCCUUGGCCAGGGUACGUGGUGUGUGGAAAGAGUUUCCACCUGUGUUACCAUAUUGAGUCAGUUUUAGAUAUUCUAGUCAUAUGAUCGAAUAAUAAGAUUUGGCGAGUAACCAUAAUUUUUAGUUCGAUCGGGGCGUUGUAUGUUGGAAGGAAUUAAUCACAUAGUAACUGUUAAUGAAAAGGUUCGUUUUUCAUCAUCAUUCUGGAUUACCGUGAUAUACUGCUAGGUGUCACUCACGGACAGUGAGAAGCUGAAAUAAUUUAAAAUAAAUUAUUUCAUAGAUUAGAAGAGUUCUAAUUCAAUAUUAAAGAGUUUAAUAUUGAAUUCCACUGCCGAAUGAUAAUGAACCUAUGCGGUCACACACAAUAGGAAUUGUGUGCAUCCAAUUUGAUAAGAUGAGUCUAAUUGAUACACUAAAUAGUUUAGUGAAAAUUGUGAGAAUUAUAAUUUGAUUUAAUCUCUAAUUAGAUUAGAGAAUAAUUAAUUAUUCAUAGAUUAUUAUGAGAUAAUAUUCUAAAUAGAUUAUAAUAUGAAUAUUUAAUGGAUAAGAUCCAAUUAAAUUAAAGAGAGAGAGACAAAGAUAAUAUAUCCAUAAAGAUAAGUAUAAAUUUGUUUUACUUAUCUAUGGGAACUAAUUGGAUAUGAUCCAAAUUAGUUAUACCAGAAUGCAUGCAACAAUUUAUGCAACUAAUUGGAUGUGAUCAAAAUUAGUUGCAACAGAAUUUUGAGGAUGCCGAUGGUACGGCUAGGCGUGGCUUAAUCAAUUAUUAAUGCACGGCUACGUGAAUAUAAUAUAUCAUCCUUUUACGAGAGGAAUUUAAUAAUAGCCUCUUGAGAAAUAUUAGAUAAUCCAUCUCUCUCUAAUUUUUCCAAAAAAAGCAGUACAUCUCACAAAAGGCGAACGUGGAUAUCACGAGACUGCUAGCACCGUCUUUGUAAUCCGCGACUCAUCUAUUCCGUGCGACGGAAAGCAUUGGAUCUGGAUCAAUUCCGUGUGGAUACGCGUAGAGGCCGGGCACGUGUGCGGCUGAUCGGAAUUUCAGUUUCAACCGUACAGUAGAUCAAGAGACCUUAACUGGUCCGAGGUAAUGUAACCUGAACUUUAAAUCUGUUUAGGUUAGUUUUUAUUUUACAUUGCAACAUGAGAAUGAUCCACCGGCACUGGAUUGAUUUGUUUUAUUUUGGUUCAUAUGUGAUAUGGAUUUUUAUUUUUCGAAAAUACAUUUUUAAUUUCCGCUGCGAUUUUUGUGCCGGAUAAAUUCUUACAUUGAUAUUCUUUCCCAUUUAAGAAGUCACCUCCCAAACAGAAACGCUUACAUGGAGACUAGGCUCAACUACAUAUUCAGCCCAUAAGUUUUGGCAAUGUAUGGGCUUGGCCAUUUGGACCUCCUACUAUUAUCUGAUAAUCAUCUCAAAGUUCAACAUUAUGUACUAUGGACUACAUUGUCGCUUCACCUUGAAUUGGGAAUAAAAUGUAAUGUUUUGGACACCUCAUAUAACACCUAGAAUUGGGUCUGAAAACGAAUAAAAAUUUUGCGACAUAUCAUCAACACAUACUGACUGUAGUUGAGAGGGCCGUUUCUGCUUCUUUCUUUCUUUCUACUUUUCUUUCUAUUAUUAUGUCUGUGGGCGUUACACUUAACAAAACCCUUGCGCAAAAAUCAUAUUUCUUCUUAGAUCCGAACUGAGAUAGCGGAGCGAGCUUCUGCGGUCAACUUUUGGAACCUAAACUGCUUUACAUCCAUAUUCUUUUGCAUUUGGAUACUGAUCUUCAUAGCUAGAGCUUCGAAAAAAAAAAAGAAAUAAAGAAAAAUUUUUGCUCGGUACAAAUUCUCCUCGGUACAAAUUUUUAGAUUUGUUAUGUCAAGAUAUAUACAUUCCUAGCUACUUAACUCAUUCACCGAAAGGUGAAGCAUUCUUAUGCAUUGUGUCAUGACAAUGCAAAUACGAUCCAAAAUUAUCAUGACAAAUACGAUCCAAGAAGACUAGUAAAAUAAGCAACCCAAUAUGAUUUUCAUUUCUGGAUACAUUAGCUAUUUAUUUUGUAAGUUUUCAUUGCCCUCUAAUUCAUUAAUCUUAUGCUCGUGCCGAGGCAAAAAUCGAAUUUGGUAUUCCAUGGCCUGAAAUUUGAAGCUUGAAUUUGGUAUUUUCUAUAAUUACUAGAAACAGAAUCUGUUGAAAAGAUUUUAAUACAAAGUUUUUCUCCCGAAGUAUCUAUUUAAAUACUAGAGCCUGUAAGAGAACUUAACAUACAUGCAUGCUUGUUUUUCCUUUUAUUUUAUUUUAUUAUUUUAUUUUUUUAGCUGUAGUCAUUCCCAAUUAUAAAGCAUUUCUGGAGCUUGUGCUGUAAUGUAAAGCAGCAAAAAGAAUUUGCUGAAAAAUUUUAAUAUAAAGCUUUCCUAAUAGAUUGAGUGAGUUUCUACUUUUGAUACAUUUUAAUAUCGAAGGGGGAAUAAAAUACAAAAAAAUUAUUUGCAUUUUAGCAUGCAUUAUAAUUCCAAUUCUCAACUGAGUACGUUUGUCAACGAGCUGUGAACACGAGGUGACUCGUUAAAAUAUUGAGCUAAAAAAAUUCAAUUCACAAUCGGCUCGUUUAAUAACGAGCCGAACACGAGUUGGCGAACACGAGUUGGCUCAUGAGCAGCAAACUAGAUUGUCAGCUCUAUUAUUGGGUAAAACAUUAAAAGAAAAUUAGAAUCAUAUUCUAAUAUUUAAAAUUUAUAAAAUAUAGAUCUCUUUAUAUUUGGAUUGGCUUAAAAUUCAAAUAGUAGAAACUGUUAAUAUAUAUAUAUGUAUAGAGAGAGAGAGAGAGAGAGAGAGAGAGAGAGAGGCUAUUGUGCUAUUAGAAGCACUACAGUCUUUAUGCUCCUAAAUUCCUAACCAUCCACCAAUUUUGAUGAAUGGUUAAGGUGAGAGAGAAAAGAAAUUGGAAAGAAAUUGGGUUUCUCAAGUUCUCUUCUUUUUAAAUUUCUUUCGAAUUUCUCUUCUCUCUCUCUCUCAUCGUAACCACUCAUCAAAAUUGAUAAAUUGUUAGAAACUUAGGAGCACAUAGGAUACUGUGCUCCUAAUAGCACAGUUAUCCUGUUCUCUAUCUCUCUCUAUAUACUCUCUCUCUAUACAUAUAGAGAGAUAGACAGAGAGUUCAACUACAGUGCUUCCGAAAGUACUCUUCAUGUGGUGCCUUCAAUUUUUUAACUUUUGCAUCAACUCUUUUGACUAUUUCUAAUCCUUUGAUUAAUAAUAUUCACCCAAGGGAGACCACUAAACCCUAAUGGGGGCCACUAUCAUCCCAACCAUAUAUAUAUAUAUAUAGAGAGAGAGAGAGAGAUAGAGAGAGAGAGAGAGAGAGAGAGAAAACAAUUUUUGUACUUUCAAAAACACCGAGGCCUCCGUACUUAUAAUUUAUUUUUGAUGAUAGAACAUCUGAUUCGACGACCAAUUCCCUUAGACAUUAUUUACGCUAUUAGAACUAUUUAGAAUCCAAGACAUCAUUUACCAAAUGAUCAAAUGCUCUAAAAAAUGACUAUUUUAAUGGCCGAUAUAAUACGUUUAUAAGUUUAAUGGUGUAGAACAAACUACCUUAGAUAAAAUUUUAAUAGAAAAUUCUACCUAUCAUCAAAAGCAAGAUUGAUAUUUUCAAUUUGCAAUUUAAGUCUUUUAUCACUUUUUUAUAGAAUUUUUAUUUUCAAUCGCUCAUUUUAAGUCUAUUCGCUCACUAGAUAAAUAAAGUCAAAAAAUUAUGAAAUUUUGUUUCUAGAUAGUAGUAACAUAAUUGAUUAUGUGUAAUGAAACCGAUCGCCAAAUCAGAUGUUCCAUCAUUAAAAAUUAUAAGCACGUAGGCCUUUGUACUUUCAAAAGUGUAGAAGCCUAACACUCUCUCACUUUCUCUGUGUGUGUGUGUGUGUGUGUGUGUGUGUGUGUAUAUAUAUAUAUAUAUAUAUAUAUAUAUAUAUAUAUAUAGACUGGUAUACUAUCGGCAGCACGGAGGCCUCUGUGCUACCAAGUUGUUUUCAAUGAUGUGGCUUCCAAAUCGACGAUCGGCUCUGUUAAGCUUGAUGGACCAAGUUGUUCUCUCUCUCUCUCUCUCUCUCUCUCUCUCUCUCUCUCUCAUCUCUCCUCUCUCUCGUCCUCUCUCUCUAUAUAUAUAUAUAUAAGGGCUGCCGUGCUCUCAGGAGCACGGAGGCCUCCGUACUCCUGAGCCGUUUUCGAUGAUAGAAUUUUCGAAUUGACGAUCGACUCCGUUAGACUUGAUCUAGGGUAUAUGAAGUUUCUAAAAAAUAAUUUUUGCAAUUUUUUGAUAUUAUUUACCUAGUGAUAGAAAGGAUUCAAAAUCAAUAAUUUUUAAUGGUUGAUAUCUGCCGUUUUCAAGUUUAACGGUGUAGAAGUAUUAAAAUCAGAUGAAAUUUUGAUACAAAAUUCUUUAUACUAUCUACAACAAGAUCAAUAUUUCUGAUCGAAAAUUUGAAUGCUAUAUCACCACUUUUAUAGGAUUUUUAUUUUCAGCCGUUAAAAAUUAUUGAUUUUGAAUCCUUUCGAUUGCUAGGUAAAUGAUAUCAAAAAAUCGCAAAAAAUAUUUUCUAGAAACUUCAAAUACGUUAGAUCAAGUCUGACGGAGCCGAUCGUCGAUUCGAAAAUUUCAUCAUCGAAAACGGCUUAGGAGCACGGAGGUCUCCGUGCUCCUGAGAGCACAGCAGCCCUACUCUAUAUAUAUAUAUCAAAUUUGUUUUUCAAUACUAGGUUUCGUCAUUUUUCUCACCCUCUUUUCUUUAUCUAUGGUAAUGGCGAGACCUAUGGUAGCAACAACGUCGAAGGCAAGGCUUUCGGUCGUGGCAAAAAUGAGGUACGCCACACCUGCCGCGGCACAGAGAGAGAGAGAGAGAGAGAGAGAGAUUUUUUCAAGGACAAAUUUAUAACAAAAUAGUCAUUUUAAGCAACUAGCAUUAAAAAACUAACGGUGAAUCAAAUGACAUCAGAACUUUUAGAGGGAUAUAUUUAUGAAAAAUUUAAUUUAUAACAAAAUAGUCAUUUUAAGCAACUAGCAUUAAAAAACUAACGGUGAAUCAAAUGACAUCAGAACUUUUAGAGGGAUAUAUUUAUGAAAAAUUUAAUUUAUAACAAAAUAGUCAUUUUAAGCAACUAGCAUUAAAAAACUAACGGUGAAUCAAAUGACAUCAGAACUUUUAGAGGGAUAUAUUUAUGAAAAAUUUUUGAAGGGGUAAAAUUGAUCAAUUAUUUGAUACCUUAAUAGCAAUCUGUACCAAAUUAGCUCUUUGCUUUUUAUCUGGUCGUUUUGGAAACACGUAGACAGCAAGUUAGGAGAUAUGGGUUGACUUGUUCAAAUCCUCCAGAAAAUGUUCUCUUAAGUCCCUAUCUUAUCUCUUUAUCUCAAUUGUGAGUUUGUGACAGUGCCAUUGCUUAUGCACGCGUGUGCAUGAGAGAGAGAGAGAGAGAGAGAGAGAGAGAGAGAGACAUUUGGUGCAAGUAAUCAACUUGAUAUUUGGAUUGAAUGGUUCGUGAAAGGCCACUGCUUAGUUACAUAUAUAUAUAUCUAUAUAUAUAUAUAUAGAGAGAGAGAGAGAGAGAGUNAACAGAAUCUGUUGAAAAGAUUUUAAUGCAAAGUUUUUCUCCCGAAGUAUCUAUUUAAAUACUAGAGCCUGUAAGAGAACUUAACAUACAUGCAUGCUUGUUUUUCCUUUUAUUUUAUUUUAUUAUUUUAUUUUUUUAGCUGUAGUCAUUCCCAAUUAUAAAGCAUUUCUGGAGCUUGUGCUGUAAUGUAAAGCAGCAAAAAGAAUUUGCUGAAAAAUUUUAAUAUAAAGCUUUCCUAAUAGAUUGAGUGAGUUUCUACUUUUGAUACAUUUUAAUAUCGAAGGGGGAAUAAAAUACAAAAAAAUUAUUUGCAUUUUAGCAUGCAUUAUAAUUCCAAUUCUCAACUGAGUACGUUUGUCAACGAGCUGUGAACACGAGGUGACUCGUUAAAAUAUUGAGCUAAAAAAAUUCAAUUCACAAUCGGCUCGUUUAAUAACGAGCCGAACACGAGUUGGCGAACACGAGUUGGCUCAUGAGCAGCAAACUAGAUUGUCAGCUCUAUUAUUGGGUAAAACAUUAAAAGAAAAUUAGAAUCAUAUUCUAAUAUUUAAAAUUUAUAAAAUAUAGAUCUCUUUAUAUUUGGAUUGGCUUAAAAUUCAAAUAGUAGAAACUGUUAAUAUAUAUAUAUGUAUAGAGAGAGAGAGAGAGAGAGAGAGAGGCUAUUGUGCUAUUAGAAGCACUACAGUCUUUAUGCUCCUAAAUUCCUAACCAUCCACCAAUUUUGAUGAAUGGUUAAGGUGAGAGAGAAAAGAAAUUGGAAAGAAAUUGGGUUUCUCAAGUUCUCUUCUUUUUAAAUUUCUUUCGAAUUUCUCUUCUCUCUCUCUCUCAUCGUAACCACUCAUCAAAAUUGAUAAAUUGUUAGAAACUUAGGAGCACAUAGGAUACUGUGCUCCUAAUAGCACAGUUAUCCUGUUCUCUAUCUCUCUCUAUAUACUCUCUCUCUAUACAUAUAGAGAGAUAGACAGAGAGUUCAACUACAGUGCUUCCGAAAGUACUCUUCAUGUGGUGCCUUCAAUUUUUUAACUUUUGCAUCAACUCUUUUGACUAUUUCUAAUCCUUUGAUUAAUAAUAUUCACCCAAGGGAGACCACUAAACCCUAAUGGGGGCCACUAUCAUCCCAACCAUAUAUAUAUAUAUAUAUUGAAUUCGGCUACUAUACUUUUAUAAGUAUAGACCGCUUUGUACUCAUAAGUUUUCGGCUACUAUACUUUUUAACUCAUAAUUAUCUAAAUUUUGGUGACAGAAAUAGGAGGGUGGAAACGAGUAAGCUCGCUCAAUCUUUGCUUGAAAUUAAUUUCGAAUCUAAAUUUAGGCUCAAGCUCAACUUAAAAUUAAUUCGAGCCGAGCUCCAGCGAGCCUAAACUUCGAAUCGAGCGAGCUCAAGUACUAAACAAGCUGCUGAAAUUCUUAACAUCGUGCAAUUUAUAGUUCAAUGUUUAUAAAAUAUUAUCUAAAAUUUAAUACAAAAAAUAUUUAAUAGUUCAACAUACAAAAGAAAUACGGUAUUAUAAUAAAAAAAAUUAGAGGAACCGACUUUUCGAGCAAAUGAAAGAGCAAAAGAGUAAUUAAAGUAGGAUUUUACUGGUUUGAUUUUGUGGGUCAGCAAAUAGUCUAAUUCAAACGAGCCCAGUAUGACUCACAUUCGACUUGAGAUAAAUUUUGAGUUUUUAUUCUGUUCAAGCUCGGGCUCAUUUAAUUUUAAAUCGAGCUCGAGCGAUCCGAAUACUGAGUUGAACGCGAGCCGAACACGAACCAACUCACUCAUUUGCCAGCCCUAAGCAGAAAGAUAUAUAUAUUAACAGACUUGAGGACUUUUGGAGGGAUAAAUUUGAUAAUUGAAGUUUUAUAAGAAUAUAUAUUUACUAUGUGAUAGUCUUGAAGGAAACCAUAUGCAAUUAUUCCAAAAAGAUGAAAAAAAAAUCAUAUUAUUCAAAAUUAAAUAAAUAAAAUGGCAUGAGAAGCGUGAGUAAGCUCAAGAGAAAAAUACCUCAAAGUUUCACGCACUCAAUCCGCUUUGUCACAGAUUCGAAAUCUGACCGGACAACUGCUCCAAUCCAACUCUUGAGUCCAAGAAUUGUAAUCUUCUCUUCCAAAGUUUUAAAUUUUAGCGUUAAAAAUAAAAAUAAAAAUUUAGCAUUUCUCUUUCUUAUAAGAAAAAUUAACAGUUUUAUCCUUCCAAAUAUUGAUAAUUGCAAGUAUAUAUAUAUAUAUAUAUAUAUAUAUAUAUAGUUGAGCCGGAAUGCUAUCGAUAGCAAACAGACUUCGUUGCCACCCAUUUGUUUUCAAUGAUGGAGCCUUCAAAUCGACGAUCGGCACCGUUGAACAUGAUCUGUACUACUUGAAGUAUCUAGAAAUUAAAUUUCAUACUUUUUCGAUAUUAUUCUCUUGUUCAUCAAGUGCGUGUAAAAAUGAACGGCCGAAAAUGAAUAUUCUCUAAAAAAGUGAUGAUAGGGAUUUUGUAAUCAAGAUCGAGAGUAUAGAUCUUGUUCUAAAUAGUUUAAAGAAUUUUCUAACAAAAAUUCAAUUGAUUUGGAUAGCUUUACACCGUUAAACAAGAAAACGCCUCAUAUCGACCAUUAAAAUUACAAAUUUUGAAACCCUUUGAUCAUUAGGUCAAUGAUGUCGAAAAGAUUUGAAAUUUGAUUUCUAGAUAGUUCAAGUGAUACAGAUCAUGUUCAACGGUGCCGAUUGUCGAUUUGAGGGCUCCAUCAUCGAAAACAAAUGGGUGGCAACAAAGCCCAUUUGCUACCGAUAGCAUUCCAACUCAACUCUAUAUAUAUAUAUAGAAAGAGUAGAGCUAUUAUACAAUCGGAAGGUAGUUAAAGCGUAGAGCUAUUUAGCAUAAGGUAGUUAUAUAUAUAGAAAGAGUAGAGGUAUUUAGCAUAAGAUAGUUAGUACUUCCGAUUUUUUAGCUCUUGGAUCAACUCUCUUUACCAUUUUAACAAUUGAAUUAAUAUUAUUACCCAAUGGGGACCACUCAACCCUAGGGAAACCACUCAACUCUAAAGGGAACACUAUCAUCCUAACCAUACAAUCUUUAAUCUAAGGGUUAAAAAAUCGAAAGCACAAACUCUCUUAUGCUUCCGAUAGCAUAGUAGCUCUACACUAUAUAUAUAUAUAUAUAUAUAACUAGGCUGGUAUACUAUCAAUAGCACAAAGCUAUUGGUGCUAUUAAUUUUUUAGCCCUUGGAUUGAUAAAUGGGUGGUUAGGAUGAUGUGGGCCCCCUAGGGUUGAGUGAGUGGUUGGUUGAAUAGUAUAAUCUAACAGGUAAAAAUAAUCAAAGGGUUAAAUCUAACGGUGGAAAACUCGAUAGCACCAAAUCCUUGGUGCUAUCGAUAGUACCCCAGCCGGACUAUAUAUAUAUAUAUAUAUAUAUAUAUAUAUAUAUAAAGAGAGAGCGAGAGAGAGAGAGAGAGUGUACAGUUACUAUAUUCUUAUGAGUAUAGAGCCCUUCGUACACAUAAAUUAUUUUUAAUAGUAGAGUUUUCGAAUCGACGAUCCACUUCGUUAAAUAUAAUUUAGAGUAUUUGAAACUUCUAAAAAAUAAAUUUCAUAAUUUUUCGAAAUUAUAAUAAAGCCCAUCAAAUUGGUACAAAAUGAAUAGUCAAAAUCGAACGACAUUCUAAAAAUGGAAGAUCGGAUUCUUCAAUUUAAGAUCGGAGUUAUUGAUCUUUAUCUAGAUAGUGGAUAGAAUUUUCUAUCAAAAUUUCAACCAAUUUCGAUUCUUUUACACUAGUCGUUAAACUAGCAAGUAUUUCAUACUGCCCGUUAAAAAUUGUCAAUUUUGAGAUCUUUUGAUCGUUAAAUAAAUGAUAUAAAAAAAUCAUGAAAUUUGAUUUCUAAAAGUUUUAAAUGCUCUAAAUAACAUUUAACAAUAUAGAUCGUCGAUUCAGAAACUCUAUCAUCGAAUAUGAUUUAUGAGUAUAAAUGCGAUUGUACUCAUAAGAGUUGUCACGCCCCGGAUUAACACGUUUUUCCGGGCACGCCAACAGACCCGCCUUAUAUAUCGAAAUUUUUCGUGUAUACGAAGUAAUAGCUGCAUCUGUAAUCACAACAGCACCACAACCAGUAGUAUAGAGCUGCUAAAUUGAAAAUAAACAUAUAAAUGAAAACCUCGAGUGGUUCUUGUACAUACAAAAGGUCUACAACACAACUCGCUCUAGCGAGUGCCCUGACAAUAUCACAAUAUGUACAAAGAAAAUCCAAAACUACCAGUGAAAGGUACUUAAUUCUCUAGUACGGUAACGAGACGGGUAGGGAUCUAGCUCGCAACUUCCUUCCCACGGUCUGAAUCAGCGACAGCAGCAGCCACAGAAGAAGGCUCUGCAAAAAAGGGGUCAACAACUAGGUGUGAGAACUAUUGCGAAAAGUAGUCCUCAGUAGGUACCGUCACCUACCUCAACUGCUCACUUACUAAAGUUUAUAGAAAAGUGUGCAAGAGAUAGUAAGGAAAGCUGGAAAAACUCUAUAGAUAUAUGUCACUAUACUAUCGGUAACCAACAUUAACUAUCUGUAAAUAAAAAAAAUACGAUCUUUGAUCUAGUCUCACUAGAGAAUAUGAAAACGCCCGUCCAGCCUGUCGAAGCUACACCGAACACCACCCCCGAGGGCUGCCGGUGGAGAGCAAGUCCAAACCAGACAACAACGACAUCAACGCAAAGCAAAAAGCCAAACUUCGGAGCGGCACUCGUGGGCGCGACCCAACCGAGUAUGCAAGCGUGUCUCUACCGAGCUCAAUCAGGCUCUCACAGGCUGUAAUCAAUGCAAAUGGGUCUAACUGGUCUAACCACCAAAGCUCACGUGCCCGUGGCACAAUCUGAUGCAAAAUACAGAAACCUGGGUCCACUGUCAACCGCGACGGCACCCGACAGUCCGAAACAGUAUACACACUACUGUAAAAUAAGCUCGGCGUCCCAGCACGAGCGUAAACUCACCAUACACUAAUCUGGGUAUCCACCGCGUACUAACAGCGGCGAUACAAAAGAACCAUAACUCCUAAAACUAAAUCUUGUAACUUUUCAGAAAAUGACAGUGUAAGAUUAAAUAGUUUUCUCCUAAGUCAAUUUUAAGUCCAACAUGAAUAUAAAUACUAGCUUAACUCCAAAUUCAGAUUUUAUAGUCUAAUCUAUGAAUUCGAGUACUAGCAAGGAAAAUAAACCAAUGAAACCUGUCGACGAUGCUAGAACUUAGGAGGAAUUCCAACGAUUUCGGUAAACAUUAAUCCAUCUCGACAUGCUAGUCCAACUACGAUAGGAAGUCGAAAGGAGAUGAACCACGUGCUCGCCCGGCCUCCCAAUGAUGCAACUACGAUGCCCGCGAGCUCGAAUGGCUCCCCGUCGCAACGUCGAAGUCUACCCGAGCUCGAGCCACGACCCCACCACAAGCAACAUCUCCAAACUAGAGAGAAAAAGGAAGCAGCAACCAAAAGCUCAUUCUCUGUCUCUCUACGCAUAUAUAAAGAGGUAGGAUAAGGUUGAGAUUAACGUCACUUCAAAUGAUGAAAAGGCCCCUCACCAACUUACAAAUACAGCUUGAGUACCGGUACCCAAUUUGGUUACUGGUAUUCGGCCUCUCAGCCCGCAAGCUCGCUCAUAGGGUACCGAUACUAGCCCGAUGCCGUACCGGUACUCAGCAUUAGAUUGGCGCAACCCGAGAGCAUCAGUUAUGCAAUUCCACUGGGGUGCCGGUACUUCUCUACUUGGUACCAGUACUCAACAUUGAAAACUUGCACUUUGCAGAUUCCAAUGUCAAAACUUUACUCUCGCGUCGCAUUGAGUCCGUUUUGCAUCCAUUUCGCGCCAAAACGACUCCGACUUGUCCCGACACUCUCCAGAUGUGUCAACAAGUCUCAGAUGCUGAAACCUACGAGCUGCAGAACACUAGGGACACUACAAAAGUAGUAGCCGGAUUAUAUAUAUAUAUAUAUAUAUAUAUAUAUAUAUAUAUAUAUAUAAUAACUAGAUGUUUUCUUGCCUAAGAUUUGAUGACAAAAAGGCAAAAUUUGGGUUUUAACAACCUAAAAUAAAUAAUCAGGUAAUUAUGAGUAUUCAAACCAGUAUAAUCAAUCACAUUUUCAUGCACUAACUACUUUGGCUUUGAGCAAAAAAAUGAAAAAAAUGUCAUGUGCUCUUUUGUGAUAGUACUUUUCAAAAUUACUUAGAACUUUGAUCUUUGAUCAAUCAUAACAUGCAAUUAUAUCGUUCUCCUUUUGAAAAGAUUUGGGUUUAGCACCAAUUUUAGCAAAUUAGAAGCUUGAUACGAUUCUAUCGUAUCAGUAGGGAUAAUUAGAAGCUUGAUACGAUUCUAUCGUAUCAGUAGGGAUAAACGAUCAUUUCGAGAGGAUCUAACCUCCUAAAAAGAGAGAUAUUAGAGAGAUAGAGAUAGAUAAGAAGGGAAUGAGAGGGAAGAUAGAACAAGACGAUCAAUUUCUUCUUAUUAUUCCAAACCCUAGAAGAUACACAUUUAUAUAACCCUAAUUACACUUUUAUUGGAAAUGACUGAAAUAUUCUAAAAUAACAAUAUAUUAUUUCAUAAUUAGAAAAUCCUAAUAUAGAAAUGUAUCAUUCCACCGCCCUCGAAAGCNCAUUUCGCGCCAAAACGACUCCGACUUGUCCCGACACUCUCCAGAUGUGUCGACAAGCCUCAGAUGUUGAAACCUACGAGCUGCAGAACACUAGGGACACUACAAGAGUAGUAGCCAGAUUAUAUAUAUAUAUAUAUUAAAAUUAAAAUUAAAAGGCCAAUUUGAAUAAAAAAAAUCCACUAGUUUUGCGCAUUUGCAAAAGUGGGUCACCUUUUUCGAUUUUGCAGAUUCGGGCCGGAUUUUCAACAAACUGACCAAAAUACUCUUUACCUUUUUCUCUCUCCUCUUUUUUUCUCUCGUUUUUUUUUCUUUCUCUUCCCAAAGAGCGGCGGAGGCAGAAGCAGAGGCGGAGGCGGCCCGCUUCGGUUUUAUCCGGCGCAUCCUUUCCCUCGCACACGCACCCCACCAACUUCCUUGCCUCCGACCCUACCGAGGCCGCGCUGCGACUUUUUCUUUUUCCCUCUCCGACUCACCUCCACCGCCUCCAACGACGAUGCCUAUUUCACCAUCUCUCGCCCUUCUCACCCUUUUUUCUCCCUCCUCCUUCGCCUCCUCCGCCGCCUCCGACGACUUUUCUCUCAAAUAGUAUAAGUUUUGUUUAAAACAGUGCAACGUUUCUCUGAAAUAGUGUAACUUCAUCAUCUUCUUUUUUUUUAUCUGAUUUUUUAUUUUUCUUGUAAUUUUUUUUCACCCUCUCCGACCCUCAUCAUCUCCUCUGCCGCCUCGAGGCCCUCGGCAAUAGUAACGAGGGCGGCGCCACAUGCUCUUCCUCCAUCUACUCCUCCGCCGGCGCCGGAGGCCCUUGGCGACAGUAACGAGGGCGGUGCUGCCUCCUCCGCCAGCGUCGGAGAAAAAGAAGAACUCAAAACAGCCCGGGAUGAGGGACAGAGGCAAUGAGGUCGUUGUCGAGCAGGUACUCGUCACCCGUGAGGGUGAGGAAAAAAAAAAAAAGGGCCCAUCUCCAAGAAACGAACAAAGAUGCAAAUAGUAGAGAAAAAUUAAGAAUAAAAAGUAAAAAAAAAUAUUUUUUUUAAGAAAACAAUUAUAUAUUAUUUUUUGAUAGCAAUAAUGAUAUAUAAUGGUCCUUCUCAUCCGAAUCCGCUUUCAGUUCUCUUUCUCCUUCUUCGGCGUCGGCGGAGGAAGCGGCACCGCCAUCGUUACCGUCGUCGAGGGCCGCCGGCGCCGGCGGAAGAGAAGAUGGAGGAAGAGGUUGUGACACCACCUUCGUUACUGUUGCCGAGGGUCCUGAGGCGGUGGAGGAGACGAUGAGGGUCGGAGAGGGUGAAAAGAAGUUACAAGAAAAAUAAAAAGUCAGAUAGAAAAGAAGAUGAUGAUGAAAUUACACUAUUUUAGAAGAACGUUGCACUUUUUGGACGAAAAUUAUACUAUUUCUCUUCUUCAUCCUCCUCCUCCUUUCUUGUUUUCGUAUGGAUGAUGAGAAAUAGUGUAAUUUUCACCCAAAAAAUACAAAUUUCAUUCAAAUUAAGAAUGCAACUUUUAUUUAGAAAAAUAUUUUUGUUUAAAACAGUGCAAUGUCCCUCUAAAAUAAUGCAUCUUCAUCUUAUUCUUAUUUUCUUUCUGAUUCUUUAUUUUUAUUGUAGAAAAAAGUAUUUCUUAUAUUUUAUUCUUUAUUCUUUUCAUUUUAUUAUUUUCUAUAUUUGUUUUCUUGGUCCUCUUUCUUUGCCGUCGGUGUCGGUGCAUGCGCCGGCGAAGGCAGAGUAAGAGGACGCGGCGCUAUUUUUAUUACUGUCAUGGAAGAUCGCAGGGGUGGUUGAGGGGGAUCAAAUAGAAAAAAAAAAAAAGAAUGAGCGAAAAAAAUGAAAGGAAGAGAAUGCGGCAUUACGCUCUUUACUGUCGUAAAGAGCCAAGGAAUUAAGCGAUGGAGGAGGGUCGUAGAGGAAAAAAAAAAAAAAAAGAGGGUCGUGGCACGGCCUCGGCGGGAUUAGAGACAAGGAAGGCAGAGGGUACGCGGACGAGGGUGAGAGUGAUCCGGACAGAGGCGAGACAGGCGGUCUCCACCCCCGCCGCCCUCUUGGGAGAGAAAGGAAAAAAAAGAACGAGAGAAAAAAAAGACGGGAGAAAGGGAAUAAAGAUAUUUUGGUCUUUUUUGAAAAUCAGGCUCGAAUGCAAAAUCUAAAAAUACGGCCUACUUUUACAAAAGCUCAAAACUAGUAAAUUUUUUAUGCAAAUUGGCCCUAAUUAAUUAUUUGAUAUUCAUCAGAAAUAUUCAUAUAUAUAAAAGUCGUUGGAAAAUGCAUUAAAACCCCGUUAACUACAGACUAUUAUGAAAGAAGCCUCGCGAAUUUAAAGUCUUUGGUUAACACCUUGAUUUUUUAUAUUUUUGGAAUUGACUAAUUUUUUUCAAUUAAAUUAGAGAUUUUAUCCAACUCAUCAGCAAUUUCAUCAAAUUUGGUAAUUUUAAUUACUUUUUAGCAAAUAAAUUAAAAUAUUUAAUGAUCAAUAGCUGAAAAGGAAUUUGCAUUUAAUAUAAGUCUUAGUCCCUCUGUUAUCAUGAUCCCUACAAUUAGGGCCGGCAAAUGAGCGAGCCGGCUCGCGUUCGACUCGAGACUUGAUAUUUGGCUCACUCGAGCUCGACUCGAAAUUAAAUAAGCCGAACUUGAUCAAAAAAAAAAGGGCUCAAAAUUCAUUUCAAGCCGAGCUUGAGUAUUACUCGGCUUGUUCGAAUUAGGCUCGAAAACCGAGAAUAUAUAUAUAUAUAUAUAGAGAGAGAGAGAGAGAGAGAGCUACUAUGCUAUCGUAAGUAUAGAGAAUCUGGUGCUUCCGAUUUUUUGAUUCUUACAUCAAUCACUUUAAUCAUUUCUUACCUUUAGAUUAAUACUAUUAUUACCAUGUAGGGACCACUCAAUCCUAAGGGUAUUAUUUAAUCCUAGGGAGGACCGCAAUCAUCUCAAUCGUAUAAUUCUUAAUCAAAGGGUCAAAAAUUCGGAAGUAUCAAAUUCUCUAUAUUUUCGAUAGCAUAGUAGUUCUACACUAUAUAUAUAUAUAUAUAUAUAUAUAUAUAUAUAUAUAUAUAUAGAGAGAGAGAGAGAGAGAGAGCUACUAUGCUAUCGUAAGUAUAGAGAAUCUGGUGCUUCCGAUUUUUUGAUUCUUACAUCAAUCACUUUAAUCAUUUCUUACCUUUAGAUUAAUACUAUUAUUACCAUGUAGGGACCACUCAAUCCUAAGGGUAUUAUUUAAUCCUAGGGAGGACCGCAAUCAUCUCAAUCGUAUAAUUCUUAAUCAAAGGGUCAAAAAUUCGGAAGUAUCAAAUUCUCUAUAUUUUCGAUAGCAUAGUAGUUCUACACUAUAUAUAUAUAUAUAUAUAUAUAUAUAUAUAUAUAUAUAUAUAGAGAGAGAGAGAGAGAGAGAGNAAGGCGGAAAAGAAGACAUGUGAGGCUGAAAAGAUUAGAUAUUCAACUCAUAAAUUAUUUUUCUUCAUAUUAUAAUACCAUAUUUCAUAUAAUUAUUUUGUACUUUGAACUAUUAGACAUAUUUUUGUAUCAAAUUAUAGAUAAUGUUCUAUACAAAUUAAACUAUUGAUUGUAUGAUGUUGAGGAUUUCAAGGGGCUCGUUUAAGGCUCGAGCUUGCUCGACUCGAAAUUAGGCUUGCUCGAGCUCGGCUCGAAUUAAUUUCAAACCAAGCUUGAGCUUAAAUUUAGGCUCGAAAUUAAUUUCAAGCCGAAUUUGAGCCGAGGUAAACUCGCUUGAGCUCGGCUCGUUUCCACCCCUACCUACAAUUAAUGGAGUUUAAAUAUUUUAGUUUACACUGAGAACAAUUUAGGGUUAAUUGUAUGUGUGUCCAUACAAAGCAAUAAAAUUGCAUUUUUACCUCUACAAAAUUUUAUAUUAUCUCUAUAAAGUUGUAGUUAGCAAAUAUAUAUUCCACUAAAGUUUCAUAGUUUGCAAAUAUGUCCUUCUCCGUUAGUUAACCGGUUAGCAAAAUUACCAUUUUAUCUAUAAAUAAAUAAAUAAAUAAAUAAAUAUAUAUAUAUAUAUAUAUAUAUAUAUAUAUAUUAUAUUUAAUAGUAUUUAUAAUUUUUAAUAUUUUUAUUCUAACUUACAUUCCAUUCUAUGUGUACCUUAUAUUAUAAAUUUCAAUAACAAUUUUUUAAAAAAUCGCAGUCCGGUGAAAAUUUAACGUCAACUAAUAAUAGUCAACCUGUCGGAAUAAACUUUUAUAUUUUGGAGAUUUCGAGAAAUAUAUUUAAUAAUUAAACUUUUAUAAGGAUGCAAUAAAAUUUUGGAGGAACAAAAAUAUGCAAUUUCAUAGCUUUGUAGGGACACGUAUGCAAUUAUUCCAACAAUUUAAGUUUUAAUAUGCACGGAUAGUAACUUUAUUGCCCCUACGGCAACUUAUUUCCUAUACAUUUUCAAUUUAGGUACGUUAGGCUUAAAAAUUUUAAAUAUAUUACACUUUAACCCUUGAUCAUUAAUAAUAAAAUUUAAUCAUGUUUAAUAUUAUGUUUGACUAUGAUAGUAAUAAUAAUAUUUAAUUAUGUUUUGAAGUACACUUAAAAUAAGGGGAAUCACUUAAAAUAGAAGGACAAAGUGUUUAUUUUGUAAAAAAACUUUUAGCCAUUUUUGAGUAAAAAAUUUUGUAAGAAACUUUUAGCCAUUUUUAAGUAAAAAUUUUGUAAAAAUUCUCGUAAAUUUUUUUUAUUUUUCUCUCAUAAAGUAAGCUUAUUUUCAUAAUUGAAAUACUUUUUCCUUUUGUAGUUGUAUGUUUCUUUAUAAUUAGACCUUCUCGAGUAUUUACUAUCAAAUCUUUUACCAUUUACGUUAGAAACAAUCGGUGAUUAUAGAUAACUGUUUGCAGAAGAAAUGUAUCCUUUAGGUUGGAAAUUAAACAUCUUUGUUUGGCAGUUAACUGCCAUUUUCAAUGAAAGAAAACUGACAAUUAAGUUGAUAAAUAUCAACAUUUACUUUUCUAUGGGUUAUAUAUAUAUAUAGGGGGCCUACAUCAUUCUAACCGCACACCUUUUAAUCCAAGAAUGGAAAACUUAAUAGCACCAAGUCAUUGGUGCUAUUAAUAGUAUUCUAGCCUAGUUUUAUAUAUAUAUAUAGAGAGAGAGAGAGAGUUGGACUGGGCUACUAUUAGUAGCAAAAUCUCAUUGUUGCUACCAGUUUUUUAGCCUUUGGAUCAACUCUUUUCAUUAUUUCUAACCAUUGGAUUAAAUACUAUAACCCAGUGGGGACCACUCAACUCUAUGGGGACCACUCAACUCUAACCGACUAAUAUCAUCCUGACCUUAUAAUUUUUCAUCCAAAGAUUAAAAACUUGAUAACAAAAAGAACGUUUUACUAUUAAUAGUAUUCCAGCCUAAUUCUAUAUAUAUAUAUAUAUAGAUAUCC
This 104208-nucleotide long non-coding RNA is filed under the name Ananas comosus (pineapple). RNAcentral's name for it is "long non-coding RNA (ACOM_LNC017008)". The record is from RNAcentral. Lineage: Eukaryota; Viridiplantae; Streptophyta; Magnoliopsida; Poales; Bromeliaceae.